UGGAGUUUCGGAGCGUGCACAAGCCAGGACAAAUAAAAAAAUCCACAAUUGAAGACUUCAACCUCAAUGAGGCUGGGGAAGCAAUAGCAAUUGGGCGCUUGUCCUAUCCCUUGAUUAAUCUCCAUCUUCACGAGCAUACGACAAUCGUAUAAAUGAAGCACCUCUAAAUGCGAAAAAUUGCCGCUCCCUUUUAAUGAGUGACUUAUCGGGAUGUGGGUCAAGCCCUCGCAAUUCUUGAUAUCUACUCUCCUUAUGCGUCUCUGAAAGGAUUGGAAUAUUUUUAGGGUAGAGGAAGAUUUGUUCACCUUGAUAGAUAAAUCGGUGAGACCUUGCAUGCGCCCUAGUUCCUCCACCACCUCCUUUUCAUUCUCUAGACUUGAUCCCCAACUACUGAACACAUUCAAUGGUAAGCUUGCGAUUGCCCCUCUCGAAAUUACGAUGCCUCCCGAUAGAUGGUCUAGUAGCAACCACCCUAAAUGAGUCAACUUCCUAAUUUUCUUGGGCAUCGCAUUAAUACUAGUGCCCGACAGGUUCAAAUAUCGUAGAUUAAUCAGAUUGCAAAUCCCUUCGGGGAAUGACUGAAUUUUUUCAUUGUUAGACAGGUCCAAGACUGUCAAACAAGCCGCCAUCGAGUUGAAAAAUCCUUUUGGCACAAGCGUCACAUUAGUUUCUCUUACAAAUAAAGUUUCGAGCUGAGAACACAUGGGUGGUGUUUGAUCGAUAUUUUGUAUCCAUUGUCCCCAUAGAGAUACUUUCUUUGCUUCCCACCAUUUGGAGAUCAUCUCUGCGGACAUGUCUUCUUGGUUCACUAUCACUAGCAAUUUGUUCUCUUUUUUCCCAUGGUCACGAGCAAUCCAGGUUGCCAUGUCGCGGAUGACGUCGUGCAUCUUUACAUGCCGUCCCUCAUAAUCAUCAUGCCCACUUUUGUUCAUUGGAGCGCCGGAGUGCGGAGGUUGGUUCUUCCCAUCAUUGAAGUCAGAGUGUGGGACUGACUGAAUGAUAAAGACAAAAAAGUGCUUAGUUUCGUUGGAAAAACCAACCCAAAUAUCAUAUUUACUUUCUCUCUCCCUACUUAUAAAGAUAGAUAGAAAAGGGUUGAGAGACUUACUUUCUUAAAUUCUCUCCUUUCUAAAGCUGCGCAAGGCGGCCCCCCCAGAACAAAGCCCACCCCUCUUUUCUCCCCUUUCAUGAAAGACCCUUGCCCCGCUUCCUAUUCAUUUGUGGGUCGGGACCCUAGGGCCUUUUUUUUUCUCAAGAGGUGAUUUCGAGAAUCAACCAACCGACAAAUCCGUAGCCCAGGUGACUCACAGCCUACCUCUCGCCCAGAUGGGGAUGAAGCAAAUCAAGUUGCUUUUUGAUUUAUUCAGGGCGCAGCGAAGCCAAAUUCAAUCAAGACAAGGGGGGCUUACNNNNNNNNNNNNNNNNNNNNNNNNNNNNNNNNNNNNNNNNNNNNNNNNNNNNNNNNNNNNNNNNNNNNNNNNNNNNNNNNNNNNNNNNNNNNNNNNNNNNNNNUUGCUUAGGGGUCGCACUUUGUUUUGUCCCGCUUGGUGGACGAAAUCUUCUCUCCAUACUCUCCCUUAUACCGCAUACUAUAUACAUCAUUGGUGUCUCUUAGCAAGCCCUCUCCAAUCCAGAGUUCAAUUAGGCUAUCUAUUCUUAUAGGGUAAUCCUCAGGGAAGAGACAACAGUAAAUGAAGCAAAGCUUAACAAUAGAGUCAUUUAAACUAUUAUAACUAAACUCUAGUAUGUGGUACACUUCCUCCACCAUACCUGGCAGCUUGUAUGGAUUGUUCCUUAGCGUUGUAAGUGCAUGCUUCCACUCAUCAGGAUUCUCUCUACCAGCCAUGGCUCGCCCGACGGUAAUAAGGGCUAGUGGCAACCCUUUGCACUCUCUGACAAUGUUGUUGGCAAGCUCUUGAAUUUCUGGAUGAGAAUGUAUAGAUGAUUUGCUGAUGUUGUUCUCGAACAACGCCAGGGCUUCUUCGGGCGUCAAGCAUUGUACUUCGAAGGUUUCAUCGGCUCCCAUAUGAUGGCAUACUUGCUUCAACCGAGUUGUGAAUACUAUUUUGGAUUCGUUCUCGAGACUAGAAUGAAGAACUCCGAUUUGAGAAAGUUCGAGGCCCGCCCAUACAUCAUCCAUCAACAACACAAACUUCUUCCUGCUCAAAACUUCCCCCAAAAGGUGGACCCUCUCAUUCCGAGAUUGUCCUUCCCAGCUCUCGUCUUUAAUGUUCAGCUUUUUCCUUAUGGUGUCUCGAAUGCCAUCUUCAUUCACGUGCUUGGACACCACCACCCAAAUAACAACCUCGAAUCCAUGAUUUGCGUGCGAAAGCUUCUCGUUGAUCCUUCUCAUGAGGGUGGUCUUUCCCACACCACCUACUCCAUAUAACCCAAUCACUCGUGCUUCGUUUUUGUCCACAAGCCAUUUCCACACUGUAUUAAGGGAACUAUCAAGCCCCACAGUCUUGUCUAGGGGCGUAUUGAGCACUUGACGAGGAGGAGGCAGCGAUGACAUCAAAUCAUUGAUUUCUCCUUUCUUACCUUGGAGCUCUCUCGCUUCAUUGAGCAAUCGAUCAACUCUUUUCCCCAAUUUAUAGCUCGACCAGCAAUUCUGAGGAAGACAACGACUGAAACAUUUGAUUCGGUCACAUUCCCUGGCUUCUUCAAGAACUCGAUCUACUUUAUCUUCAAAAUUUUGCACCCUGCAUAACCAGUUCUCCACUUGAUUCGUGCGCUGUGCACAUCCUCUUUCUUCUGCACGUCCCACCUCUGCCCUCACAUCUAAGCGCAUGGCCUCCAGAUCUCCAAUGGCCGUCCCCAACGCCUCCACAUUAUCUGUCAAAUUACAAAUGUAGCCCAAAGGUUUGCUGGCCAAGCCGCAUAACCCUUUGACGAGUUGUAACAGACAAUUUGCGAAAUCCAUAGAUUCUUUCGGGAGAUGAGAGAUCGAAAAAAGGAGUAAUCCAGAUGGAUUGAGAGCAGGAUUGAGAGCAGGCGAAUGGGUGGAGUUCGAUAAUAGAGGGUCAUGUAGUAAGGGACGACUUUUACAGAUUCAAUAAUGGAGGCCCUGACCAAUGGCCCCACAACAGGACAAUAAUACAAGCAAAAGUACAAAUCACAGCUCGGGAGUUGAAUUAUUGCGCACGCGGACAAACAACUUUUUAGAAAGUUGGAUUAUGGAAAUAAAGCACUCCUCGCAACCACACACGCAUAUAUAUAAAAGCAAAAAGUACAUAACACAACUCAAGGUCGAAUUAUUGCGCAUACCGACAAAUAACUUUUUAGAAAAUUGAAUUAUAGAAAUAAAGUGUAACUCACAACUUUUCCACAAAACAGUCUGAACAUUCAUGAGGCUUGAAAUUUGAAUAUAACGCAUCUAUCAUGCAAGAUACCACUGAUCCUCGCUUCCGACGAAUUUUAGGAUAAUGUUAAAAAAAACAUGGUAAUAUUUUUAAAUACAUCAAUUCGUUGUUGAUUAGGUCCAUAAUUUUAUACAAUAAGGUUUUUCCUAGCACUGUUAUGUAAUUUUUGUAAAGGAGAUUAAUUAUAGGGAGAAGAAAAAAAAAAUUCAAUAGGAAUUGGCAACUUUAAUUAGUAAAAUUAAUACCUGCGUAAUAGGAAAUUGUGACUUUGAAAUAAUCUUGCAUUAUUAUUAUUAUUAUUAUUAUUAUUAUUAUUAUUACAAAUCAAAGACUGGACAUUAAAAUCCACGUGCAUCGUGCAUUUAAUUAUCCAAACAUGCCUCCCUUUCUUCUUGAGAUUAUUAGUUGCCGAUGGUAUUCGUUUUGUUUAAUUUGGAUCUGGCAACACCGAUAUCCAUAUAUAAAAUUAAUGGGUUGCAAUUAUCUAGUGGUGCUAAGAAGAUGGGGCAAAAAAGUAGACUCGUAUCUAGUUAGAAAUAUCUUGUUUACAAUAUGGCAAAAAGUUGAGGACAGUACAAUACCAAAAUCGUAUGAAAUAAAAUUUGAAAAUGAAAAAAAUUAAGCUCACUCACAAAACACAUUCGUUUCUAUCACUGAGUACAGGUAUGAGCAUGAGUUGUGGGUCUCUAAUUAUCAUUGUAUCAGUAGCCAUGAAAAUUAGACAAAUUUUUUUCACACCAUUCCCAAUCCAAUAUUCUUAGGUAGUACUAUGAGGUAAAUGCACGUUGUGCAUUUACCUUCUAACCCUAGAUGAUCCUCAUCAUUUUAAUCUCAAAUACUAAAUCAGAUCAAAUCAUAUAUUCUUACGAAACAUGAGUGUAAUCUUUUAAAACACAAGGUUCUCUCCCUAGAGAUUCGUCAUGCGAAAUGUGAGAUGCGAACGUUCGUAUAUGAUUUUUCGUCAACGGUCAUAUCCAUGAGUUUUUCUAAUUUUGGCCAACUUGUCACCCAUAUGCCACUAUCCUAUUACAAAAGAAAAACUAAGGACCGAUGAUUGGCGAAACUCCAUACGCAUCAAUAUUAUAAUUAUUGGUGUUAUUAUUAUUUGACAAUAAAAGAGAAAAGUCCGAGUGUUACACUAUUAUUCUCUUAAGAAAACUUGAUACAAUCGAAUUCUCUAUUAAUAAAGGAAAAAAAACAGAUUAGUAUAUAAACUAAUUAAGGAGAUUCCAUGUAAACAGAUUAUUAUAUACUAAGCUCCCAUUACUAUGCCGUCCCACUUAUCAAUGUUUAAAAUAUUGGGUCACUUUAACUUAUAAUUGAAAGAUUUUUUCUUUUAUGUUUGGUCGAUUGGAUCAGUGGCCAGCUGGACAAACAUUAGUAAUCCUUGCAAAACUUUUUAAUGGUCUUGGCUUGCAAAUCCUUUCAAACUCACCAUCUAAAUCUCAUAAAGUGACCUAGAUUGUCUCUGAAGAGUAGCCCUUGAAACUAGCAUUACGACGAAAUAAAUUACAGAGACGGAAAGUCAGUGGCGGGCUUGGGAUGAGUGAUGGCCCUGCCCCUAUCAGGAAAAAAAAAAUAUUACCCAAUUAUAAUUUUUCUAAUAUAUUACUACAUAUUAUUAGAAUUUUUUAUCACCCCUAAUCUUGAAUUUGCUACUCCAUUCACCCAUGGUCCCAACAUAAUGUCGACUUUCGAGUAAGAUGGAAAUUGCUAAAGAGAAUAGUAUAGGAUGCGAUGACACUAACAAUUCAUGGAAUUUCCUGUUUUGCUUGAUUGAUUCUGAAAUGACCAUAUAAAAAAUAUAUCAGUUUAUCAUUCCAAAUAUUUUCUUUUUAUUAAUAUUGAGUUUACUUGUCAACUCUGGACAGUGGGGUUUUCACUUUCCAGCUUCGAAUUGGUUGGAGAAGUUAAAGCCAGGUUUUCACUUUCCAACUUCGAAUUGGUUGGUAAAGUUAAAGCUGAGAAACUAAAGGAGAAGAGUGGGCCUUGCUUUGAUGGACAGCAUAUUCAUCCCCACUUUCCCAUAUUUGAUUUUUUUUUUUUAAGUUACUUUUUCAGCAAAGAUGAGGAAUCUUAAACAACUUUUUUCCCCGUUAUAAAGAUUAAGAUGUGAUCGAAUAAGAUAAAAUAAGAAGUCUCAUCAUUUAUUUGAUGAAACUAUCUAUUACCCUAAGACCAUAUUAAUGAUCUCGCAUAGUUUGAUGUUAAUUCCCCAAUCACAGGCAAUCAACAUAUCAAUUGUUGUCCUCUCACGCACAAUCUAUUGUAUUUGUCUCCUCUUUCUCUUAUUUGAAGUUCUCUUACAAGUAUUCUUAACAAGAUCGACCCACCCUAGAUGUCAAUUAAUAUGAAUUCAAACUCCAUGAAAUUCAAGCAACCUCACUCCUGAGUUGAAGUAAAAAAGACACCUCUAAAUCUAGAUGAAAAGCCCAUCGAUUCCUCCAACAUAGACAAAACAUAGCCACUAAUUAGCCAGGUUAUCACCUUUUAAUUUGCCUCUGACGAAAAUUCCUUCAAUUAAGAGAUUAAGAUAUCUCCUACUAAUAUUGAUCAAGAAGGUGCCAAAAUAUCACAUUUUUUCCCUAAAAGAGGAGAAAUUAUAUUUGGCCACUUCAAUAAUGGAACCGAAGGAUCAGCCGCUGCUAGCACUGCCCAGCUCCCCCCUACCAUCGAAGGAAGGACCCCAUCUGCAAAACCUGACUUGAGGCUUCAACCUUCAAAGGCAAUUAAAGGGGAAUUUGUUCUUGUUUUCCACCAAGAACUACUGAUAAAAAGACUCGUCAAAAACUCUACCACCCUCUCUGUCUGCCCCACGCAAGGCCCUUGCCGCCACCAUCUCCACAGUACCGCCAUUACUGGCUUCGACAGUGAUGGUCUCUCUCUAAGCUACACCUUCUCAACAUUAAUAAGUCAGUCAUUGAAAGCGAAAAAANNNNNNNNNNNNNNNNNNNNNNNNNNNNNNNNNNNNNNNNNNNNNNNNNNNNNNNNNNNNNNNNNNNNNNNNNNNNNNNNNNNNNNNNNNNNNNNNNNNNGAGGAGACACCAAGCUUGCAGAAAGAAAGCCAAUCACAAACACAAUUAAAAAGGGGAAUUAUGCAAAUCGAAAUAUAUGAAGGAACAAAUGGUAAGACUCAUGUUCAGUUAAGCAAACCACAAUGAUCCCUAUCCAAAUUGUUUGAGAGUUAUAAUAAAACACAAUGAUCUCUCACAAAAAAAGGAACCAUCAUAGUCACCCUCUUCGUACUAUUGUCAAAACCCACUCAUUCUAAUCACUUAUACUUCUCUCUUAAAAUUAUUAAAAUAAUGUUAACAUUUUGCACAAGCGCUAUUAUUUUACAAUUAGUCUGUCACAAAUAAUUAAAAAUUUAAACAUAAGUUGCAUACAAUCAACAAUUAAGUUUACUUUUAUUGAUCUGUUACUCCAUAAAUCUAAUGUCUCAUGGAUUUGAUUUCUUAGCACAAUUUUAAAUAUAUAUAGUUUAUUGUGAAUAUAAUUAUAAAAUAACGACUUGAAUCCAUUUGAAUCCAUUUAUUUACAAGUAAAUUAAAUUAAAAUCUGAAAGUUAAGAAUUAACAUAGUUUAAAUAUUGUACAAUUUGAAGUGCAGAAUUGUUUCCUCAUUACAUUCAAAUUUGUAUAUUGGCAAGAAAAAAAAAUAUGUCGACAAAUUAUUCUUCUAUUAAGUAUGAAUAUAUAGAUAGGAAACAAAUUGAAAGUAAAGUUAUUUAGAUUCAUUCUAUUGCUAGUUCAAGAAAAAGCUUUGAGAAUUAAAUGACUAAUAACAUAUUUUAUUGAUAAAAUAACAUAAUUAAAAGAUUUAAAACUGAAUUGGCCAAUAGAUCCAAGACUUCUUGAACAAUUUUCUCCCUAAUCUUCAAUUGUCAAGGAUUCUACCAAGGAACUAAACUGCUCCAACUUCUUGAUCCUCCUUGACAGGAGAUCCAAACCUCAUCUAUGAAUAAAGUCGGGCGGCAUGACUCAUGCAGUGAUCUUUGUCACAUCAUCUUGUUCACCAUUUAGCGAGAUUUGAAGACUGAUGUUUAUAACAAAAUGUAAGUCAUUGUCUCGAAUGAACAAUGUAGCAUAUGAAUAGACUUGCUACUUUUCCGUUUAUCUGUCUCCAAUAGGAUUAAGACUCCAAUUUAAUAACAAGUUAAAAUGAAAUCACCAUUGGAUUAGGCAAGUAGAACACGUCAACGGGGUUUCAAUGGUUUCCACGAAAACGCUCUUCAUGUUUAUCCAGGGCAUCUCAUCACAGCAUCAAAAAUUUUAUGAGCCUUUACUAACAUAAUGAUUAUGAGAACUUAGCAUAUUAAAUUUCCACAUGAUAGCAAAGGUGAAAAAGAGAAAACUUACAAAAUGCUUGAAAGGCUUUCCAUCUUUAAAUAUGAUAAAGGUUAGUAAAUGCCUAUAAAUUUGGAAGCACUGAUCGUCAAGCAUCCAAGAGGUAAACUUAAAAUGAAUCUUUUACUUAUGCGUUCCAAUCAUUAUAAAAUCUUGCUUUGUGAAAUUAAAAUGUUAAAAUUUCAAUUCAAGUAAAAAACACACCUAACUCACAAAACUAAUUACAUUUGAUUCCCAUUUUUUUUUUUAACAUGAGACUUGUAUGCGACUGAUUAGGGAAGGUACAGCUGUUAAAUGAACUGAUUCUUUUAAUCAAUUAAAUCUCUCAUGUGCACACAAGCAUUAUUGUAAAAGUGUACCGAAAAUAGACAGAACAAUUUUAUUUGGAUAGGCUCAAUGGCGCACACGACCUUCAUUAGUUGAUAAUUUCUUUUGUAGCUUAAUUAUUCUAGACAAAUUGGACCAUUUUUUUUUGUUUUGCUUGUUCUUGUCCACAAAUUGCUAAAUUAGGCCCGCAUGCUUUAUUCGCGAAAGGUUGGGAUCCUCUGAAAAUUACAAAAUCAAUUUAUAUUUUACAUUUGCCUCGGAAAAAAUUGAUGUAUCUUAAUUUUUCUUUUCUUUCACUCUUUUCAUUUUAGACUUUUUCUGUCCCUCAGGUCACAUCGGUCCAUGACCUCGAAUUGAAGUCACCUGCUCCGAGGAAUGCCGGCCCGAGCAAGUCGCCUUGGCUUUGUUUGCAUUGGGGCCAAGAUAAAAGCAAUCAUCAGAAACUCUUAAUGCCCCUCUCUGUAUGUCCCACCCCUAUGUAAAGCCCUUGCCGCCAUGAUCUCCACGGCAUUGCCAUUACUGGCCUUGAUUAGGGUUGUCGACGGGUAGGGUCGGGUCUGGUUUUCGGUUUUCUUGGCUGCUUGCCUCUCUGCAUUGCUUGUCCGCAAGUGAACAAACCUCAUUGCAUUUGCUAUAAAGUAGACUUAUUGGCCGUAAAUUGGCCGUAAAAUAUUUGAACGCAUCAAUCACGACUAGAAAUAUGCUCUGUUGUCAAUGGAGCUACGAAAAUAAGAACUGGCAGAGCAAAGAAUUUGAAGUAAAUGUGUUAGGGCGAGACGGGGUCAAUCUUUAGAAAUGGGAGCCAUACACGCUGCAAAGUGCAAAUUACACGGUAUAUUUCUUGGUGGAAAAUUUGGGUCCUUCUGCUGCUCACGCUCACCUCUUCUUUAUCAGGCAAUUUUAUGUCGUGAAAAGACUGUCAAUCUGGUUUUAACCAUUCCAUUUCCUAGGAGUUUGUCGGAAAAACCAAAACUGUUUCUAAUUAUAGAUCAACCAAUAUAAAAGUGAGUAACAAAGUUAAAAAUAAUUCUUAAAUAAUUACCCUCAAAUUCUAGAAAAUAGUAGGCUUUAAAUUAAACAUGAAGAGAAAUACAGAGUUUUAGUCUUGAGAUAGAUUUCCCAGCUUGGUUAUGGUUCAAAGAAACAUAGCAUCAGGUGGAGAUUCAAACAAAAUACGAGACGGUUCUUUCAGCAUCCUUCCUCUCCGAGCAAGCUUAUCUGCACAAUCCUAGGACCACAAAUCCUUCGAAUCUACAUCUAUCAUACAACAAAAACCACAUAUAUGGUUUUGAUUACUUUUGUGCUUAUAAAAUUUAUGUUUUCUCUGUAAGUUGUGAUGAUAUGCCCUGUUUCUUCAAAGGCCUUUAGACGGUAAAGCAACCCGCCGACAAUACUCUGCAAGAGCCCACAAUGGGAAUAUGUUCCUGUAAGCGGCAUAGUGUAACAUGCAAUUCCUGAAGAAAACCCCAGUGAUUUCCUGCAACACAAAACUAUUAACUAUUAAGAAUAAGGGCAGGCAAAGUUCAUGCUUAGAUUAUGUUGUUUUGUUGUAAGGCAAUUCUCAUCGAUCAAGUUCUCUCUCUAAUUAAGGUUUUUUUAUUUGCAGUUUUUCCUGAUGAUGUUUUGAGUAAUUAAACAAAACUGCUUGUGAGAUAAUACACCUGGACAAUAAUCAUCUCUAGGCUCUACUAGUUGUAUGGAUUAGUGCUCAGGAAAUUCUUUCCAAGGAUAUCGGUGGGGCGCAGUCUCUUAUUUCCUGAGAUAUUAACCUAUAUGAGAUCAAGUGAUAGAAAGGUACAAACCUGUUGGGGGUAAUUUCCGUCUUCCAUUUGUGAAUUGAUUAGCAGCUUUGUGGCCCGGUGCACGGGAGUUGGAUCCCUCUCCGCCUGAUAGCAGAUGAAAUAUCAAAGUCAGAAACUUCACAUAGAAUAUUGACUUUUACUAUCGCCAAAGUACGGUUAAUGCGAUUGAGACCCAGACGACAAUAUCAUUCACUGACCCGCCCCGCGUGAAUCAGACCCAUCAUAGCCCAAGCGGUGUGCGCCAGAUUUGAUCUGUUUCCUUCAAGUGGUAUGUAUUCCUACAUCGACCGAUCUGGCAUUAGAAAAUUCAAGAUUUCCAUUCUCCCAGAAAAGCAUGCAACUAAAACAGCUAAAGCCGAACAUGCUGUUGAAGGUCCCUCUCUAAAUUACCUUCCUCGGGCAAGAAAGAUUGCUCUCUCCUCACCUGCCAUUCUGCAACUGUGUUCGUAGAAGAAAGGUGACUCCAUUGCGCAUAGCUGCACAAUUGAUAUAUGUCUUGCCAGCAGCUGCUAGUCCUCCAAGCGCAAACCAUGAGCCGUAUAUAAAACAAACUCCCCAGCACCCGUACCUGCAAGGAUUGCUCAAUUAGCUAGCUGUUUCCUUGACUUAUCCCAAUUCUUCACAACUAUCCAAUGGAAAAGGAACAUACCAUGACCCGUCUGGCUUUUGCAUGCUCUCCAGAUACUGUACAGCAUUUGAUAUAAAAUCCACUAUCUCCUCCUUUUUGUGACGAGGAUACAAGUUCCUGAACAAAACCAAAGCUUGGAUAGCUGAUGAUGUGCAUUCAACAUAUUCAUGCUCAAUGACGACGUCCUCUAAGAACUCUGUCGGAUUUAGAAACCGCAAGUGACAAAUGAUGAGAAAGAAUGCCCUGAUUUAGUAAUUGAUGAACAAAGAAACAUGUCUUAAUUAGUGAGGACCACCAAGGAAUUCCUACAAAAUUUAGUAACUUACUUCUAGCCAAUCCUGCGCUCCUGCAGGCUCCCAUGCUGCCAAUCUGCCAUUUUUACUCUGGAACAAGUGACAUCCAUGGUUGAUGUGACCAUAUUACAAUUUAUUAUCACACUUCGACAUAUGAAAAAAGUUAUGAAACUCUAAGAAAAACUUAAAUAGCAACGUGAUUUUGGAAUGCAUAGAGCAAACAAAGUUUAGCCUAUAUUUCUUGUCGAGAUCAAAAAUUUUCUCAAAGUCUUGCUCAAGAAAGAAAAACGAUGAUAUACUCACUUGUUGAGAGAGUAAGAUGUUUGACAGCAUCAUCCAAUCUCCCUGGCUCCAUCUUGUCACCCACAAUUUCAGGUGGCAUCAUUGAAAAAAGCAAGCAACACUGAAUAUACAGCAUAACAGAUUCAGUGAAAAACCGGGCAAUAUAGGAUUGGAUUGACCUGCGGAUGCAGUGAAGGUAUCCACAGCAGCAUUACCUUCAGAGCUUCUGCAGUGCAAUCAGAUACUUGCCAACCGUGAUCUUGAUCCGAUAAUGUCCAAGAUCCUUUAGAAAUACGAUGGUACAUGUAUUUGAAGUCAACAGAAGGAUUCUCCUUGACCUGAAAUGUUGUAAACGGAUCUAUGCGGUUCAGCUUAUGCGAGGAAGUGAAAGAAAGUAGAAUGUUUGGAGUCAAGCAGAAGCUCACAUGAAUCAAAGAUCAAACCUGAGAUUUUUUAAUGAAGUCGUGUCCUCUAGCUAAUACUGGCGCUAUCUCCUCAGUCAUGUUACUGGCAAGCAAAGCUUGGAUGGCGACGCCUGCGUCCCACUCUUGGCUACCAAAACUCUGCAUACGAACUAGCCAACCGCCAAACUAAGCUUUCCUCUAGAUGAUAUCACUUUACUUAAUCAAUCUUCUCAUUGUUAUAAGAAGACUUCCAUCUUUCAAAUUUGCAGCAUAAAUAUCUAUCAGUACAAUUGAAGCCCAAUUCUAUUAUAGCUCAGUGACACUAUUACUAACCUGCAUCUUCAUUCCGUCUUCAGCAACCCAAAGGUAAUCUGGUAUCCUAGCAAGAUGCUUCUUGAAAUAGUCACUGUCUGGGUCCUCUACCCAGCAAGCAAGCAUGCAUAACACCUGUCCGAGUCCAAAGCAAAAGAAAUACUCAGUGAUGUUUUCCCAUGAUGUGUGAAUAUUGAGUUAUCUCUCUCUCUUUCCUCCUUAAAUCUAUACUCAUUACCUUUUCCACACAUCCAAUAGUGAUAUAUCGACUGUUCUCAUCUUCAUAGUGGAUGUGCUUCAUCGUCACCUGAAGAGCCUUCUCUCUAAGUUUAUUAAACGGCCAACAGUUGAGAAAAGGCUCUGUAAAUAUGUGAAGACUAUCCCAGAUCAGAUCUUGUACUAAGUGAUGGGGAUAGUAGAGAUCCUCCUGCAACAACAACUUGAAUCACUUCAUUAAAAAUUUGCUGACUCACAAACUAUCUGAUUCUGGAUCGAUAUUUUGGACCCGGUAAUGAUACUUGCCUUGGCACAAAGAUGGUGGACUUUUCUCCAGCUAAUCGUGUCAUAGGGUUGAGUAUGAAGUUCUUCUCUCUCAACUGUGGAACAAGAGGCGUGAUUGGACUAAUGAAUCUUUUCACAUACAAAUAUGACAUGGGCAUGUAAGUCAUCCAACAGUAGCAAUACAUCUUAGCUACAUUAUGCAAAACGGUACAAUUCAGACAACAUCUCCAUGAAACUAAGGAGAAACGCAAUUAACGAAACAGAAGUUGAAACUUUCUAUCUUUUAAUGGGCAUUCUGGGAGGGUGGCCAUUUUAAAAACAAGCCCACGCCAUAUUCUUGUUGGUGCAGCAAAAAUGCCAUAUCGUUUCAAUUUGAAAACUAAUCCAACACCUUUGUCUUAAUACCUAAGCAAAAUUAAAUAUACAGGACUACUAUAGAAUACCAUCAAGGACAAGAUUAAGAUAUCUGCAAAAACAAACCAGGAUGAAUGGGGACGAAUGAAGGUAAGAUCCAGAACUCACGAUUCACAUCCACGGGGGGCAAAGCUGGAGUUUCGGUCACUCCUGGUUUGGUCAGUGGAAUACCUUUGGAAAUGUUAUCAUGUUGACAGAGCACGCUGCAAACUAUCAUUCAAGGCCAAUUCCAGACACGGAAGUUCCUCGUCUCUGAAGGUCAGUAGAGUGUGCACAAUUAGGGGUAUAACAUCUGACCGCAAAAGGUUGGAUGAUUAUUUUUUGUUGAAGUUCUUAUGCUGUGUAAUUCACCAGAAGCACAACACGCUCUUGAUAAGAACGACAGCAAUCAACAAGGUCAACAAUUACUUCUUCCUUGAAAGCCUGCCACCAUGUCCUCCAUUAUAAGAUUCAAAAUGUAAUGUCAAAAUCCAACUCAAUCUGCACUGAAGAUUGCAAGCUACAUAACUGAAAAGGUAUCUUCCCAAGGGCAAAAAUCAAGUCUGCAAGCAAAAAGGAGAAACAGACACGUGCAUGGACAGCAUAGCCCAUCUUAUGAGCCUAUUCAUGGGUACAGUGUGCAGAAGAUAAUUGUCGUAUUUUUCUAAUUUGAAAUAUGCAAAGCCUUCCCACCAAAAAGAGAUGCAAAAGUUUUUUUUUUUUUUUGGACAAUUAAGAUAGAUAUUAUUACUAGGUAAUAGUCUGAGCAAAUACAGCAUAUGCUUCAGUACAAAGUAAAUCCAAAAGCGCAGGAGGGGGAUGUUUGACCCAAUUUGUAGGAAGGAAAUUCAUGCGCUGGGCUUUUGCUAACCAAUCAGCCACUACAUUCGUUUUCUGACUACAAUGGGCGAAAGUCAGACCCGAGAUAUUCUUCAGUUUGUGCUUGGCUCGGUUCACAAGAGGUUGCACUGACCAGUCUAAAACGGGUGUGGAGAGAAUACUCUCCACCAGCAUACUGCAAUCAGAUAGAAUUUCUAUUUCUUUUUCUGGGGAAUUUGGGAGGAUUUCUGAGGAGAUAAAGUCUAGGGUUUCUACCAAAGCUACGGCCUCCGCUUGUUCAGGUGAACUUACCUCGACAUUCUUUGCGAACCCAGCCCUUAUUCGGCCAAAGGAAUCUCUGCAGAUACAAGCCACAGAUGCCCGAGUUUUGGAUCUACUCUGCUGAGAGCUGGAGAGAGAUACAGUCUUUGCUCUGGUGGGGUCACAGCUUGUUGCCGAAAUAGAAUUCCUUUCACCUGUUUUGUCGGUGAGAUCAGGGCCAGGUGAAAAUGCUGAUCCUUCCUCUGUUUCGUUACAACACCGGUAAGUUGUUUCCCCAUAAGUCUUGUGUGCUCUGCAAAUCCUAUCAUGGUGGGCUUCGAUGGUCUUUCUUUGUUGCUGCAGCUGUUCUGAAAAUUCAAAACCAAUAGAUCUACGCUCAAUUUCGAAGCGAAUAGGUCUGCGCUCCAGUUCCACUUCAGCAAAAUCAGAAGGGUCUUCCUCAAUUGUAUCGCUGUUUAGUGGGGGUUUUCGAUGUUCUUGGAUGACGCCUGUGCUGUACAACUUAGGCGUUCGAGAGUUGGUGCAGAUCUGGAACAGGUGGGGCAUCUCCAUUUGGUCAGACCCAUCUUCGUGAACUCUGCUGAAAAAGUGAGGUUUGCUCCUGCUCUGAUUUGCUGCUCUUUUAAUCUUUGAUGGACGAGGCGUCAGGUUAAUCCUCCUCCUCCUUGGCUGUGUUCUGGAAUCAGCAAUGUCAGAUGUGUCUUGCGGAUUGAGUUCUAUAGGUGGCAGAGGGCUAGCUUCAUUGAGGCCACGAUCCAUGGGUUGAUUCCCAUAGAUUUGUGCCCGAUCUCUACCGUGCAUCUUAGAUGUGCCUAUGUGGGCAUACCUUGGACUCGGGCUGGGUUUUCCUCGUCUCUCCGUUCUGUUUUGCCCAGGUAAGUGUUGGGACCUGGCUAUAUUUCUGACUACUUCUCUGGGCGGCUUAGGUUUAUAUAUGUUGUCCUUCCUGACCGUGCUGUUAGCCUUUAGAUGAUGCGUUAAAUCGGACUCUUCCUCUUCGACAUCUGUAUUUGAAGCUGGAGAGUGACUUAGGGAGGCAUAUUGGUUGACUAAACUUAUAUCGCAGUUGGAGGGUAAAGGUUGGGAAGGAACUGAAGUGCUUUCAUUUGGAUACACCACCUCCUCUGGAUAUUUAUCAGACAAGUUGCUGGCAUUAUAGGUACUGGCAAAAGAAGCAUCAAUAUUGAUUUUCAAUACACCUGGGGGUGGAGGUUGCCAGUGAUCAGGUUGUUCUUGGCCCUGUUUGCAUUUGUGGGAUUUUUUAUUCCAUGUUGAGAAGCUUUCCUGUGACAUUGUAGCUCGUAAGAGGGUGUGGUGUGGGUUGAGGGGUUGCUUUUUGAAGAUGGAGUGGUUGCGGUCUUUCCAAAUGCACCAAAGAACUAUGGCAACCAGUUCAAAAUUUUGUGAGUUUCUUUGUCCUGCAAAAUAUUUGCCCAACCAAACAUCAAACCUUGUUAGACCCAUUCGAUUUGUGUAAUCUUGUAAGGUUAGCUCUUUCCAAAUAGAUGCUGUCCAAGGGCAAAGCAGUAAGGUGUGCUCGAUUGUCUCCAGUUCCAUCUUGCAUAUCGGACACAUUGGAGCAAGUACAAUCUUUCUUCUAUAAAGAUUAUCUAAAGUAGGAAGUGCAUUUUGGCAGGCACUCCAUAGGAAAAAUUUUAUCUUCGGCUGUAUGUUGGAGUUCCAAAUAAGUUUCCAUAUGGCUGGAUCAAACUGGUGUGAUGUUGUUGGCACGGACUCUCGAUGCGUAACAUGUUUUCUAAUUGCAAAGUAACCGCUUUUUACUGUAUAGGUUCCCGACUUGUUCUUUGUCCAAACCAAUUUAUCUUCUGUGGUAGGGAGGCCAAUAGGUAUUGCUUUGAUUUUUGUCGCUAGGGAGUCAUCGAACAGGGACUGCAAUAGGUCUUCCUUCCAUUGUACAGCUUCAAAAGUACAGGGAUGAACUCAGUAUCUAAGAGGGACAAGCCUUGAUGUGCCUAAAUACCAACUACAAAUUUUCGUUGCAGAUCUUGGGCGAUAACUAGAUACUCCAAUUUUUAGUAAGAACAAUUUUGUCAGUACGUAUUCAUCUAAGCAUUUAGAAAAAAAAGAGUUUUUCAAUUACAGGAAUCAUCACAGUCCAUUUCCGGAUUACUAAGAUAGGUUUGUCAGAUGUUGAUUCGGUUUAAUAAUUCAAACAGAAGCAUAUCGAAAGAAUUUCAGAAAAGUGGCCAAGAUAAAAUUCAGCCCCCUCAGUAGUAAAUCAAAGAAAACCCGACCAACUUCAAACGUUCAAAACUGAGUCAUACCGCCACACCAAUGCUUAUAAAAAAUCACAAUUCUGCCCAUUGGGGGCUUCUAUCUAGACAUAUAAUUCAGUAUACCAACAAGCUGUCCCAAUCGUCACUGUUUCAAUAUAAUCAACUUUCCCCUUACAAAGACAGUUUCCUGCAAAUUGCUUAGGAUACAGCUAACGACUAAUGGGGCUAAGCUAUUAAUACCCAAAUCAAUAGAUCAUUCAUCGUCCUCGUGGAAUAAUCUAUUGUAUCCAUAGCCACUUACUUCAGGUUAUCUUGCAAGAAUUCUUGAGAGAUCGACUAAACCAAGAUGUCAAAUAAUAUGAAUUCAAAGUCCAUAAAAUUCAAGCAACCUCACUCCCCAGCUAAAGUUAAAAGACACCUAAAAUUCCAGACAGAAAGCCCACCACAAUUCCUCCAACAUAGACAAAUAUAGCGACUGAUUAGCGGGGUUCUCACCUUUUUAAUUUGCCUCCUGCGAAAACCCCUUCAAUUCGGAGAUAAAGAUACCCGCUACCAAUAUUGAUCAAGAGGAGAAAUUAAAUCUGGCCACUUCAGCAAUAGUAAUUCUUAUUAUAGGAUCAGCACCCGCUUGGACCACCCAUCCGCAAAAACUGAGUCAAGGCUUCGACCUUCAAAGCUGUUCCACCAAGAACAAUUGAGCUUAUCACGGAAAUUGUUGACGCUACUGAAUCUGCAGCCAUACACGAGAGUAGCUACUCUAAACUCAACAGCAGAUGACCAGAACCUACGCAACCAGAGCAAGCUAAUGUGGUCAAAUCGGGCCGUGACAUAAACAUCGAGGUCGCUUGCCUUGGGGGACCCCAACCCAGGUCCGGGGGGGCCUAGGGGAGCAAGUUGCCCUGGCCUUGUUUGCAUUGGGGCCAGCGGUGGGCGAGAGAGAGAGAGAGGGAUGCUUGAAAAAUAGUUUACUAGAAGAAAAUAAGAAGGGCGAUGUAAUUUUCUUGUCCGUAAAAUAAGCAAAUCAAAGUCUUGGCUCAAUUUAUCACAUUAUCUUGGUAAGGUUUGGGCUUUCUAGUGGAAAUGGUUCGAAUUCAUUUCCUUAAAUCGAAAUAAAUGGAUGGAGAAAUGAUGAAGACUCAUGUUAACGUUAAGGAAAAAAAUGCGAUCCUAUCCCCAAGUUGUUUGAGAGUUUUUGCCAUCGUAAUGAUGAGAUAAACGUAAUGACCAUUCCUCCCAAAAUGAAUACAAAAAGGACGGGUAGAUAUUCACCACCCUAUAUAUAUAUAUAUAUAUAUAAACGCACACAAACGAAGUACAAAUUAGAAGCUAUGAAAAGAUAGGUAGAGACACUCCGCUAGAGAAAGACAAACGAAACUUCUUCUUUUUAAAAUAAUAUUUUACACUUAUCAGCCUCUCUUUCAUUUCACCUGAGUGCGUCUCCAAAUGACAUUUCUUCUCCGGGACACUCAUAAAUGCGGCCGCUGGGAAGUGAGUCAGGCGGCUGGGUCCCACUCAAAACUCAGCCCUCCAAUGUCCGUCCCCCAUUGAUCGAGAAGGAAAGACCUCACUUCACUCACUCGGCCCACUGGGUCGGGACUCGGAAUCCAAUCCUGGAAUACCAUUUAGACCUAUCUUUCAUUUUACGAACCGCCUCUCCAAAUGUCAUUUCUUCCGCCUCUCCAAAUGUCGUUUCUUCGUCUACGGAUCUCUCAUCCGGCCACUGCAAAGUGACCCUUGCCGUGGGGUCCCACUCAAACCCGGCCCACCACUGUCCGUCCCCACUCAUUGAGAAGCUUCCCCUUGCGUUGCUCGAGUCCCAUGGCAACUUUUUGAGACCAGGGCAAUAGUAUAUCUUGAUGUUUAACCCUUUAGCGAAAAAUAGUGUGUGGUCACAAAUACUCCUUAGUUUUGGAAGAUGAUAGAUAUCUAGGAGUUCGAGACAUGAGAAUAGUUCCGAAGCAGCUAAUUUCUCUCCUGCAAUUUCAUCCCCGAUUAUUUUCUCUAUCAAAUCGCAGAACCAAACCGUCAAUUUCUGGAGUUUCGGCGCGUGCACGAGCCAAGACAAGUCUGAAAAUCCGCACCCUUCAACUAAAACUUCAAUGAGACUAGGGAAGCAAAGGUAGUUGGGCACUUGUCCCGUCCCUUGAGUAAUCUCCAUCUUCACGAGCAUAUAGCAAUAUCGUAGAUGAAGCACCUCUAAAUGCAAGAAAUUGACCCUCCCUUUUAAUGAGUGACUUAAUGGGAUGCAUGUCAAGUUAUCACACUUAUUGAUCUUCACUCUUCUUAUGCAUCUCUGUAAGGAUUGAAAUAUUUUUAGUGCAGAUGAAGAUUUGCGCACUAUGAUAGAUAAGUCGAUCAGCUCUUGCAUGCCCCCAAGUUCCUCUACCAUCUCUUCUUCCUGGUCUAGACCCGAUUCCCAUAUACCCGAUUCCCAUGUGCUGAACACAUUCAAUGCUAAGCUUGCGAUUACCCCCGUUGGAAUCAAGACAUUAUUGCUUGUACGGUUUAGUAGCAACCACCGUAAGCGAGUCAAGUUCUUGAUUUCCUCGGGCAACUCAUGAAUACGAGUGUUCGACAUGUUCAAGUACCGUAAAUUAAACAGAUCACAAAUCUCUUCAGGGAAUAAUUAUAUAUUUCUAUUGUUGGAUAGGUCCAGCACCUUCAAACAGGCCAUCAUUGACUCAAAAAAUCCACUUGGCACAAACCUCACAUUAGUUUCCCUUACAAACAAAGUUUCGAGUUGGGAACACAUAGGUGGUGUUUGGUUGAUAUUUCCAAUCAAUCCUCCCCAUAGAAAUACUUUUUCUGCUUGCCCCCAUUUAGGCAUCAUCUCCAUGGACAUUUCUUCUUCGUACUCUAUCACUAACAACUUGUUCUCCUUUUGCCCGUGGUCGCAAGCAAUCCAAGUCGCCAUGUCACGGAUAACGUCGUGCAUCUUUACAUACUGUAGUCCCAAAUUACCACCCAUCUCACUUUCCAAUAAACAAGCCAUCUUUAAACUCCCCAAUAUAUACUCUCCCCUAUCCCGCAUAGUGUAUACAUCUUUGGUGUCUCCUAGCAAGCCCUCUCCAAUCCACAGUCCAAUAAGAUCGUGCGAGUUUAUGAGGUAAUCCUCAGGGAAGAGACAACAGUUAAGGAAGCAAAGUUUGACGAUAGAGUCGCUUAAACUAUUAUAACUGAACUCUAGUAUGUGAUACACUUCCUCCAUACCUGACAGUUGAUGCGGUUUGUCCCUGAGAGUUGUUAGCGCAUAAUGCCACUCAUGGGGAUGCCCUCUGCCAGCCAUGGCUCGCCCGACGGUAAUAAGGGCCAAUGGCAACCCUUUGCACUCUUUAGCAAUGUCCUUGGCCAGGCGUUGAAUGUCAUCAUCACAAUUUUCAAGCGAUUUGCCGAUGUUCUUCUCAAAUAAUGUCAAAGCUUCUUCAGGCUUCAAGCACGAUACUUCGCAUGUUUCGUUGGCUCCCAUUUGGUGGCAUACUUGCUUCGACCGAGUUGUGAAUACUACCUUGGAUCCGUUCUUUGGACUAGGAGGAAGAACUCCGAUUUCGAAAAGGUCCAGCCUCGCCCAUACAUCAUCAAUCAACAACACAAACUUCUUUUCAGCCAAAAUGUUCAACAAAUGAUGGACCCUAUGAUUCUGAGACCAUCCAUCCCAGAUCUCAUCUUUAAUGUUCAGCCCUUUCCUUACGACGUCUCGAAUGUUAUCUUCGUUCACUUGCUUUGACACCACCACCCAAAUAACGACAUCAAAUUUAAGAUUUGUGCACAAAAGCUCAUUGUUGAUUUGUUUCAUGAGGGUGGUCUUUCCCACACCGCCCAUUCCGUAUAAUCCAAACAUUCCUGUUUUUUUUUCGUCCGCUAGCCAUUUCCACACUUCAUUAAGCAAAAUAUUAAGCCCCACGGUCUUAACCAUAGGUAUCGCAAGUAUUGCCGGGCUAGGCAAUGGUGACGUGAAAUUGCUGAAUUCUCUUUUCUUACCUUGGAGCUCUCUCGCUUCAUUGAGCAAUCGAUCAACUCUUUUCCCCAAUUUAUAGCUCGACCAGCAAUUCUGAGGAAGACAACGACUGAAACAUUUGAUUCGGUCACAUUCCCUGGCUUCUUCCAGAACUUGAUCUACUCCACCUUCAAAUUCUUGCACCUUGCAUAACCAGUUCUCCACUUGAUUUGUGCGCCGUACACCUCCCUCUCGUUCUUCACGUUCCACCCUUUCCUUCGCAUCCUCGUUCAUGGCCUCCAAGUCUCUAGUUUCUUUCUUCAACGCCUCCACAAUAUCUUUCGGAUUACAAAUGUAGCCCAAAGGUUUGCUGGCCAAGCCCCAUAACCCUUUGACGAGUUCUAAAAGAGGACUCGCGAAAUCCAUAGAUUCUUUCGGGAGAUGAGAGAUCGAAAAAAGGAGUAAUCCAGAUGGAUUGAGAGCAGGAUUGAGAGCAGGCGAAUGGGUGGAGUUCGAUAAUAGAGGGUCAUGUAGUAAGGGACGACUUUUACAGAUUCAAUAAUGGAGGCCCUGACUAAUGGCCCCACAACAGGGCAAUAAUACAAGCAAAAGUACAAAUCACAACUCGGGGAGUUGAAUUAUUGCGCACGCGGACAAACAACUUUUUAGAAAGUUGGAUUAUGGAAAUAAAGCACUCCUCGCAACCCCACACACAUAUAUAUAUAUAAAAGCAAAAAGUACAGAACACAACUCAAGGUCGAAUUAUUGCGCAUACCGACAAAUAACUUUUUAGAAAAUUGAAUUAUAGAAAUAAAGUGUAACUCACGACUUUUCCACAAAACAGUCUGAGCAUUCAUGAGGCUUGAAAUUUGAAUAUAACGCAUCUAUCGUGCAAGAUACCACUGAUCCUCGCUUCCGACGAAUGUUAAAAAAAACAUGGUAAUAUUUUUAAAUACAUCAAUUCGUUGUUGAUUAGGUCCAUAAUUUUAUACAAGAAGGUUUUUCCUAGCACUGUUAUGUAAUUUUCGUAAAGGAGAUUAAUUGUAGGGAGAAGAAAAAAAAAUUCAAUGGGAAUUGGCAACUUUAAUUAGUAAAAUUAAUACCUGCGUAAUAGUAAAUUGUGACUUUGAAAUAAUCUUGCAUUAUUAUUAUUAUUAUUUUUACAAAUCAAAGACUGGACAUUAAAAUCCACGUGCAUCGUGCAUUUAAUAAUCUAAACAUGCCCUCCUCCUUCUUGAGAUAGUUAGUAGCUCCCCCGCAUGUGAAUGGUUUUAUGCCCUCCCUUUCUUCUUUGAGAUUAUUAGUUGCCGAUGCUAUUCGUUUUGUUUAAUUUGGAUCUGGCAACACCAAUAUCCAUAUAUAAAAUUAAUGGGUUGCAAUUAUCUAGUGGUGCUCAGAAUAUGGGGCAAAAAAGUUAGACUCAUAUCUAGUUAGAAAUCUUUUGUUUACAACAUGGCGAAAAGUUGAGGACAGUACAAUGCUAGAAUCGUAUGAAAUAAAAUUUGAAAAUGAAAAAAAUUAAGCUCACUCACGAAAACACAUUCGUUUAUGUCACUGAGUAUAGGUAUGAGCAUGAGUUGUGGGUCUCUAAUUAUCAUUGUAUCGGUAGCCAUGAAAAUUAGACAAAAUUUUUUCACGCCAUUCCCAAUCCAAUAUUCUUAGGUAGUACUAUGAGGUAAAUGCACAACGUGCAUUUACCCUCUAACCCUAGAUGAUCCUCAUCAUUUUAAUCCCAAAAACUAAAUCAGAUCAAAUCAUAUAUUCUUACGAGACAUGAGUGUAAUAUUUCAAAACACAAGGUUCUCUCCCUAGAGAUUCCUCAUGCGAAAUGCGAGAUGUGAACGUUCGUAUAUGCUUUUUCGUCAACGGUCAUAUCCAUGAGUUUUUCUAAUUUUGGCCAACUUGUCACCCAUAUGCCACUAUCCUAUUACAAAAGAAAAACUAAGGACCGAUGAUUGGCGAAACUCCAUACGCAUCAAUAUUAUAAUUGGUGUUAUUAUUAUUUUACAAUAAAAGAGAAAAGUCCGAGUGUUACACUAUUAUGCUCUUAAGAAAACUUGAUACAAUCGAAUUCUCUAUUAAUAAAGGAAAAAACAGAUUAGUAUAUAAAUUAAUUAAGGAGAUUCCAUGUAAACAGAUUAUUAUAUACUAAGCUCCCAUUACUAUGCCGUCCCACUUAUCAAUGUUUAAAAUAUUGGGCCACUUUAACUUAUAAUUGAAAGAUUUUUUCUUUUAUGUUUGGUCGAUUGGAACAGUGGCUAGCUAGACAAACACUAGUAAUCCUUGCAAAACUUUUUAAUGGUCUUGGCUUGCAAAUCCUUUCAAACUCACCAUCUAAAUCUGAUAAAGUGACCUAGAUUGUCUCUGAAGAGUAGCCCUUGAAACUAGCAUUACGACGAAAUAAAUUACAGCGACGGAAAGUCAGUGGCGGGCUUGGGAUGAGUGAUGGCCCUGCCCCUAUUAGGAAAAAAAAAAUUCUAAUAUUACCCAAUUAUAAUUUUUUAAUAUAUUACUGCAUAUUAUUAGAAUUUUUUAUCACCACUAAUCUUGAAUUUGCUACUCCAAUCACCAUGGUCCCAACAUAAUACCGACUUUCGAGUACGAUGGAAAUUGCUAAAGAGAAUAGUAUAGGAUGCGAUGAUGCUAACAAUUCAUGACAUUUCCUGUUUUGCCUGAUUGCUUCUGAAAUGACCAGAAAAAAAUAUAUUGGUUUAUCAUUCCAAAUAUUUUCUUUAUAUUAAUAUUGAGUUUACUAGUCAACUGGAUGGUGGGGUUUUCACUUUUCAACUCUGAAUUAGUUGGAAAUGUUAAAGCUGAGAAACUAAAGGUGAAGACCAGGCCUUGCUUCGAUGGACAGCAUAUUCAUCCCCCCUUUCCCAUAUAUAUAUAUGUAUAUUUUGUCUUUUUCAGCAAAGAAGAGGAAUCUUAAACAACUUUUGUUCCCUGUUAUAAAAAUAAAGAUGCUUUGAUGGACAGCACAUUCAUCCCCCUUUCCCAUAUUCUUUUUUUUUUUUUUUACUUUUCCAAAAAUAAAGAUGGAUCUUAAACAACUUUUGUUCCCCGCUACAAAAAUUAAGAUGCUUUGAUGGACAGCAUAUUCAAUAUUUUUUUUAAGUUACUUUUUCAGCAAAGAAGAGGAAUCUUAAACAACUUUUGUUCCCCGUUACAAACAUUAAGAUGUGAUCGGAUAAGAUAUAAUAAGAAGUCUCAUCAUUUAUUUGAUGAAACUAUCUAUUACUGUGGGACUAUGUUAAUGAUGUCACAUAGUUCAAUGUUAAUUCUGCAAUCACAAACAAUCAACAUAUCAAUUGUCGUCCUCUCGCACACAAUCUAUUGCAUCCAUCUCCUCUUUCUCUUAUUUCAAGUUAUCUUACAAGUAUUCCUAACAAGAUCGACCCAUCCUAGAUGUCAAUUAAUAUGAAUUCAAACUCCAUGAAAUUCAAGUAACCUCACUCCCGAGCUAAAGUAAAAAAGACACCUCUAAAUCUAGAUAGAAAGGCCAUCGUGAUUCCUCCAACAUAGACAAAAAUAACCACUAAUUAGCUGGGUUAUCACCUUUUAAUUUGCCUCUGACGAAAAUUCCUUCAAUUAAAAAGAUUAAGAUAUCUGCUACUAAUAUUGAUCAAGGAGGUGCCAAAAGAUCACUUUUUUUUCUAUUUCUAAAAGAGGAGAAAUUAUAUUUGGCCACUUCAAUAGUGGAACCGAAGGAUCAGCCGCUGCUAGCACUGCCCAGCUCCCCUCUACCAUCGAAGGAAAGACCCCAUCUGCAAAACCUGACUUGAGGCUUCAACCUUCAAAGGCAAUUAAAGGGGAAUUUGUUCUUGUUUUCCACCAAGAACUACUGAUAAAAAGACUCGUCAAAAACUCUACCACCCUCUCCGUCUGCCCCACGCAAGGCCCUUGCCGCCACCAUCUCCACAGUACCGCCAUUACUGGCCUCGACAAUGAUGGUCUCUCUCUAAGCUACAUCUUCUCAACAUUAAUAAGUCAGUCAUUGAAAGCGAAAAAAACCUCUGAAUCUAGAAGCACAACUGCCGUGCCUCCACAUCGAGGGGGCAAUCGCAUCAAGAGCUCAAUCACAUCGGAGGAGACACCAAGCUUGCAAGAAAAAAAGCCAAUCACAAACACAAUUAAAAAGGGGAAUUAUGCAAAUCGAAAUAUAUGAAGGAACAAAUGGUAAGACUCAUGUUUAGUUAAGCAAAACACAAUGAUCCCUAUCCAAAUUGUUCAAGAGUUAUAAUAAAACACCAUGAUUCCUCAAAAAAAAAAAAAAGGAACCAUCAUAGUCACCCUCUUCAUACUAUUGUCAAAACCCACUCAUACUAAUCACUUAUACUUCUCUCUUAAAAUUAUUAAAAUAAUGUUAACAUUUUGCACAAGCGCUAUUAUUUUACAAUUAGUCUAUCACAAAUAAUUAAAAAUCUAAACAUAAGUUGCAUACAAUCAACAAUUAAGUUUACUUUUUUAUUCAUCUGUUACUCCAUAAAUCUAAUGUCUCAUGGAUUUUAUUUCUAAACACGUUUUAAAUAUAUAUAGUUUAUCGUGAAUAUAAUUAUAAAGUAACGACUUGAAUCCAUUUAUUUACAAGUAAAUUAAUUUAAAAUCUGAAAGUUAAGAAUUAACAUAGUUUAAAUAUUUUACAAUUUGAAGUGUGGAAUUGUUUCCUCAUUACAUUCAAAUUUGUACACUGACAAAAAAAAAUAUGUCGACAAAUUAUUCUUCUAUUAAGUAUAAUUAUAUAGAUAGAAAGGAAAAAAAUUGAAAGUAAACUUAUUUAAAUUCAUUCUAUUGCUAGUUCAAGAAAAAGCUUUGAGAAUUAAAUGACUAAUAAUAUAUGUUAUUGAUAAAAUAAUGCAAUUAAAAGAUUUAAAAUUGAAUUGGCCCAAUAGAUCCAAGACUUUUCAAAUAAUUUUCCCCCUAAUCUUCCAUUGUCAAGAAUUCUACCAAGGAACUAAACUGCUCCAACUUCUUGAUUCUCCUUGACAGGAGAUCCAAACCUCAUCUAUGAAUAAAUUCGGGCAGCAUGACUCAUGCAGUGAUCUUUGUCAUAUCAUCUUGUUCACCAUUUAGUGAGAUUUGAAGACCGAUGUUUAUAACAAAAUGUAAGUCACUGCAUCGAAUGAACAAUGCAGCAUAUAAAUAGACUUGCUACUUUUCCGUUCAUCUGUCUCCAAUAGGAUUAAGACUCCAAUUUAAUAACAAGUUAAAAUGAAAUCGCCAUUGGCUUAGGCAAGUCGAACACGUCAACGGGGUUUCACUGGUUUCCACGAAAACGCUCUUCACGUUUAUUCUUUGCUCCAUUGUGGCCACUUGAAGAGCCCACCAACCAUUUUACACUGAUGAUCGUAGAGAGUUGGGACAAUGUCCAGCUCAUCUUUGGUACUGUUUUUUUGUUCUCUAUCUAAUGCAUGUUAUUAUUCAAAAAGAUAUUUUCAGCAAAUUUAUGUAAAUUAAUGUACGCAAUGAAAUUAUGGAGGUUCAUAUUUCCCAUGUCAUUUUUAAUAUAAACAUUAGAAUUCUCUCAAUUUACGAAAUAAAUGUAUGAAGUUUAUCCUUUUGAGAAGUGGACGGAUGAGCCUUCGAAAAUUCAAGAACUGAUGUCGUCUCUUUUCUUCCUUUCCUUUCCUUUCCUUUCCUUGCCUUUCUUCUUCGGCUACAUCGCAACUCCAAUCUUCCACCGCCAUCUCCACUAGUUUCUCCCCUUUCCCCAAUCCCCAUCAUAGUCCCGAUCAGCACCACCAACCUCCCUCUCGGCUGCGCCAUUAUAGCUGUCCUCCUUCCCACACGCGCCCAAGUGUUUGCGUGCAGCCUAGUCUUCACUACCAUCGCCAUCGUUAACUGACCACACAAGUAUCUCAUCAGACCGCCUUCUACUUCACUUGUCGGCAAACAUUCCUCCGAUCACCACCAUUAUUAUCGCACCAUCGCACACCGGCACUACCACCCAACCAACCACCCGCAACCACACCCCACACUUGUGAUCUAAGGUCACUACCUCAAAUUCAAGGUCUCUGCCCACAGGAGACCUCCGAUCUGAGGGUAAUUAAGGCCAAAAACCAAUUGGUUCAUGAUCACAGCCAGCGCACCACUCUCUAUUGUUUGUCCAGAGAGAGAGAGUGGUAGAGAACAGACAAUGCCGCUGGGAGAGGUUGGUCUAUCAACGACGGCCCAAAGUAUGAGGCAUUCUAAUCAAUUUUGAGUAACUGGAUUAAUAAGUCAUUGAACUAGAUAUCAUUACGGUACAAGGCAAAGGAGUUUUGCAGGCAUUGUCUAUGGGCAUGAUACAUUUAAAUGAUGGCAUGACAUGACCACGCAACCGCCCAAGAAAAGCCUACGAGCACACAACAAUAAAAAUAAGCGGAUGAGACUUUUCUCCCGUGCAUACGGUUAGAGCCUAUUUAAAGCUCAAUAGUGUAGCGUGUGACAAAUUUCCCACAGCAUAAAGUUUGAGGCAAACAAGUGGUUUGGUAUGCAUCAACCUCGGGUCUGACUGUCAUCUUCAAAUUGCAAACACACUAGCUUUCCCUCCCCAAGAAUAAAUAGACUCUUGAAGCACAAUUGUUAUGAUGUAACUUACUCCUCUCAAUUCCCUUUAAGUUUAGGUCUAAUUACCCAAUUUUCACAGAUGAACAAUGUUACCAUAAAUCAUGACCUCUUGGGCGAGUGGCUGUUCAAGGAUGGGGAAAAAUGGAAAGAGGAGAAUAAAACUUCCUAUGCACACUUCAAAGUUCAUAUAACAAGGCCGAGGCCACCAAUUAUCAUUCUAGAAUGAAAAUUGCAAUAUUCUGGAGGAUUUGAGAAAGGACAGUUUUCAUGAUAUGUCUACAAUGGAAGCAAUAGAAGAAUAACUAGGGCUCACCAAAACUAUUGCUUAACUUUCAGUGAAUCCUCAAUCCGCUGGAUCAGUUGAUCAGCCGUCAGAGCACCCUCCUGAUAAUUGAAAAUAGCUCAAUUAAGAUAAGGGCAGAUGAUUAAAACAUCUUAAAACUGUAUAAGUUGCAAGCAAUUGAACAUCAGAAAAAAUUCACAACCCAAUCUUACAGUUAAAUUAUAAAUGAGAAUCAACCUAACUUCCGAUUAAAUAACAUUCAAAGACCACAGAAUAAUGCAUAAAUCUUAGGUGAUGGCCAUCAGUUAUUACCAUUUCUGCAUUGAGCCGGCAACCAUGUCCUUCACAGAAAAUUUAUAGGAAUACCCCCUGCCUAUUGCUAAAAGAAGUAUCACUUACUAUGCAUGGAUUGCAGCGACAUGGUUGCAGCAACCUAACAACUAGGGAAGCUGUGUUUUCCACGACAGUCAAGCUCUACAAAGGGAAGGCCUUUCAUUGAUCACUGUUGAAGACUUAUGCAGUUUGUGCAUAUUUAUCAUCGGUUAUUAUGUAGAAACAUGUUGGUGCUUCAUCAUGGUUUCAUUGCCGGUUCCAUGUUAUGCGAGAGAGUAAUGAUGAAGUGGGAUGGAAUUCCCCAGUCAAAAACAGUUUAGGAGGAGAAGGGUGUCCACUGAUUAUUGGUCAAUAUAGAUUCUUCAUGCCACAAGAGGGGCCUUAGUGCCUAUAUACAUUACAAGGGCUGUCUGUGCUUUUUUGGCAAAAUGCAAGUACUCUUUCCAGAGUUCACCCUUAAUCUUUCACAUCAUAAAAGAUUAAAAUUGCCAAAAACACUUGUGACUGCAGGUUUUUGUUCAAAUUAGGAUAUCUAAGGCAUCUCAUCACAGUAUCAAAAACUUUUUAUGAGCCUUUACUAACAUAAUAGUUACAAGAACUUAGCAGAUUAAAUUUCCAAAUGAUAGCAAAGGUGAAAAAGAUAAAACUUACAAAACGCUCAAAAGGCUUCCCAUCUUUAAAUAUGAUAAAGGUAGGUAAUGCUUCUAUCUUGUAUUUAUCAGCAAUGCUGGGGUACUUCUCAGUAUCAAUCUUCACAACUUGAAUUGUAUCAUUAAGUCUAAUGCUGACCUCAUUAAGGAUGGGAACCAUAAAUUGACAAGGACCACACCUGGGCACAAAAGCUUGAAUUAUAAGUAUUAUGCCAAUCAAGUUGCUCGAAGAUUUAUUAGAACAGGUAUCAUUGAUACAAAUCUAUGGAGGAUGUACAUUACCAAGUAGCAUAAAAAUCAACUAAUACAGGUUUCUCAGAUUUGGCCAAUAGAUCAUCAAAAGAGUUAUAUGUCUGCUUCUUAGCUUCAACCUGUAAAAAACAAGGGAUGCAGGUAAGUAGACGUCUCUAAUCUACAAAACAAAGAUCAAAGUAAUAAUGUCACCAAAUGGUCCAACAGAGACAAGAGGAAGCACAUAUACUUCCUUUAACCAUAUUAAUAAAGUCCAAAAGAGGCUACUUAUUAAAGAGGAACAUAAAGUUUAUUCCAACAGAUCAAAGGAAGAAGCCAACUAAAUAAAGAACAUAUGCUAUAACUAGCGUAAAGGAGUACAAGGAGAGCAAAACACGUUUUAUCAUUAACAGCAGUAAACAGGAUGCAGACAAAAAAUAAGGGGAAAAAUUGCACGACAUAUAACAAUGGAUAAAUGCACUUACUGAUUAGGAGGAAAUAUAUAAAGAUAGAGCUAAGUAGGUCUCUUUCACUCCCACUCUCUUCAAUUACAUAGAAAGAUAUUAACAUACUAGAAUCGUCCAGUAGACCAACAUAUAUAAAAACUCCCAUCUAGUAGGAUAAGGUCUACAGUUGUUUGUCGUUGUUUGUGAUGACAAGUACAAAAUCAACUCCUGCUAAGAGUUCGUGUGGUAUAGGUUAACCCCUGGCCUGCCCUAAAGAAGCUUUACAAAGAUGCCAUUGUAGGCCUUACUCCUAACUUUCUAAAAGUGUUGUUCAUUAUAGCUCUAUAUCACUUUCACCAAUAUGCUUCAAGAUUCAGAUGAGAUCCUAACAUGAGAAUGUAAAAUUCCUCAUACAUUAAAUGAGCAAACUCCUCAUAACACAGCAACUGGUCCAAUUUCACCAGUUUGUUUUCUUCUAGACAGAUCAUUUAUAGGUUGCAUUGUCCAAUGCAAAAUGAUGAAACCAUCAAAAUCUGUCUUCUUUGCUUGAGGAGGCAGAUAUGCAUUUGUAUGAAUUAUAUGAAACAGGUCAAUCCAAGGAUAUGCUCCAAGUAAUGACAGAAUUUAUCUAGUAAAGAAAAAGACACGGGACUGGUGGAAAGCAGAUGAAUGACCCGGCAUGACAUGGCAUUUUUUUUUUUAUAAUAGAUGCAGAUUGGCCAAGCACGACAUGACAUUGUCCAUGGUCACCUCCUAAAGCACGUUCAUUACAAUUAGGAAACAAUCACUAUGGGUUUAGUAGGGAAAACCACGGCAAGUGCAAUGCCAGGCAGCACGCAAAUAGCAACACAAGCUGUGUAGAUUGUCAAAUCAUUCAAUUAUUUAUUGAAAAAUAUAGCUAACUAAAUGAUAAAAUAGAAUGAAGACGUAACACAUAAUAAUCCCCCCGAUAAAAUUGAGGUUAAGCAGGCAAUAUGAAAAUUUGCCCAACGUAGAAUGACCGCUCGUAUGAUUUACCCACCAUACCAACACUUCUAUCGACCCAACAAAGCUCCACUGCACACUAAGACCGGAUGUCGAUGCCGGCGGAACAUACACACCAGAGCAUAACAAAACCACAAGCACCGAAUACUUGUAACAAGAGAAGCAAGCCACGGCCAAGCUAAAUUAGAGAGAGAGACGUCCAAUUCCAGUCAUAUAUUUCAAACAUCAAGUGAGCACCAGACAAGACAGAGCCCGCGCUCCGGCGAGCACGCGUUCCGCCACAGCUCAGAGCAACACUGCAAAAAAAAAAAAAAAAACAACGAAUCCCGGAGAGAGGCGUUACCACCAGAGAGAAGCCCCGAGGCUUCGAGUUCACCGAGAUCCUCCGGCCCCCGCCGCCGAACCCGCGGGCGCCCGCCGGGAGCCGGAGCCGAAGCGGCGACAUGGAGGAGGAGGCGGCCGGAUUCUCGCCGCUCAAGCGAGGAAUCGAAGAUGCGGAGAGAGAAAUCGCCAUGGAAACGAGGGACUCGAACGAAGAACGACUACCACGAGCUCUCCAAAUCUCCUUCUUCCUUCUUCCUUUUUUGGAUAAAUCGAAGAGAAAUAUCUUCCCCCCGGCUGCGUCGUCGUCUCGUCCGCGCGUGGAUUCGCGGAGGGAGGGAGCUGGGUUUCUCCGAUCCUUCGCUCUGGCCCCUUUUUAUACGUGACCGGGGGAAUGUUCCGGUGUGAAGCCGCGUGGCCGCCUGAUUGAAUUCAACGGACGGUCAGAGAUGGAUCGCGGCAACUACUCCCGGGAUCCGACGGUCCUGAUUUUUCUUUUUCUUUUUUUGGUUAGCGAAGUCGGGGGUUGGGGAGUGGGGACCACAUCGCGGACACCGGACGAUGCUAGCUAAGGAAAGCCUCCGGUGUUCUUGGAGGCUUUCGGUGACUUUUUUGGUCGCAACUACCCCUCCAAUUUUCAUUCUGGCUUUUCACGGAUUAAUAUUAAAGCUAUCAUAUUCCAUGUGAUUUAUUAUUUGUGAAUAGCAAUAAAUCCAGGGUGAAUAAUUAUUAUUAUUAUUUUAAAACUUCCAUUUGGUUCCCAAAGUGGGCAGGAAAAUAAAUUAUUAAUUUAUGUCCGUCUUGCGAUAAGCCAACAUGAGAGUUAUAUCCGGCAUCAUUAAAACAACCUUUGCAUCGGAUGAGGAUGCGGUAGUUCUAUCAAUAAAGCAAAAGCAUUGUGAAAAAACUCAUUCUAAAUACCUGAAAUAUGGUUUGUCGAUCAAAAUAAAAUGUCUUCUUCGUCAUUUUGAAGGAAAAUCAUUGCAGUGAGAUGGCCAAGGAUAUUAAGGUUAGAUAUGCUUUUGGCUUUCCACAGGAUUUACGUCUUCAAAUUCUUGGUUGAUUUAUUUCUUGUGGUUCUUAGCUAGUGUUAUAUCUAGGAUUCCGAUUCUUCCAUACUUUUCAUGACUAUGAUCUCUUACGAAAUCAGUACUCGAUCGCAUAGCCAAUAGUUUCACUUUACAAGAACUGAAUCGCGCUCAAAGCAUGCGCAAUCAAGAGCCUAGCCUAGCCUAGCUAAUUGGCUAACAAAUGCUAGCAAAACAUGCAUUCAUCUAAUCAAAAUUGGCAAACUAACAAUACAACUGGGUCAAUAGUCCUGCAUCCUCUCUCUAAGUGGAAAAGAAAAGGACUCGAAGUUGCUUUAGCACUCCCAGUAGCUACAGUAGCCAUCAGAGAUAGUUGUACUUCCGUAACUUCCAAUAUCUUGAACUUGAAUUUAUACCAUCUGCUAUAAGUUGAAAGUUAUGACAGUACAAGUGUGAAAAAGAAAAGAAUUAAGCUCUUUUUCUAUAUAUGCCCAGCGAUGAGCUUUAAAGCAUGAUGACAGUUACACUUAGGAUCUCCGCUCUGCACUCUGCAACUCACUAGAAAGGUCAUCUCCCCAAUCAUGGUAAUGUGCAUGUUCAAAUUUAAGGAAAUUAUAACUCAUUCCAUGCACAGAAACCCAUUCACAUAUAAAUGUUUGUAACAGAAUUUUGACGUUUCCACCUCCGCCACCUACAGAUUAAAUCCGUCGAGUUACAAGAGCUCAAUGAAAAUCAUACAGCUAAGGGCUAAAACAGUAACAGGGAUAGGUCGAUGGUUGUCAUACACCCAGCUUUAGCUCGAAAAGGAAAUACCGUUACAUGGUAGCACAAAGUAAAAUAACAUUAAUCCAUGGGAGCCAGAAAAAGAACUCCGAAGCAUACCUCGAUCACCCAUCGCUUGUCCAUGUGAAAGCCAAAAGAACAAUGGUUAGUGCAGAAAAGAUGGUGGCACAAGGAAACACCCACAUGACCCACUUUGACCUUCUGCCAGAACUCUUCUCUUGGGUGCUCAACUCAACCUCCUUGAGCAGCUCUCUCACUCCAUCCAUGUCAGAGUCUUUGGCAGCUUGAAUCAGCCUGCUUUGAAUUUUUUCGAGCUUUAAGAGCCGUCUGUUUCUACGUGCAUCUUUGGGUGGCCAGAUGAAACCUGUCAUCUUCCAUAGGAGGAUACCCACGUAAAUGGCAACUAUACAGUCUACAGUAUAAUGGUGACGUUCCCUUAUCUCUCUUUGGGCACUGUGCAUUACAAGUAGCCAUACAAAGACCGAGCUGAGACCCCCAUAAGCCUCCUGUAAGGAUAAUAGAUACACGAGCAAUCUUCAGAAACUUUUGUCCAAACCAAUAGAACAUUAAAGGAAAGAAAACAUCUGAAAGGAUAUUUGAAGAUACUUGAUUUUGAUUGCUCAGGACUAAAAUGGAGAGAAGGGGUCAAAUGGGGAGGUAAAUUUCCCCUGCUCUUGUUGUGUUUAUUUUGCAGAAGAUGAACGAUUUGGAGUAUAUUUUCCUGAAAAUGACAGUUUGUGUCGCUAAAAAAAAAAAAAGGAAUAAAGAAGAAAUAUUUUCAUCGUCCACGAAAAUGCAUAAACAUAAAUUAUUGCCAAUAAUGAGAAUAUUUUUCAUUACCUAACUAUUUCAAGCAAUACAAACAAUAAUUUUAGCGAUAGUUUUUUCAAAUCAUUCCUUUUCCACCAAAAAAAAAACAAAAAACAAAAAACAAAAAACAAAAAACAAAAAAAACAAGAAGAAGCCUCUUAUAGUCUCCAAUCACUUGUAAAACUGGAGCAAAAGCAAGGGAUGCAGCUGCUUUUCUCUUCAGAUUCUCAUUUUAACCGUCAACACUCAAUUCAGUAAGAAAAUCUGAGAAAUAUUACAUUGAAACAGCUGGAGAGAUUGUGCUCUUCCAGACUUUUUGUUUCUUCUAUUUUCCAUUACCUCAGCCCACCACCCAAAGAAUUCUUUGCCAAGCAAAGAGUUAUCUUGAAAGGAAGAGGAUUUCUCUGCGAAGAAUGCAGAAUUGACAACUAGAGUUCAGGGGGGUACCGUCCAAGCCAUAGCUGUAAGUACAGCAACAAGCAUGUGGCCACUGUACAUGAGGUCAUUGCAACCACCUCCAGCUUUCUUCAGCAGACUGAACCAUGAAGACCCUUCAGAGACCGUUGGUCGCAAAAAAUCGAUGAGGAAGCUCAUUGCCCCCCAAUCAGGCCGGUAUUCUCCAAGGUAACUGCCAGUAUCAGCUGUCAAACACAGAAAACUAUGAGGUUGAUUCACAUGGGUUAAGGAAAUUUACUAGUUUGAAACGCAGACUACAACAGUGAAUUUCAUCCUUAACAAGAUUACUUACAUGAUUUAUAAGUUUUCCAUCAAAAAAUUCCACUUGACCUAAACUCCCGGAAUUUAAUAUUUGUAAGUAAUCGGCAUUUAAUUAUUUUGUGAAACAAAAAAUGAUAUGUAUGUAUAGUGAAUCCAAUGAUAUGCUUAAAGCCUAUCAAAAGAAAACAAUACGAACUAUUCAUUUGAAAUUCAAGAAGUCAAAAAUCUAGAGCGAGCAGACAACUGCAGAAAAUUGCAAUUUCUAAUCUGCUUGGAUGGUCAGGGAAGAAUAUUGUCCUAAACUCUCCUAUGAGAAAACAAGAGAGCAAGACAGACUAUGGCAAACAUAUGCCAUUAAAAUAUUCAACAUACCAUAUGCUAUAUCCAAAUUUAUUAUCUUGCGAAUAGUAUCAGCAUCUGAGGCGUAUGGUACAUAAUAUUUCUGGGCCCAACGAUGAGGAUAAGCUGGGACUCUAAACCUAGCAUAGGCACACCAGGGCCGAGCAGAUGGAAGAAUUGUAGAAGCGAAAGUUAUAGCCCGAAGAAGUCGACCAAUCGCCAUGGUGAACAUGUACCUAGCCCCUAGUCCAAGACCAGGAGCUUCUACAGAGUCGAACAACACAGAGAAAGCCAGCAUCAUGAACAGCAUCAGGAAAUGAUGAAGCCCAAUAAUUGGAGCUCUCAAUAUAUCAACGAUUGUCUGAGGAAGUUUUUCAUUUGAUGCUAGAAGCAGCCACUGGCCAGUGUCAGGAAGAGGAGGUGUAUCCCUGUCCAGAACGAAUUUUGCAUUAAAUUUCCUUCUUGUAAAGGUUAAAUUCUAACCUUGCAGGUUUACCACUAUGGUGUGGGAGACUGAAAUCAUAGAAAUCAAAUUGCUGCAUCAUACAUCAAUAAUAUUAUGUAAUUUCCUGCCUAGAUACAAUCGAGGCAUCAUGAUGGAACUUCCAUGGCAGAAAUAGAGCUAUAAAUGGAGCUACCAUAAAAAGAAAGUGAGAAUUUUUUUUUUCUUUUACAAACAAUGGAGAAUGAUACUCAAGUGCAUUAACUUUCCUCCUCAUUGCUGCAUCAAACAGAUCAAUGCAUCACAUUUCAUCACAUGGUUUAUUCAGUGAAGCAACAGUUAUCUAGCCAUCGUCAUCAGUGUCCUCGUCAUUGUUGCAUCAAACAGAUCAAUGCAUCACAUUUCAUCACAUGGUUUAUUCAGUGAAGCAACAGUCAUAGUGCUGGCAGUAUCUAUUCAAGUCAUGUAGAUGCUUUCUGAGUGUACAGAUUUCAUAAAUUUCUGGAGCCAUGCAUCGUUAGAGAUGUUUUGUAAUUAGACUUACAAUCACAUAAGAUAUUACACUUUGUGGACAUUCACCAGAGGCAAAAUGUAAAUCUUGGAAUUUGUUUGAUGUUUACAAGUCCUGCAAUUUCAUCUUGAAAUCUUUUUUGACAAUAAAACGUCACGGCCAAAUUAAUCAUUGUACAUUUUCUUUUUGAAUUUGAGUAGAGACAGCUAAAGAAUAUGAAGGACACUGAAAACAACCUUAUGGCAAAUGGCAGCAGUGUGGCACUUUAGAUAGCAAUCUCUACUCCAGGUUCAGUAUGCCAGAGUAAAAUCAUGCUGCCUUAGUCCGAAUCAAACUUCCAAAUGAAAAUCGACAAGCACAAACACAUGGCAUUGGUGAAUAAUGUUCAUGAGAUGGAGUGCAUGAUACAAAAAUCUUUGAGAUCAUGCAUUAUAAUCCCAUCUUGUAGAGUACCACAUUAAAAUCAUCCAUGAAAUGAAACCAUCAUAAGAUCCAAAAGCCCAUGUUUUGUCUUCAUCUUUGAUGUUCUAACUUCUAAGGAUCACUUUUAAUAAGGAUUCCCAAUUAAGCAAAUUCAACAUUGUGAGACAUCAAAUGGAGUAGAAUAAAUUCACGGAAGAAUGUAAAUAAAACAUAAUCACAUAUGCCUGGCAAUUUGGAAACAUUUUUUGAGUAGCAAAACCUUAAUAAAGCUUGCAUAUAUCAAGAUAGAUGGCAGGAAUGACUCCUGAUUUGCAUAAGCUCAAGAACAUAAAGAGUGCAAGUCCAGACUUUGAAUCCCAUUUCAUCAACACCUUAUGGACUUAUCCACAUAAAAGAGGAAAAGAGUUGAAUAAUUUCAUUAAUUGUUAUUUGUUCAGAAAAACUCUCAUCAUCACGUACUUUUGCUCAUCUGAGUAUUGAUGAACUCAUAUAAAUCAUUCCAAGGCAUGCAUGCGUGCAAAAAAGGAAAGAGGCCGAGCAAAAAUUCUACCUUUGCAAUCUUUUCCGAAAUUCAAUCCCAUUCAAAGAGUAAAAUUUCCAAGAAUCAUGGGUUCAUAAUUGAAUAAACACCCCAUAUGGAAACAUCUGUAGAGAGCAGCAGACACUAAACAGAAAGGUUCCACUCAAGACAGCAUUUAAUUAUAGUUGAAAAAACGUACUAAUUAAUGAUCAUGUAUCCAUAAAUAGAUUCAUUCAAAUCUCAAGUUGCAAUCUUUCAUCGAAAUCUUCCCAAAAAAGUCCAUUAUUUCCAAUCGAUCAAGAUGACUUGCAAUCGCACAAACAACUUCCCCGUCUUCGACAUCGCAAGCCGAAUUCGCGUUCGGCAACGAAAUCGAACUCAACCGCAACCCGAAUUCGAGCUCACCGAAGUUCAGAUAAACGCAAUUCGAGCUAACGGAACUCCGAUCCAGGCACAAUGGAACUAGAAAAAGGGACCGAAGUCAUCGACUGAGCUCGGCUAGAAUCACCUGUGCCAGUCCAAGCCGAGCACGGCGGUGACGGAGCGCACGGAGAGAGCUUCGAAGAGGAGGGCCAGGAGCAUGAACACCAUGGAGGCGACGAAAGGCAGAGCGGAGCGGAACUCGGCCGACCAGUGCCGGUAGUAGGGGACGCGGGAGACGGCGACGAGGGCGAGCACCGACCAGAGCGCCGGCUGGAGGCGGGCGUGCCACGCCGGGGACAGGCGGCGGAGGUAGUCGACGGCGACGUAGGACAUGGCGGCCACGCCGAGGCCGCCGGAUCGCGGCGGCGCCCGCCAUCGCAUGGCGGCGCCGAUGGUGGUUGGACAAGUAGCGAGCUCCGAUCCAGUAAUAGUGUAAUGGCUGAACACUCCGCUGCGCCUUCGCUCGUCCUAGAAAGUAGAAAGGCUUUACUAAUGUUUUGUCGAACUUUCAUUAAUUUUCAAUUUCUUUUUUUUUUUUUCUAUUUUUCGAGACUUAAAGUUUCCUUUUGGAUCAGUUCACUUAAUUAUGUUUUAUGCUUUUAAUGUUGUCAACACGUGUAAAUUAGAUUUUUUAAAUUGAUAACAAAAUGAAGAAGUAUACUCAUUUUAAUGUUAAUUAGCAAUUAGAUUUGAAAUCGAAUCGAAUAACCACGAAGAUAAUUUUUUAAAUCAGCUCAGUUCAACUUGAUUAGUAAAUAAAUCUACUUUGGAUUGAACUCGAAAUCAAAUUCGUAAAGUCUGCUAUUCACUAUAAAAUCUCACUCUUCCACUCUAAAAACUCUCUCAUCGAUUUGAGCAACAAUAUUGCCUAGAAAACAUGACCUUUAAAACAAAUAAGGGAAAUCCUCUUAUAUUCAAACUAAUAGAUUGCAUUCAAAAUUUACUAUAUUCAUAUUUACAUGUGGUUCAAAUAUGCUUGUCUUAUAAUACAAAUACAAUUGCCACAAUUUUCUUGUCAGCAGUUAAUAUCAUGUAAUAUUGUUUUAGGAAAUCUUUUCUUAAAAAUUUGCUUGAUGAUAAUGAAUGUUAAGAAUUUUUAACAUGCUUAACUAUAUCAUGCUGUUAAUUUUUUUUUUUUAAAUAUCUAUCAAUACAAGAACGACAUGAAAAUAAAUAACAUUGGAUGAUUAGAUCCACCGAAGACAAUGAAAGCUAAGCAGUUAAAAUUACCCGAUUGUGACAUAAUGAGCUAUAUUAAAGUUAUAAUUAAAUCAAAUGCAUUAGUUAAAACUAGCAUAUACUUCUUUUCAUUUUUACUUGCGCUUAGACUAUUUUCAGAUUUGGAGAACAUUCUAUGUAUAGACACACAAAACUCAUUAACCCAAUAACUAGUUGGCUAUCUGUCAAAUAUGGAUAAGAGGGUCACUAGUUUUAUCUCAAAUUGGGAAAAAUGAAAACUAAAAGAAGAAAAAGAAACCAAACAAAAUCAAGAAAAUAAAGGCAAGAUUUAAGCUUAAAUCAAGAAUUGAUCCCACAUUAGACAUUAGAGUCUUCAUUGUGCAAUCAAGUUGUGAUUGGAAAAUUUUACUUCCAAUAGCACGUUAAAGUGGGACCCAUAAUGUGAUAAAUGCAAGAUGAUAGAAGUAUCUUUCAUCGUAUUUGGGAUUGAAAAUGCGCUAGCCUUUUCUAAUUUAUGAAUAUAGUUAUUCAAGUAGUCUCGGGAGCAUCUCAAAUGAAGCACUCCUGAACAUACUUUUGUCCUGAGACCUGUUAAUUAAUGGCCAUAAUGAAUAAACCAACCUCAUCAUUCAUAUAUCUGCACUUGUCUUUUGUUUACUAUGCUGGAGUCAUGGGAUCCUUCCCCAGCAGGCUUUCCAUUAGUUAUGGAUAUGGACUCUGUUAAUCACGGACUGUGAACAGCUUAACGCAUCACCAUGAGGAAAUUCAUGUGAAUUCAGUCGAAUUAGUAGUAAUGUUUCGCAGAAAUGCAUCGCUCAAUUCAGGAACGGUGGCAUUCUCCAGCAGGAAUUAUCAUCCAAACAGAAGAAGAGGUUCUUAUUGCUAAUGUCACUGCUCAUAUUCAUAGUGAUCAGGAUCAUGAGACAAAUCCUUGGGAUUCUUACAAGACAAUAGUCUUCACAUCGAUUUAGUUAUCGGGCAGGACUUAUUCGCAAGCCAAGUUUCGCAGAUUGCCUGGCAAAGUUCGUCGCUCCUUCACUUAUUGUAGAUUUUGAUGUCUCUCCACCUCGAUUCCAUGUAGUAGCUUAUUUUAGUCGGCGCCCCAUACACUCCACACUUGAAGUACAGAUCGCCCGGCCCUUUGUCGGCCACCUGGAACACUUGAUUCCCGUCAAGAAACACGGUCACUUUCCCUCCAUCGACGUCGUGGAUUAUGUUAAGCCUGAACCACCUGUCGUAAAGGCCGGUGGCAAUAAGGUUCCCGCUGUAGUACCGCAUGUCCCCAUCAUAGAUCCUCAGGAUGAUGGUAGUAGCUCCGUGAGCUGCGCCAUGUAUUUGGGCUAUCGUGGCGCCAGAUGUCCCAUUGGGCACAAAACCGUGCCCUUCGAAUUGCCAGACUCCAGAUGAGUAGUCUAGACCCUGCCAAAUGUGUAACCUUGGAGCUUACAAAGACGUGGUAAAAAAAUCGAGGAGGGAACAGAGAAAUCCGGCCAGAAUUAGAAAAGAUUCUGCUAAUCCGAUCAGUUUCUGGUUCAGUCAAUCACUACCGCAACGAUGAACCGUAGGGGGGUUGGAGGAUUACUUUGAUCCGAACUUCGGUGCGUGGUUGAGUGUGACUGCUUGGAUCGUGGGGCUUGUCGUCGGCGUAGACCCACAGCUUGCGCACCCCAUCCACAAAGCUGUAGCGCUCAUCCAGUGGAAUGUUGUAAUGCUUCUGCAGCUCGAAGUUUGCAUCUGUCAACGGUACCUCAGUGAAACCGUCCGUAGGAUCAGCAGAACAGAACAGAUUGGAUUUCGAAUAAUGACUCGAGACCAGGACGACAAAGAACAACAGUACAUGGCUAAAAGGAAUUUCCAUUUUUCUUUCUUGUCAGUCUUGAGAAAUUGUUGAGGAACUAGUGAAGGCAAAGCUUCUAUAUGUAGGGACGGCAUAAACAAUGUAGGAACCAGAUGAUUUUUUAAUCUUAACACAACAGGGCAGAUCCUUUGGUGAUCUUUCCUUGGACAGACAUGCUUGUCCUUUUGACAAUCUGAACGACCAUGUCUCACCUAUGUAAUCUAAUGUGUAUGUACAAGUGAUUCCUAGGUUCUGAGAAAGUGUAUGACCGUCCAAUUAUGUCAAUGUAAAAGGGUUGAAUGAUGCUCCAUCACUAGUCCUCAACAGCUUUGUUGCUGGUUGGGCGGUAAGGGGCUCUAUAUAAAUUAAUAGUUUUAGAUCUCUCUGAUCCGUUAUUGAUCUAAUGUGGAGAAAGAUAUGUUCGUUAUACCUGUCAUGACUUGUUUAGGAAUGUUCAAUUCAUGGGGUGGCUGGAGCAUUACAGGAGGGACUAUGGCGAAUCCAAGUAUUUGGAGUUACGAAGGCAUGGCCAAUGCACAUAUCCUGUUUUCUAGUUUGUGCUUCUUGGCAGCUCCCUGGCAUUGGUUGUAUUGGGAUUUAGAAAUAUUUUGUGAUGAGCAUACAUGAAAACCUUCUUUAGAUCUGCCAAAUCCCUUGAUUGGAAGUUAAGGGAUACGCAGAUACUACAAAUGAUUAAUUGAUCUCUUUUUCUACAUUUGGAGGUCUCUCGGUUCGCCCAAACCCCACGAGUAAAUAGAAAGUUGGAUCUACAUUAGAUCUCACCUGAAUUGCUCCAUCUAUCCUCCUAAGGAGAGGUUUGGCUUGGAACUGGUAGCAGGUUUAGUUUGUUAAUUAUUGUUUAUGGAUUCCAACAAUGGCAGAUAUGUCGUGGAUUCUUUCCGAGGGUAGGUAUUCUUGCACUCCAUUACAUUGACAUUUGACAUAAACAAUGCUUCCCUGAUAUUUUGGCCUGAUAAAUGCAAACUUGGUUUCUGUCUUUUCUAUCAUACAGUGACGAACAACAAUAUCAUGCCGAAUAUGCACUUUGAGGUCCAUUGCAAGUUGUUUUCAUUGCCUCAGCACAUCGCUUUCACACCACAUCGAAUAUUUACCGGUGCCAUUUUAUCAUGGUCAUCUUCAUCAAUUUCAUCCAUCCGUGUUUGUGGGGGUUUAGACACAAGUUCAUUAAAAUACAAAUUAAGAGCUUAGAGAGUUUUGUUCAUUUUUGGCACAGCUAAGUAUGCCACUGUUUCAUUUACAUCGAGCAGUCACACAAAAUUCUCCAAAAUUUGGAGAAGGCCGAAAUGAAUCUUCUUGGUUCACGCAUUCUGCUGUAAGUUCAUGCAGAGAAUCCAAUGAUCACAGGGAGACACGCGCUUGGCAUUGUUUCCUUCUGUUUUCUUGUUCAGUAAGUCUGAUCACGCCGAUUAAAGUCUCUGUGUGCUAAUCGAAUACCAUUAGAAUGUGGCUCUUUCCUCUUUGAUGGAACUCUCAGUUCUGGAUUCCGAACGCUUGGAAUCGUCUCCUUCUGUUUUCUUCUUCAGCAAGUCUGAUUACACCGAUUAAAGUUUCUGUGUGCUAAUCGGGUACCGUUAGAAUUUGGCUCUUUCUACUUGAUGGAACUCCCAGUUCUAGAUUCCCAAAAAACUGGAUAAUUUACAGCUCAACAGUCGGACAUUUCAGAUGACUGGGGGCACGCAGAACAUACACGAAGGCCAACUAUGAAUGUUACUAGAAUGUAAAUAAACCAAGGGGCAAGUCAAUGAUUCUUGAGUGAUCCCAUCAUUAACUAUGCUGACUGAUCUACAAGAAGCAGAUGAAAAAUCAUAGUCACGACAUGAUCUUCUGUCAAAUUUCUCGGAUACCUCCUAUUUUCACUUUCCAUUAAAGGAUUGAUCCACUUGAUCUGUCAGUUCUUAUAUAUAAAAUAGAAUAAAAUCUAACCGCAACCAUAGGAGAGAUCUAAAAAUGGAAAUUUAGAUUUAGCAUGAAGAGAUUGUGCCACUUUUUGUUUGGCUGAACAAGACGGGGGACGAGGGUGCUAAUAAAUUUGUGAGCUAGUUGAUUAGCGCAUGCAUAGAGGCUCAUCAACGGAGCUGGUGUCACAUAUGUGGAGUGACAGAGAAAGAAGCUCCGGGAAUUCGUCUUUGAGAGCUAUUUGUCGAUUAGCAUGUCUUUUCCUAAUUCGACGUGUUUAGACCACCUACAGCUAACUGUAUAUUCAGCCCACGCUUCAUACUUUGGACUAACUGCAAUUUCUAGCACUUUUCUGCAAUAAGCUGACUUUGCAGGUCCCUUGUUUUGCAUAUCAUAGCCUUAAUCACCUCACAUGAGAAGGCAGCUUUGGAUGCAACAUCCUAGAGUUCUCUGUGGUAGAAAGCUUUCGGUUGAUUAAUCAGUUAAGAGGCAUUAACUCAAAGCCAAGCGGCACAAAACCAAAACAACCACCUAACAGAUGAAGAGGUUUUUGACUAAGAGUAAAUUUUGGCAACACUUUGAACUUUUGGUUAGCUCAUUGUGACCCUGCUGACUUUCUUUGCUAGCCAAGUUGCCCUUUAAGUACUCUCUCACUUCUUGUAUAUUUUGAUGUCCUUCCACCUCGAUUCCAUGUAAUAGCUCACGUUUGGGGGCGCGGCAUACACUCCACACUUGAAGUACAAGUCGCUGGGGCCACGAUCUUGCGUCACGAGCUUUAGAGUCCCGUCAAGGUAAACCUCCACGAUGCCUUGAUCCCUGUUGUGGAUCACGUUCACCCUGAACCACUCGUCGUAAAGAUUGGUCGCAAUCAGAUCGCGAAGGUAGUAUCGUACAUCACCUUCAUACAUCCUUAGUAUCAGAGUAGUGGCGUGCCCCAUGCCACCAUGGAUCUGCAGUAUGAUGGCUCCGGAGGUCCCAUUUGGCGCGAAACCAUGGCCCUCAAAUUGCCAUACCCCAGAUGAGUAGUCAAGCCCCUGUGAGAAAGUACGUUAGGAUCAAGUCGAUGACAAAUCUUGAUGUGAGUUUCUGAAGCCAGACCGACCAGAACUCCCAACACCAUAGUGCAGGUAUCCGCAUAAGAAAAGAAAAUUCAAAGUUCUUAAAUGGAGGGAUCGCGAGAGUACUCUUAUGCGAAUUUCCGUCCGCGGCAUGGUCUUACUGUCAGGUUCAUGCGGUCUAUCAUCUGCAUAGACCCAAAGCCUCCUAAUUCCAUCUGUGAAACUAUACCUCUCCUCCAACAGCUGGUCAUACGGUUUCUGUAUCUCGAAGUUCGACUCGGUCAGUGCACGAUGGUGAACCCAUCAAUGGGAUCGGCGCAGACACAAUCUAUUUCAAUGAUAUAAAAGAGGAUGAGGCCCAGGAUCAGAUGUGAAGGACGCAUCUUCUUCAGUUAUUGAUCCUGUGAAGUUACAAGGAAAAGCUGAGCUAUGUACUGCUAGGACUAUCAAAUCCACGAAUGAGAGACAACACAAAAGCCUAGAACUUUUUUCUGCACCAGUGUCAGCGUCUUGUUGCCUCAAUUAGAAAGCUUUUACGUAGCCCCUAACACCAAGAAGAGGUCAAAUGCUUGGUGCAGAUUGAAGCUUUGGUUCUAUUACGCGGAAAAUCAGAGAGCCUGCGGUAAGAGAGAAGAAGGAAGAGUGGAGAAAUAGAGAGAAGUAGAGAGAAAAAAAAGAGAGCUCGCGAAAGCCAACAAGGGGCUUUUGGCUUCUAUGUUCCCCAAGCCCUACACCUAUGGGAAUAUAUUUAUAUUGAAUAUAAAUCGUACAAAACCAUAAUGUUUAUAUGUAUGUAAAAAGAAAUAAAAACCCAGAAAAUAAAACUGACACCAAUCAAGUUACAUAACAAUUUUAACGGUUGCCAAUUGAGGACGACAAAGUUUGCUGUGUCACUCAACUAAAUUAUGGCAGAAAGCUCCAAACUUUGUUGACUAAGACUUUCUUCCUGGAUUGAAGGCCAUGUCUCCCUUUUCGUGUUUUUGUCAGAUUGGAAUCAAAUUUUGGGGAUGGCAUGAAGACUCUUAUGCUUACGUUGAAUCAGAAUAAGUACAUCAGGAGUGCUAUAACUUUUGUACAGCGCUCAUUUAAACAUUAUGAUUUUUUUUUUGUUCACUUGAAUGUCACAGUUUUAAAAAAUCGAUCACUUAAGUGCCAUUAACAAUUUGCCUCGCUAAAAAAGCCAACCUAAUUCUAAUUUAUAAUACGUCAUCCAACAUACACAGAAAGUUGAAGUGAGCUAAGAAGACAAAUAUGUUGCUUGAUUAUUUGAUUGAAGAAUGGCAACAAUUCUAACAAUUUCACGAUAACCAUUUCAGUGCCAUAAAAUUUUAGAAGUAACCACUUAGGUUCAUCAAUUUUUUUAUUUUUUUUUAAGAAACCACUUAAGUGAUAAGAAAAGAGAGAGAGUUUGAAAACGACAUCAUUUGAGGAAGAGAGAAUCUAAAAAUGACGUCAUCUGUUUGUAAAAGAUUUUAAAGAAGCAACAAGAAACAACAACAUUUGUUGUAAUCUUGUCAUGUUGGACAAAAAUUUCCACGCUACAUUUCGGUUUAUUUUUAAAAAUUCCACAUCAGAAUGGAAAAUUAAGAAACAAGUCCUUGUAGGCUAAUUUACCGAAAAUGACCAAUGUGUCAUUUAAGUAAAUGAAAAAAAUAAUUAUGACAUUCAAGUAAGCAUUGUACGAAAGUUAUAAUAUUUAUAUUCUUAUUAAAUCAACAUCUGCUCUAAAUUUUCUUGGAAAGAAGAGAGCUUUGAAUUAAAUAGUAUUAUCUUAUAUCAUGAAUAUAUUUUUUUUGACAUAUCAUUUUACGUUAACUUUGUCUCGUGAGAAACUUGUCAAACUGAAACCUAAUAUGUUAACCAAAAAACUCAAUUUUUAUACUGUAUUGGAUCUUAUUAAUAGUGGCUUAAAAGUACAAACUAAGACAUUAAAAAUAAUUAAUAUGUUUAUGUCUCCAAAGCAUAAUUUAUGACCUUUAACGAGUGCUUGAAGGGCACUCUUUGCCAUUCUCGUUUUACAUUUAAUGAAGCGAAAACGAGCAGUGAUUUGCAAAAGUAACCAAUAGUUCAUUUAACAGAUAAACUGAAAAUACGCAUGACAACUUGGUCUCUUCUGCUAGAGCGCCAGGUAAAGAAUCAAGCCAAUCCAGUUAAACCCCGUUGAAGUCAAGCUCGAUGGAUUGCAUAAAAUGGUAAAAGAACCAAUGCCCCCCGAUAAGUAAUCCUAACGGACCAUAUAUCCAAUCUCCGACGACCAUGAACUUUCAUUUAUUCUAUACAAGAAGCCAGGAAUUAAUCUUAAAAUGAUCUCACGUUGUCAUUUUCUUUACUUCCAAAUCCUUCGCUCGCUUUGUUGUUGCGAGACACAGAUACAAGUACUCUUCAAGCUCGUCCACUCGCUCCUGAAAUGCGAUGUUCCUCGUCCUGAGCUCGUUCGCCAAUGGCUCAGAAGUCUUUCCGUCCCUUCUUGUCAAACAUAGAUGAACCAUGGCUUUAUUAUGCUUGAUCUCGUCACCAAGUUGCGAUACUAGCUGUAACCAUAAUGUAGGGGUGUAAAUGGUUCGGUUCAGAUUGGUUUUUUUGAAGAACCGAACCGAACCGGACCAAUAAGGAAAUUUGCGCUCAUUGCCGUGAUAUCCAUUUGUUCUUCGACUUUCUCGAGAAACCGAGUCCAUGCAAAUCCGAAUGAGUUGGACAUUCUUUUCAUUCUUAUCUAGUAGUAUAUAUAUAUAUAUAUGUGUGUGUGUACACACACAAAACUCAUUAACACAAUAUCUAGUUGGCUAUCUGUCAAAAAAGCUAUUUUUCUUUGGAAAAGAGUUUCGCUAGUUUCGUCUCAAAAAAAAAAAAAAACAAACAAACAAACCAAAGAAAAAAGGCGAGAUUCAAGCUUAUACCAAGAGUGGACCCCACAUUGGACCUUAGUCUUUGUUGUGCGAGUAGUAAUUGAAAAUUUUCACUUCCAACAGCAUGCUAUAAUGUGACAUAUUCAAGACAUAGAUGUGUCUCCAGUCGUAUUUGAGAUUGAAUAAGCUCGCGAGUCUUUAAAUAGUCUCGUGAGCAUCCCGAAUGAAGUACUUUUGAACAUGCUUUUGUUCUUUAACACCUGUUGAUGAAUGGCCAUACUCCAUAAACCAACGUUAUCAUUCAUAUUACUGCAAUAGUAUUUUGUUCACUACGAUGGAAUCAUGACAUCCUUCCCUAGUAAUCUUUCAAUUAGUUAUAAAUAUGGACUCCGUUGAUCACCAAUUGUUAACAACUAAAUGUGUCGCGCAAGGGAUUCAUAUAUAACUUAUGUGGAUUCAGCUGGUUGUUGAGAAAGAUAACAGAAAAUCAGUUGAAAGAUGCCAAGCCCCAGUCAAAUCAUAAGGCAGUGUGUCCUGAUCCUACCCGAACCGACCCGAAAAACAUAAUACCUGAAGCAAUAAUUCGGGUCGGGUGGGGUUUUGAGUUUGCGUAUCCCCCCUCUUCCCCCUUUUCCUCUCUUUACCUCUUCUUUAUCGCCCAAUGAGUUUUAGGCUAAAACUCGUGUAUGGAGCGCCAGCUAACAUAAGCUCGUUGCCUUUCACUUCAUGUAGAUUUUGAUGUCUCUCCACCUCGAUUCCAUGUAGUAGCUUAUGUUAGCUGGCGCCCCGUGCACUCCACACUUGAAGUGCAGAUCGCCAGGCCCUUUGUCGGCCACCUGGAACACUUGGUUCCUGUCAAGAAACACGGUCACUUUCCCUCCAUCGACGUCGUGGAUUAUGUUAAGCCUGUAUCACCUGUGGUAAAGGCCGGUGGUGAUAAGGUUCCCACUGUAGUACCGCGAGUCCCCGUUGUAAAUCCUCAGUAUCAGGGCAGUAGCUCCAUGAGCUGCACCGUGUAUCGGGGCUACCAUAGCGCCGGAUGUCCCAUUGGGCACGAAACAAUGCCCUUCGAAUUGCCAGACUCCAGAUGAGUAGUCUAGACCCUGCCAAAUAUGUAACCUUGGACCUUACAAAGAUGUACAAAAUCGAGGAGGGAACAGAGAAAUCGAGACAGAAUUGGAAAAGAUUCUGCCAAUUCAAUCAGUUUCUUGUUCAAUCAAUCACUACCACGAGGAUGAACCGUGGUGGAUUUGAGAAUCACUUUGAUCUGAACUUUGAUGCAUGGUUGAGUGUGGCUGCUUGGAACGUGGGGCUUGUCAUCGGCAUAGAACCACAUCUUGCGCAACCCAUCCACAAAACUGUAGCGCCCCUCCAGUGGCAUGUCGUAAGGCUUUUGCAGCUCGAAGUUUGCAUUUGUCAAUUUUACCUCAGUAAAACCAUCUGUAGGAUCAGCAGAACAGAACAUUAUGUAUUUUGGAUUAUGACUCGCAACCGGGAUGACAAAGAACAACAGAACAUGGCUACAAGGAAUCUCCAUCUUAGUUUCUUGUCUGUCUUGAGAAAUUGUUGAGGAACUAGUGAAGGCAAAGCUUCUAUAUGUAGGGACAACAUAAACAAUGCAGGGACCAGAUAUGAUUUUCUAAUCUUGACACAACAGAGCAUAUCCUUUGGUCUUCUUUCCUUGGACGGACAUACUUGUCCUGUUGACAAUUUGAAUGACCUUGUCUCAUCUAUGUAAUCUUGUGCAUAGACAAGUGAUUCCUAGUUCAACGGUUGAUAAUCGAGGAUGACAAAGUUUGCUGUGUCGCUCACCUAAAUUUUAUGCAGAACGCUCCAGACAUUUGUUGAAUAAAAGACUUUCCUUCCUGGAUUAAAGGCCAUGCGCUUUUCGUGAUUUUAUCAGAUUGGAAUCAAAUAUUAGAGAUGGCCUGAAGACUCUUAUGCUUAUAUUGAAUCAGUAUCUACUCUAUAAGUAUUUGGAAAGGAGAGCGCUUUGGAUUAUAUUGGAAAGGCGUGCUGGUUAGGGUUACCGAUUGGACUGGUUAGAACAAUAGAGGGAAUGAUAAUUAACUCCGAGGUGAUUGUAUUCAUGUCGUUCCUUGAGCAUUCAUCAUCACUAAGCAUCGAAUGCUCUUCGCACUAUGUGGUUCCUUGCUUUGAUUUGCUGGAUCCAAGUGAGAGGGUCUAUGCAUAUACUCGAGUUCCGCGGGGAUCAAAUCAAAGCACCCCAGUAUAUGAGAUGUUCUUUCAUGGGAGUGCAGUGAAGACGGCACUUGAUGAGCAUUCGCAGGAAAUUGUCCUUUUGUCAUACAAAUAGAUGAAAGAUUAGUUCGGAAUGCAUUAAGGUACUCUUCAUUGACGUCUAUGCUUUUCCGAGCGUCCUUUAGUUCUUCUCUAUCUGAAGCAUCUGCAAAAUGCAUUGACAGGUCUGCAUCAUGUUGCUGUAGACGAGGUAAGACUUGAUUAAUUCUAACAAACACAAGCUUAUUAUUAAAGUCAUUUUGUUAUUGUGCAGGCUUAUUCUAAUAGAUUACGCCAAUCGCAUCUCAAAAAAUGGAGCAAACCAUCACAAACCAUAAGUUACUGUACUGAUUUUUUUGGUGCUCGGUUUCGACCCAACCCAUAUUGCGAUUCGAUUCAGUCCACGGACGACUUCAUCUAUAGCACGAGUUUAUAUCCAUUGUCUUUGGUGGAAAUACAAAGAUGAGGGUGAACCUUGGAUUAGAGAGUUAACUUCACUCCUUAAAAUCAACCAUUUUCAGCACUUGAAUGAACUGAGAAUCAUCAAAAGCAAGCAUAAGUAUAUUAUACCUUCGAAAUCAAGUGUAUACGCUAUAUUUGCCGAAAAGUGACAUACUUUUAAUGUUCAUGCUAAGAGAUUAAUGCUUGGGACUUUAUUUAGAUUGUUACAACAAUUUUUUUCUUUUUAUAUUUGCUAGGCAAAAGGCUAGGAAGGGCGACCAGUAUCAACAACCCCUUAAAGGUAAUUUUGCAUAAUGACGCAUCACUAAAAUGUCCAUGGCCGUGACACUUGAAAUGCCUCUUCCAUCUACUUUUAUAUGGAGCUCUUUAUCAUACUCCAUAAGUUUCUCCUCUUCAUAGGAAGAAAUACACCAUAAAUAUCUUAACUUGUGUACAACACUUACUAUAGUGCCACAAUUUUUUGUCGGCUUACUUAAGUGCCACUUUAAAAAAAAAAAAUGAUCACUUAAGUGCCAACUCGGAUUUGAGUCAAACAGAAAUCUAACGUGAUAAUAUUUUAAUGAUUUAUCAAUCCUACGCGGCUUGCUAAUGUGCUCAAUCAGCAUAUAAUCUCUAAAUGAUGUCGUAUAGCAAGUUAAAAAGUGACCACUUUAAUGUCAAUUUUAAUGAAAAAGUAUCAUUUCAGUGCCAAAAAACCCCCUAAAUGAUGUCAUGUAGCAAGUUAGGAAGUAAUCAUUUUAGUGCUUGUUGUUAAAGGAAAAAUGAUCACUUCAAUACCAAUUACUAUUAAAAAGUGAUCACUUCAGUGCCAAUCUUAAUGAAAAAGUGAUUACUCCAGUGCCAAAAAAUAACACAUAACAUUUUUAAUUAUAAAAGUUAUGUAAUUUCUCUCACUAGAAUUUUUCGCAAAGAGGCACUUAAGUAAUCGUUUUUGUCCAAUUUUGGCAUUUAAGUAAGCUGGCAAAAAAUUGUGGCACUAAAGUGAGUACUGUACAUAAGUUAAGACACUUUUGGUGUACUUCUCUUCCUCUUCUUACUCUUGUUGUGUAGAGCCUAUUUGAUAAUACUCUUGAGAAUAACCAAUUUUGUUCUUUUGUUCCUCAAAACAAAAAAAGAAAAGAAAUCUAUUUGAUAAAAAAUUUAUUCUUGGAAAUAGAUUUGGAAUAAAAUCAAGAAGUGAAAAAAAAUAGCUUUUUGUUCUCUGGAACAAUUUUUAGAAUCAAACCAAACUUUUUCUUUUUUCUUUUCUUUUCUUCUUUCCUCCUUCUCUCUUCUUCAUCUUCCUCCAAACUAUGUCACUGGUGGCUGGUGACUGGCUGGGCAAGAUUCGGCGAGCUCGCCAACGGCUCGCUUGGCCAAGGCAAGCCUCGACCUUGCCAAGGCAGCGCGAUGUUGGCCUUGCCAAUGACUAAUUGAGGUUGACCUCGCUAGGUCCGAAGCAAGACUAGGUCUCGCUAGGCUAGGGCGACGUUGACCUUGCAUCGCCUAGGCAAGGUUGAGCCUUGCUGGUGGCCUAGCGAGCCAAGGUUUGCUGUGGCUAGGUAAGCUUGCCGAACCUCACCCAACCAAUCAUCAGCCACCGCUGCAGUCUGCGACCGGCCACAAAGAAGAAGGAAGGAGAAGAGAAAAAGAAAAAGAAAAAGAAAAUAUAAUAAAGUAUCUAAAAAUUAAAAGAAACAAAAAAAAUUAAGUAUCCUGUCGAAUGUAUUUCUAUCCCGAGAAUAUAAAUUUUAUACAGUUACCAAGCGUCUUCAAAAACUCAAAAAUUGUUCUUGGAAACAGAAUAAACAAAUAUCAUUUUUGAGCAAAAAUUACUCUCCAGAACAUAAUGAUUACCAAAUGCGCCCCAAACAUCAUCAUUCCUAUCUCGCCGGAUUCUCUAAGCAGUUGAGUACCCACUCUAUUUGUCUUUGAAGAUUCUCUAUGGCACAGUCUUGCCUUUCGUUAUGCGCUUUCUCCAAAGUCAAGCCUCUUAGAACUAGAUCAUUCAUUUGAAGUAUGAGUCUAACGACAGAAAGGAAUAACUCAAAACAAGUUCAACUUGAGCUAUGUUACCAAUUUUAUGCGUGUGCGGGUGAGUGAUUUUGGAAAUAAGGACUAUUAAGGUUAAGUGCAUGGAUAGGUGUGUUAAGUGAUUAUGAAAUGAUGCGUAAUGGAUGAAGGAUAUGGGAAGGUUCACCACCAAGGCAUAAAGGCACAAGCCACCAACCAAGGAUAAAGAACCAGUAUAGUGGCAGCUCACCACCAAGGCAUAAAUAAUGUUUACAUUUGAGAACUCUCCUCUAAUUAUAGAGGAACAAAGACAUAGAAAAUAGACAAAUAUUAAAGAGACAUGGGGACUCCCCGAAUAUUAAAGACAUAGGAACUAGAAAGCAAUUAAAGUCUUAGGAACUAGAAAGCUUAAUAAAGAUUUAGGAACAAGGAAAUGUAUUUAUGAGAUAGAGACUUGAAACCUUGACUCUUCAACCUUGUGGUUCAUCUUCCAAAAUUCGUCCACCAGCUUGAUCAUAAAAUAACCAUUUUGGGAGAUCAACAAAUAUCUAAGGAAAUUGCUCAUAAUUGAUUUUCAUCGAUAUGUUUUUGAUUAGCUAUGAAAUCAACAAUUAGUCUGGUCAAUCAAUAUUUUAAUGCUUGAUCGGCAAGGGAAGAAUCGACAACUCCUUAAUCAGUAGCUUGGUGGUCAAUUGGUCACCAUGAAAUUAAUAGCUCAUCGAACCGACAACUCUUUUGCUAAAUCAACAUCUUCAACUUGAACCCAUCAAGUUAGAUUGUAGUCAAAAUUGGCAUUUUGCUUCCAAACAUAGAAAUAAGUCUGAUUAAUCGACAAAAUCUGAGCUGAGCUCGUGAGUUGAUCGAUAGAGCUCGAUACUCCCACAUCCGCUUAGGAACAAAGAUAUUGAAAGAAAAGACCAAGCAAGAUAAUUUUCCAUUAGAACAGUGAAACUAAGGUUACAUGUUGUCUACAAAAUCUCUCACUUCCUUUUGGAAAAUCGUCAUGUCUAGCUCUAAGCAACUAUUAUCAAACACUAACUGGUUCUUAGCACGUCGAUGUUCGGCCAACUCUUUGUUUAGUCGAUACUGCUCGUCAAAAAUAUCAAGAUGACUUUCCAGAGUUCUGGCUGCCUGAAUUAUCUGGGCAGCCUUGAGUCUGCGUCGGCGUCGGACGUCGAUCAGUUGUCUCUCUAACGCAUCCAGUUGUCUCUCCAACUUGGUUUCCUCAGCAGCAAGGUCAUUCUGUUCAUCGACCAACGCUUCUAGGGUAUGCCGACUAUCUUUCAAAGUUUGGUCAAAUCUCUCGAUAAAAUCGUCAGAAUGUUGAUAGUCUUUCUCCAAGUCUGCCAAGGCAGCGAUCCUUUCGCGGUUCUGUCGAUAAGUAUCUAUUCCACCAGGAAAUUUAGUCAGAAAGUCUUCGCAACGUUUUCUGAAUUCAGGGGACUUCGAGAAUCGGAUAUCACCACCACAUAAUUCCCCCAAUAAGGCUUUAAACCUUUCAGUCGUGGCGGGAUUGGCUGCAAUUAACGGAUAUCCACCCUUGGACAGUUCAAGAAACUCAGCCCAUUUGUGCUUGACCACGUCGUCGGUAACGACAAGUAUCGAUGAAGCCUCGGGUGGGGCAGUGUCAAAACUAACAGCUUUAGAACGUAAGACUUUCACAGACCUAAAAUUUAAAAAAAUAAAAUUUAAAAAAAAUAACAUAUAAAAAAAGUAUAAGGCUUUCGCAGACCUCUCCAGGGUAGGCCCAGCAUUAACGAAGGAGCCAAGUAUUUUUUCACCAUCGGUUUGGCUGAUUCGUUGCAACAUCAAAGAAGGUAAUGGUGAAUGUCCAGGGGACGGCAGAACUGGAUUAACAGGAGUGGGUACCGCUCGAGAUUUUUGGGCAUCAACGUUAGCAGGCUCAUCGACAUUGUCAUUUUGAUUUGCUGGAGAAGAUCUUGAACCGGUUGCUUGACCUUUUUGUGACAGUGAGACAGGAAAUGAGACAUCGUCUAGUAAAAAGGAAAUGCGAUGCAAGUGAAUGCAAUCAACAAGGACUUGUCAGAACACAUAAGAUGAAGUCAAUACCUUGUUGCGAUGAAGGAAUAGGAGCUUCAAGUGAUGAAGGCUGUGAAAUGGCAUUAGUGACGAUUUCCAAUCGGCUUCGAUCAUCCGCGCCAGCAAUAGUAGAUGUGCCUACCGACGGACUUCCGUUCAUCGCGUUUGAGGAGGACGAAGGCUGCAACCAUCGUCAGCAAUGGGGACGACAGCAUUAGAAACAGGAGGUUUGUCAACGAGGACAGUACCUUACGUAUAGUAUCCCUAGUAAUAUUAUUCACUUCAAAAGGGCAAAUGAUUUUCCGGAGUGUGGAGGCACAAGUCGGAAAAAGAAGCCAAAAAUCACUCAUAACCCAAGGUACGUACGAAGCAAGAUGACAAUUGGGUAUAGUAAAUAUUAAUAAAAUGUACUUACAUAUAGUGUCCCUAGUAACAUUAUUCAACCGGAGUGGGAAGGCACAGGCGAGAAAAAGAAGCCAAAAACCACUCAUAAUCCAAGGUACAUACAAAGCAAGAUGAGAAGAAAGACCAUACCCUAACACGAAGACCAAUUUAUGCAGCUUUGGGUCACGUGCGAUUCACUUACCAUUCUUUCUUUCUUUUUUUCUUUUUUUUCUUUUUUAAUUUAAGCUAAGAAAGGGACACGAAGUGUGGACCUAAACACACUUUGACCAAAUAAUCCGGAUAUACAUCCAUCAAGAUAUAUACUCAUGAAAUAUGAUUUAUCACCCAUCGAAUAACUAUUUUUUCACGAGAUAAUUGUAUUAAAAAAAUCAUAAACAUAUUAUACAUAUAUUAAUUCAAUUUUAAAUCAUUUUUAUUGUGUUGAUUUAAUCUUAAAUCUUUUAACAAUUUGUUUGUAUAAUUCUUUUCAAUUAACUUUAGUCAAAAAUCACUGACGUGACAAUUCAAUCAACACUGACCAUUUUUUGUAGCACGAUUGAUGAUGUGUCGUGGCCAAACCAAAUCUAAAUAAUCUUGCAUAAUCUUCUGAGUUUUUCUUUUUUUCUUUUCUUUACUUUUUUUUUUGUGCUCCCUGUUCAUCAUCUUUUUUAACCCACUCUCAAGCUUUCCUCCCCAGUCUCUAAGAAAAGUUUCGCUUCUCAAUUAAAUCAGACUCAAUAUUGGAUCUAGUUGCAUCAAAUAAUUUUCCCAAUUCUUUCCCACGUGCUUUACAAAGCUUACGUUACCAAAUGAAAUUCAAACGCGUGAUUCGCGGAAGAUCGGUAAAAGUCAAGAGACAUAAUAAAAACCAGCGCGUUCUUUUUCAUCACCACGUUGGAUGCCGUACCUGAGGCCGAUGUGAUUGGAGACGUAAGGCGUCUGAGGAAUCCUUCGGACUCCAACAAGAAGCAUCAACGGGAGGGGCAGGGAACUCAAGAGAAGCGUCCUCAGUGACUCUGCCUGCGACUGGGAGACCUCCGGGGGAGAUCCCACCGGCCAGCACAAAGGCCGGCACAAAGACGGUGGACGAUGAAGAAGAAGGCAGGGAAAACUGAGAGGAAGCAUCACCAUUCUCAGAGGAAGCGGGGCUCAGAUAAUUGAAAACCAUGCUUUCUAUAUCGGAGUCUUCUACUGCUGGUUUGUGUUAUCGUGGAUCACGCUCCCAAAGAGCGAAGAUUUGAUUAUAAUGGAGCGGAUGCCCCUAGUUUGAUGUCCUCCUAUUGGGUUGUUUCUGGUUAACAUCUCAGAAAUUUCCUUUCUUUAUAAAAGUCAAAUCAAAAUCCUGCACGGACAAACUGCUGAGAUCAGUCAACACGAUGGGGACAAAAAGAGCCGCUCUUUUUUUUAUUGUGAAGCUUAUCAUUUCAUAUACAAGCGAGCCCUCUAAAGUAAGGCACAUCGAAAUACAGAAUCUCCUAUAGAGCAAGUAAUAAGAAACCCAAUAACAUGGAAGGGCCUUACAUCUGGAGGUCUUCACAACCCAAUCUGCUAGUCUAUUUGUAUCUUGAGUAUGGUAAGCCAACUCUAGACUCCCAAAAAGGGCGAUGAAGCCUAAAGAUUCUAUGAUAAGUGGCUUAACGUCCCAGGAGUAAAGAGAGGAAUCUUGCAGGAAGCUUAGCAAGGAGGAGCUGUUAGUUUUCAGCACAUAUUUCUGUCCGGAUCGACUAGCAAAGUGACGAAGAGCAUGGGUACAAGCAAGGGUUUCGGAAUGGAGGGCGGAGGACACUUGAAUUGUUUUCAUGGUUUACGGUACCUACACAGCUGACCUUGUGUAGUUGUUUUCAUGUCAGUGGCACUUAAUAGCAAAUUCACCGCAUUCACUCCCCAUCUUCACCCAAAUUUACCAACUUACUAUUGCAAUCUUUAGGGGUUUAUUAAUGGAACCCCAUCGCAAUGUUCAGUGAAUGAGCUAAUCAUCGGAUGUCGUCACUUGUACCCCGACGCCACCACACACAUUUAAUCAAUAGGUGCUAAUAUGAUUGUCAAACUCCUAUGAGCUCAUAAAUGAUUCGAUCAAUCUGGACCAGCGAACUCAAUGCGAUUCACAAAAACUAGUAAUUUGAUUUACAAAUUAUAACCAUUAUACACGAUUAUCAUCCGAUGCCUUUUCUUAAAGAGAAUAUUUUUCUUAAUUCUAUAUAUCUUUUAGGAUUGCAAGAUAAUGUAAUAUUCCGUUACUCUAGAUAGUUGUCCUAUAAAGUAUAUAAAUAGGCUGAUCUACCCUUCAUUGUUUAUGCAUCGAAAUAUACAGAAAAUUCAAUGAUACUCUUUUUCCGCUUUGUUGUUAAUUUAAUAUUAGGCCGUCGCACCUAUUGGGUCUUCACAAGGUGAUGGUCCCAGCAAUCACGAGCCUCCAGCGAGUUGACGCCUUCUGUGUGUCGUUCCAACGCUAUUGGUGGUUUGCCUUGACAAACGAACAGCAGCACGGGCCCACACGCUUCGCCGCCACUGAUCGCGACUGAGAUUCGCGCGUCGCCGCCGCCUGAAGCCUCUACCACUCCGCUGACAUCACUCCCGUGCCAUUCACGUGCAUCUCCUCACGUUGCAUCGGCAUCAUCCUGCCAUAUCGCCACAGCGGCAAUUGACGGACCGUUUAAUGUUGACCGCUUCAAUUAGAUCGGCCUGAGCGUCGGUCGACUGGUUCGACUGUUUUCGAACGGAUUCCUCGGGGUUGUACGACUGGUUCCUAAGGUAUGUUGAGGUUUUGAGCCUGUUCUUGGACCUUUUUUUCCCCAUACCCGUUCUGCCGAUUUUCAUCCUAUAGGUGCACGCAAUGGAUAAACUCGAAGUCUCACUGUUCAUUCGGAUCAUUUUCAAUAAAUCAAACUAUAUUUUACGGCCGAAGAAAUAUCUACCUUUUUUAGAGGAUGCGGACUUCUGUGUUACGUCAAUGACAUUCGUGCACCUAUUAAAGUUGCAGAAGAAACAUAGGCAAAAUUAUGUCAGUGACAUUCAUGCACCUAUUAUCAUAUCUGUACAUGGUUUCAAAAAUUUGUAGGUAGGUGGGUAUUAUGGAGUAGCAACGUGGGCCAAAUGGCAAAUUUCAUGGUACGGUCCGAAAAAAGGAGACCAAGGAUGAAGUUGGGCAUUGAAGAUUUAAAUUGAGAUAAGUUGAUGCAAGAGGAUACUUGAAUUAAGGUUGAAGCUCAUACAUUAAUGGGAGAUUAUUUGGAUACACUUAUAAAUUGUGUUAAAGAAAUCCUAUAUCAGAGAAUUGAUAUCGUGUUGAGUAGUUAAUAUAUCAUUGUUAGCUCAUAACUCAUUGGUUUAAACUUUUGAGUGAAAGUGAGUCUAACUGAAUAUGUUAACGGGUUUGGAUCUCUGUCGUGCACUCCUAACAAGAGUUACGAGUUGGUGGCUUGUUUUGACAAAUGAUGGCCUUGCUGUCUGCCAAUCGACCAUGCGCUUCACGCAACUGAAGUGUCUGCUACUGCCAAUAUUGAUGACCGCACUCUUUUGUCGUCCUGGCCCACUGCAAUAGGGAAUCAAAUAGGCUAGCUGAUUGGCUCGCGAAAGCAUGCAAAUCUAAAUGUCUUCCGUCUAAUUGUUAAACCGGCCCAAGCAUUGAUAGACUGGUUCAGCCGUUUUCAGGCCGAAUCUUGGGGUUGUUCAACUAGUUCCAAAGGUAUUUUGACGCUUUAAGUCUCUUUUUGGCCUUAUCUUCUGCAUAUCGGUCUUAUCUUCUGCAUAUCGGUCCUCUAAGUGCUUGUUUCUUCACAAUUCUUUAUCAAUUCUUUGAGUUUCAUUGUUAAAGUGCACAUAAUGGAUAAAUUGGAAGUCUCACUGUCCAUUCAAACCAUUUUAAAUAGAUCAAGCUAUAUUUCAUAAGCUAAGAAAAAUUUAACUUUUUGAGAGGACAUAAUUUUGUCCUUAUGUCACCAGUGAUAUUUGUGCGCCUACUAAGUUUAUUGACGAGAAUGAGGUGAAAUUUAUUGAAUGCUUAGAAGAGUGGACUAGGAAGAAUUAUCAGGUCCUCACAUGAUUUCGAAACACUUUGAUUCGAUCUAUUAGACUUCAAUUCGGCUACCUCAAUAUAGCAAAGGAAGUCUGGGAUUUGCAUGCCAGCCAAUAUUCCACUUUAGAUAUUGUUCAUCAAUAUGAGAUGUUAGGAAAUCUACAUCGUAUGUGUUGGGAGACAGGUUGGUACAUUGAUAAUUUCUUAUCUUCCAUGCAUGCAAUCUGGGAUCAAUUAGCCUUAGCCACAGAAACAACUUUCCUCCAAUUUAAUUACUCAUUAAUAUUGGGCUACCAAAAUGAUUAUUUUUAUAUUAAAAAAUUCAAACUUUUUUAUUGAAUUGCCAUUUAUAAUUGUCCUUACUUACUAGCACAUCUCUCUCUCUCUCUCUCUCUCUCUCUCUCUCUCAAAUUGUUCGAUAUUAUUUCAGUAAAUUGCAUUUGUGGUCAUCAAAGUUCACCUCACCAUGUCCUCCGUUGCUGCAAGAUCCAAUACGGCCGUCCGGCUCAACAAUCACUUCCAUAACCACGACCAGAACCACAGCCACCCCAGGAUCAGUAGUUGCAGCGAGCUGAACCAGCUCAGCCAGCAGUCAACGGCAAACGCGUGGAUGGCGCGGAUGCUGUCAGCGAGGGAGCAGCCAACAAUCGACGUGAAGAUUAACAACUUUGUGGGGAACGACAUAUCGGUGAUCAAAACGGCUUGUAGGUAUGCAUGUUGGUGUUAGAAUAUCCUUCUAAGUCGAUCCAUCAGCUAACAGUAAAUGGAGACCUUAUCUAGGGGAAUCUAAGCAUUGUCGUUCAUCAUGAUUUGAUAUCGUGCAAAAAAUUGAUGAAUAAAUGGACCAUCAACAUGUAUUUUGAUAUGAGAUUAAUUAAUGAAUAGACCUUGAUGAUGUGUGGUAUUAGAUUGAUCAAUGGAAUAGACCAUUGAUAGGUAAAUUGAUAAAAUAAUUAUUGGACUAGACCAUUGAUGCUUGAUUCGAUAUUGUUAAUUCAAAUGAGUACUUCCAAUAAAUAAAUAUAUAAAUAAAUAAAUAAAUAAAAUGAAAGGUUAAAACUCAUUCUUCAUAUUGUGUAUAUAUUGUAUAUUGGAUAUGAGAUAAAUGAAUUUUGAUAUUAUUUUGUAAAAUGCAUUAUGGGUGCUCAAUUUUCCUUUCAAAGGUGCAAUACUCACUAGGCCAUGACUGCUCAUUCUAUUUAUCUUUCGUUUUUUUCUAAGAAUCUUAGUUAGUGAGGACUUUGGAGAGUUUAAUUUUGGGUGGUUUGAAACUGUGUCUUUCAGGCUGAUGGCUAUCUCAUUAUUUCUAUUCCUAUAAGAUUCGGGAUGUGAUAAACCUUCUCAUUUAUUUCUCUACACUUGUAAUUUUGUUUUUUUUUUAACUACAAUGGAAUCAUGGGAUCCUUCCCCAGUAGUAUUUCCAUUAUUUAUAGAUAUGGACUCCGUUAAUCACCGAUUGUUAACAACUAAAUGCGUCGAGCGAGGGCUUCACCUAAAACUCAUGUGGAUUCAGUUGGUUGUUGAGGAAAAUAACAAACAAUCAGUUGUGAGAAGCUAAGCCCCAGUCGAAUUAGUAGAAAUGUUUCGCCCAAAUUUGUUGCUGAAUUCGGGAACAGUGGCAGUCUCUAGCAGGAAUUAUUAUCCAAACAUGGAAGAGGGUCUAACUGCUAAUGUCACUGCUUAUAUAGUGAUCAGGAUCAUGAGUCAAAUCCUUAGGAUUCUUAAAGACAACAGUCACUCCCUCACAAUCGAUUUCGCUACCUGACAGGAUUUAUCCGCAAGCCAAAUUUCGCAAAAUGACCACGAAGCUCGUCGCCCUUCGCUUCUUGUAGAUUUUGAUGUCUCUCCACCUCGAUUCCAUGUAGUAGCUUACGUUAGCUGGCGCCCCAUACACUCCACACUUGAAAUGCAGAUCACCCGGCCCUUUGUCAGCCACCUUGAACACUUGAUUCCCAUCAAGAAACACGGUCACUUUCCCUCCAUUGACGUCGCGGAUUAUGUUAAGCCUGAACCACCUGCCGAAGAGGCAGGUGGCGAUAGGGUUCCCGCUUUAGUACCACAUCUCCCCGUCAUAGAUCCUCAGCAUCAGGGUAGUAUUCCCGUGAGCUGCACCGUGUAUUUGGGCUAUCGUAGCGCUGAAUGUCCCAUUGGGCACGAAACUGUGUCCUUCAAAUUGCCAGACUCCAGACUAGUAAUCUAGACCCUGCCAAAUGUGUAACGUUGGAGCUUACAAAGAUGUGGUACAAAAUCGAGGAUGGAACAGAGAAAUCGAGGCAGAAUAAAGUGGAAAAGAUUCUGCUAAUUUGAUCAGUUUCUUAUGUUAGACAAUUCAUAUAAAACUUGAUGCGGAAAUUCAUAACAAAUCAAUGAUCUUUGAUCUUCAUGAUUUUCACAAAUAGAUUCAGACAAACCUUUAUCCAUAGCGCUACGCUUGAUGAUGAUCGUUGUAGAAAACCCAAUGAUCUCGAACCAAAAAUGAAGAAAUCCAAUUUCUCUCCCUUAACCCACUAAACUUUAAUGUAUUCAAUUGAUGGAGGAGAGAAUACGUUCCUUUUCGUUACUGUUGUUCGUAUGUGGGUGGAGAGAGGACCGUACUCUUUUAUACGUUCGUUGAAAAGGUGCCUUCCAUCAAAGCGAUAUACCCUUUCGUUUUAUUAGAGUCGUACCUUCUCAUAACCAAUAUUAUUUAUAGCAUUUCAAUCAUUAUUAAACCAUAUAAUAAAUCACAUAAUAUGGGCCACAAUAAUUCUUACAUUCUCCCACUUGGCCCAUAUGAUUCUCCUUUCAUGGUUUAAUGAAGACCAUAAUGUGCACAAUAAGAUUAUGCUAUAAAAUUUCAUUAAAUUGGCAAUCACAUAAUAAUCACAAUUAAGUAAAGAAAACUAACGCGAGUCAUAGCGGUUAUAUGUCAUUAAUCGACAUAGUCCCUUCUAUGUACUACAACUAUAGCACUUUACUUAACAUGAUCCAUAAUUGAGAAGUACAGUAAUAGUCCAACCAUAAUGUUUCUUUAGAAACUAUCCCGUUUAAUAUUCAUCUAUUUCCAUAAUGUAUACUAAAUAGAAAACAGGAAAUAUCAUAAACAUGUAAGUGAGCUCAAAGUGUCAAAUACAUAAACUUAAUACAAUCAUAAUACAAAUAUUAAUGACGUCCAAUAAUGCCCAUCCUUUCAACAUGCUCAUUAAAUGUUUUGGGCGGCAAUCCUUUUGUCAAGGGAUCUGCUAUCAUAAGAUUGGUGCUAAUGUGCUCAAUUGACACUCUUUGUUUCUGAACUUCUUCUUUGACAGACAAGUAUUUGAUCUCCAUAUGCUUAGCACCCUUAGAAUACUUGUCGUUCUUAGAGAGUUAUCACAAUAGAUUUUCAGCGGCUUGGCAAUACUGUCGACGAUCACAAGCCCUGAAAUAAAAUUUCGCAGCCAUAAUCCAUGAAUUGUGGCCUCAAAGCAUGCCACAAAUUCAACUUCCAUAGUGGAUGCAGCAAUAACUGACUGCUUCGCACUCUUCCAUGAAAUUGCCCCUCCAACCAGAAGAAACAAGUAACCAAAUGUUGAUUUUCUUGUAUCGACACAUCCGGCUAAGUCUGAAUCUGAAUAUCCAAUCACCUCGAGAUGAUCAGAUCUUUUAUAAGUGAGCAUAUGAUUCUUCGUUCCUUGCAAGUAUCUAAGAACUUUCUUUGCAGCUUUCCAAUGAUCAAUUCCAGGAUUACUUUGAUACCUACCCAGCAUUCCGACAACAAAACUGAUGUCUGGUCUGGUGCAAGUUUGUGCAUACAUUAAGCUUCCCACAAUAGAUGCAUAAGGAAUAUUAUUCAUUUGUCCUCAUUCCAAUUCACUUUUCGGACAUUGUAUAAGGCUAAAUUUAUCACCUUUCUGAAUUGGAACUAUUCCUGCUGAACAUUUACUCAUAUUAAAUCUCUCUAAAAUUUUCUCAAUGUAGGCUUUCUGAGACAAUCCUAAUAAUCCUUAUGAUCUAUCACGGAAUAUUUCUAUUCCUAUCACAUAUGUUGCCUCUCCCAUAUCCUUCAUUUCAAAAUUCUUAGAGAGAAAUUUCUUGGUUUCAUGUAACAAACCAAGAUCAUUAGCAGCAAGCAAAAUAUCAUCAACAUAAAGAACUAGAAAAAUAAACUUGCUCCCACUAAUCUUCAUAUAUAUACACCGAUCAACGGUGUUUUCCUUAAAUCCAAAUGAAGUUAUGGUAUCGUUAAACUUAAGANNNNNNNNNNNNNNNNNNNNNNNNNNNNNNNNNNNNNNNNNNNNNNNNNNNNNNNNNNNNNNNNNNNNNNNNNNNNNNNNNNNNNNNNNNNNNNNNNNNNUUCGGGUUGGUCCAUAUAAACCUCUUCAUCUAAAUUCCAUUAAGAAAUGCGGUUUUACAUCCAUUUGGUGUAACUCCAAGUCAUAAUGAGCCACCAAAGCCAUAAUGAUUCUAAGUGAGUCCUUCUUAGAGACUGGUGAAAAUGUCUCUUUAUAGUCAAUGCCUUCUUUCUGAGUAAAACCCUUUGCAACAAGUCUGGCUUUAUGUCGUUCAAUAUUGCCUUUGAGUCGCGCUUGGUCUUAAAGACCCAUUUACACCCGACCUUCUUACAUCCUUUAGGCAAUUCAACUAUAUCCCAAACUUGAUUUUGAUGCAUGGAUUUUAACUCUUCUUCCAUUGCAUUAAACCAUUCAUUAGAAUCUUCACAUUCCAUGGCUUGGGAAAAUGAAUCUGGAUCAUUUCCAAUUCCUAAGUCAAUUUCUGACUCUUGUAGAUAAACCAUAUAGUCAUCAGAAAUAGCCGACCUCUUUUCUCUUUGAGAUCUCCUUAAUGCUAUUUCUUGUGACUCGGUUAUUGGAAGUUCAUUAUUGAUAUCUCAAUUAUUGAGUGUUUGUUGUUCUCAAUUAUUGUUAUAUUAUACUACAAUAUCAGAAAUAACAACUUUAGAAGCUUUAGGCAUAGGAACUUCUACCCUUACUUCUUGAAUGCAAGCAUCACGCAUUCUUUCACUCCCACUGAUGUCACCAUUCUCAAUGAACCUAGCAUUUCCAGAUUCAACAAUUCUUGUACUAUGAUUAGGACAAUAAAAUGUAUACCCUUUGGAUUUUUCUGCAUAACCAAUGAAAUAACCACUGGUCGUUCUUGAAUCCAAUUUCCUUUCAUGUGGAUUGUAAAUUCUUACUUCUGCUUGACAACCCCAAACAUGCAGGUGUCGUAAACUAGGUUUCCUUCUCGUCCACAGUUCAAAUGGAGUUUUUGGAACUGCCUUACUAGGAACCCUAUUUAAUAAGUAGAUAGAAGUCUUUAAAGCAUACAUCCACAAAGAUAAAGGUAAAGAUGAAUGACUCAUCAUACUCCUAACCAUUUCCAUUAAAGUACGGUUACGCCUUUCUGUUACACCAUUUUGUUGUGGUGUACCUGGCAUUGUGUAUUGAGCACAAAUGCCAUGUCUUUCAAUGAAUUAAGCAAAUGGACCUAGACAUUGUCCCGAUUCAUCAUAUUUUCCAUAAUAUUCACCACCUCUAUCCGAUCUUACUAUUUUCACAUUUCUAUCUAAUUGCCUCUCAACCUCUUUAAUAUACACUUCAAGUGCAUUCACUGAUUGAGACUUAUCAUGCAAUAGAUAAAUGUAACCAUAACGUGAAAAAUCAUCAAUAAAGGUUAUGAAAUAGCUUUCCUUACCAAAAGAUGAAACAUCAAAAGGACCACAUAUGUCAGUAUGUAUAAUUUCAAGAAGCUCUGUUCUUCUUGUGGCACCUUUCUUAGUGUGUUCUGUUUGUUUACCUUUAAUACAAUCAAUACACACUCCAAGGUCAGUAAAAUCCAAAUUUGGAAGAAUUUCAUUCUUCACUAAUCUUUGCAUUCUUUCUUUGGAGAUAUGACCCAGCCGUUUAUGCCACAAGUAAGUAGAAUUUUCAUUCACCAAACCGUUUAGUGCCAACAUUAUGAUGCAAAGUCAUUAAUGUCUCAACAAAAGUAUUAUCAAGUCUAAAUUUGUAGAGACCAUCACAUAAAGUUUCAGUUCCAAUAAGAGUAUCACUCUUAAAUAGACUGAAAGAUUCAGAUCCAAACUUACAAUAAAAUCCCGCCACAUCAAGUCUUGGCAAAGAAACUAAAUUACGAGAAAAUGUAGGUACAUAAAGGGUUCGAAACAAAUCUAAAUAAUGCCCAGUAUUUAAGAUCAAACGAUAAGUGCCAAUGCCUUCAACUGGAGCUUUGUCUCUGUUCCCCGUAAUCACAUAACUUUCAUUUGGCUUUAUAGUUUGGAUCGUAAGAAAUCCCUGCAUCGUAUUUGACACAUGAGUGGUGGCACCAGAAUCAAUCCACCAAGUAUUAUAAGGAACUUCAGUAAAGUUUGAUUCAAAACAUACCAAAGCACAAGGCUUACCUUUCUUUUCGAACCAAGCCUCACAUUUCAGACAAUCUUUCUUCAAGUGUCCAAUUUUGUUGCAAAAAUGACACUUAAUAAGAUUGCGUUCCUUCUUGUGGAUUUGAGAAGCCUUUGAAGAGUCAUUCAGGACGUGUAGUCCUUUCUUCUUGCUCCUUCCACCUUUCCUCUUAAAAUUCUUUCGAACUUCUUGAUAACUUGAGAGAUGAACAGAAUGAGUCUUUUGAUUCUUUAUCCUUGUUUCCUCUUGAACUAGCAUACUGGCCAAUUCGUUUACAUUCCACUUGUCCUUUAUAGUGUUGUAAUUCAUUUGAAAUGGCCCAUAUUGCUCAUGAGGUAAGGAAUUAAGUAUAAAUUGUACUAAAAAGUACUCAUCCACAUUCAUUCCCAAAGUCCUUAACUUUGCUGCUAAAUUGGUCAUCUCAAGUAUAUGCUCAUGCAUGGUAUGCGAACCAUCAUAUUUCAUGGUGGUCAGUGUGCUCAUCAGUGUACCAGCAAGUGACUUAUCAGCAGUUUGAGAACGCUCUUCCACAAAUUUCAUAAAUUCCUUAGCAUUGUUAGUCUUGGGAAGAGAAGUCUUUAAGUUGUUUGCAACUGUCAUUCGCAUGAACAUUAAGCUCAAUCUGUUUGAUCUUUCCCAAGCUUUAUGGAAAGACUUUUCAUCAUUGCUACUUUCAUCAGUAAUAGCAGCUGGUUUCUCAGCUUGAAGUGCUAAAUCAAGAUCCAGGACACCUAAGUGAAACUGGAUUUGUUCACUCCAAUCUGGAAAAUUUAUCCCAUUGAAUAAGGGAACAGAUGAGGCGUGCGAAUGGAGAGAAACAGGUACAGAUACUGCAAAUGUGCAAGAAAAUACUCAUAUAUUAAUGCUUUGAGAAUAUCAUAUAAUCAUAUUAAACUAAACUACACAUGCACAUCAUAGUUUUCCUUUGGGCGAUCCUAUGAUAUACAAAUAUAUAUAAACUAUAAUGAUGCUAAUAACUUUUAUUUGAUAAUUGUAAAUAUAUCUUAUUAAAAUUUAUUUGUUAUCUUUGGAUAUACAAACAAAUUUAACAAAUCAUAUUAAUUAUCAACUAUCAUGUUCAUGAAUUAUAAGAAAAUAAUUAACCUUUGGGUUAAUCCCUAAGUUCUUAUAAUAAAUGAACUUCAAUAUACCCAUAAUUUCAAUAAUGAUAUAAAACAUAUCAAUUUCAUAUAUAGCAUCACUUAAUCAUGGGUAAUUGAAUAAAAUAAUUUACAAUAUCAAAAAUUCAAAAGACUUCAAGGUUCGAUCACUUUGGUGACUAACAAACCAUUCAUAAUAUGAAUUUUCAAUAUUAUAAAAUACAAAUAUUUACCAAAUUUGCACACAAGGAUAAAAUGCAAUUAAAGCAUAAGGGCAAAAUUGUAAAAUCAUAAUUUCAUAAGGGCAGAAUUAUAAAUUUAAUAUCUAGGGGCAAAAUGGUAAAUAAUCAGCAAUGGCAGAAUUGUAAUUAUUAAUUAAACAGGGGCAUAACAAUAAAUAAAUUGCGAGAAUGACAAAAUUGGAAUUUUAAAAAUGGCACAGGGGCAAAAACGUAAAUAAGGCCACGCAGGGACGUCAGGCGCGCGCCUCGGAGCCUUCUUCCUCGCGCACAGACGCGAUUCUUCGCCGUUUUUCGCCGUUCCGCCGCGGUUUCGCCGGCCGUUUCUUCUCCGGCAGCCCAUCCCAGACACAAAUAAAUAAUGGGUUUUGAAGAACAUGCCGGCACGAUCACAUGCGUCCAAGUUUCGGAGAAAAUGACCAAAAAAUUGGCCCCAAAUCAAACGAAAAAUUCUCAGAACACAAAACUUCCACCACUGCCGCUUCCGCCGCUUGAUUAGCCUCCGGUGAACACCGAUAUACCGGAAAAAUCAUGGCUAAUGUUCCUCAUGACAGUGCGACGGUGUGGGUCCGAAAUCAAGCGGUGGGUUGCCGGAUUUUACCCGGAACCGGCGAGUUUCUUCCUUGCCCUCAAAAUUCCGAAUUCCACCAUUUUUGUCCUUUUCCACUCGUGCACACACAGUAACUUUUCUUCACCAUUUUAGUCCAUGAAAAACGUUCCAUCAUUCGGAUUUUCUUUAACAGAACCUUCCAAAACAUUUCAACAACAACAAAUGCUACGAACAAGAUCGUUCAACAAAUCAUCAAACAUCAACUAUAAUAUUUCUUUAAACGGAAAAAUCAUGAGAUCAUAAACCAAACGCUCUGAUACCAACUGUUAGACAAUUCAUAUAAAACUUGAUGCGGAAAUUCAUAACAAAUCAAUGAUCUUUGAUCUUCAUGAUUUUCACAAAUAGAUUCAGACAAACCUUUAUCCAUAGCGCUACGCUUGAUGAUGAUCGUUGUAGAAAACCCAAUGAUCUCGAACCAAAAAUGAAGAAAUCCAAUUUCUCUCCCUUAACCCACUAAACUUUAAUGUAUUCAAUUGAUGGAGGAGAGAAUACGUUCCUUUUGGUUACUAUUGUUCGUAUGUGGGUGGAGAGAGGACCGGACUCUUUUAUACGUUCGUUGAAAAGGUGCCUUCCAUCAAAGCGAUAUACCCUUUCGUUUUAUUAGAGUCGUACCUUCUCAUAACCAAUAUUAUUUAUAGCAUUUCAAUCAUUAUUAAACCAUAUAAUAAAUCACAUAAUAUGGACCACAAUAAUUCUUACAUCUUAUUCAAUGAAUCACUACCACAAUGAUGGACCAUAGUGGGGUUCGAGAAUUACUUUGAUCCGAACUUUGGUGCGUGGUUGAGUGUGACUGCUCGGAUCAUGGGCUUGUCAUUGGCGUAGACCCACAACUUGCGCACCCCGUCCACGAAGCUGUAGCGCUCCUCCAGUGGAAUGUCGUAAGGCUUUUGCAGCUCAAAGUUCGCAUCUGUCAACAGUACCUCAGUGAAACCGUCUGUAGGAUCAGCAGAACAGAACGGAUUGGAUUUUGGAUUAUGACUCGAGACCAGGACAACAAAGAACAACAGUGGCUAAAAGGAAUUUCCAUUUUUCCUUCUUGUCAGUCUUGAGAAAUUGUUGAGGAGCUAGUUAAGGCAAAGCUUCUAUAUGUAAGGAUGACAUAAACAAUGCAGGAACCAGAUAUGAUUUUCUAAUCUUAACACAACAGAACAUAUUCUGGUCUUCUUUCCUUGGACAGACAUGCUUGUCCUUUUGACAACUUGAACGACCUUGUCUCGUCUAUGUAAUCUCAUGUGUAUAUACAGUGAUUCCUAGUUUCUGAGAAAGUGUAUGACCGUCCAAUUAUGCCAAUGAAAAAGGGUUGAUUGAUGCUCCAUUACUUGGUCUUAGUGUAGUAGGUUUAGUCUGUUAAUUAGUGUUUGUAGAUUCAAACAAUGAUGGAUAUGUCUGCUGAUUCUUUCGCAAGAUAGCUGUUGUCGCACUCCAUUACAUUCACAUGAACAACACUUCCUUGUUUAUCGGCCUAAAGAUGCAAAUUUGGUUUGUGUCUUUUCUAAUAGACAGUGACAAGUGGCAAUAUCGUGCUGUACAUUCACUUUGAGGUCCAUUGCAAGUUUUUUCCAUUGCUUCACUACAUUGAAUUCACACCGUGCCGAAUACUUCAUGGUGCCGUUUCAUCAUGGUCAUCUUCAUCAUUUUCAUCCAUUCGUGUUUGUGGGGGGUUAGACACAAAUUUCAUGAAAAUACAUCAAAUUACAAGCUUAACGAGUUUUGUUAAUUUCUGGUACAGCUGAUUAUGCUACCUGUCAGUUUCGUUUACACUAAGCGAUUGUUCAAACUCCUCUAAAAUGGGAGAAGGUCAAAGUGAAUUUCUGUAUGGCUCUGCAUUCUGCUCCAACUACAUCCAUAGAAUCCAUUCAUCUUAGUGAGACGGACUUGGUAUUGUUUUUUUCUGUUUUCUUGUUUAGUAAGGCGACUAGGCCAAUUCAAAUUGUCUCCUUGUGCAUAUCGGUAUAACAUUAGAAUUUGGCUCUUUCUACUUGGUUGAACUCUCAGUUCUUGAUUCCGGAGGAACUGGAUAAUUUAUGGAUCAACAAUCUGAUAUGUCUGAGACAGACGUGUCAGAUGACUAGGGGCAUGCAGAUUCUACAUGAAGGCCAACUAUAAAAUGUUAUCAGAACGGAAGUUGAUUAAUCUCGAGUGAUCCCAUCAUUAACUAUGAAACUGAUAUACAAGAUGCAGAUGAGAUCCUCUUCAAAAAAAAAAAAUCAAAAGACCUUACCCAAAAAAAAAAGAUGCAGAUGAGAAAUCAUAGUCGCAUCAUUAAUGACAUAAUACAUGAGCAUGGACAUGAUCUUCUGACAUAUCUCUCAGCUCAGUGUCUCCAAUUUCACUUUCAGUUAAAGUAUCGACCCGCUUGAUCAGCUAGUAUAUAAAAGAAAAAAAAAACUAACCAAAACCAUAAGAGAGAUUUAACAUGGAGAGAUCGUGCCAUUUUUCCUUUAGCAAAACAAGAUGAGGAAUGAGGGUGCUAAUAAAUUUUGUGAGCUAGUUGAUUAACACAUGCGUAGAAGCUCAUCAGUGGAGUUGGUGUCACAUAUGCAGAGACAGAGAAAGAAGCUCCAGGGAUUCAUCUUUGAAAGCUAUUUUCAGUUGAAAAAUGCUGUUGAUCAGCAUGUCUUUUCCUAAUUAUAUAUGUUUAAAACACUAACAGCUAAUUGUAUAGUCAAUCCAAGCUUCAUACUUUGAACUGACCACAAUUUCUUGUACUUUUCUGCAGUAAGCUUUCCCAGGUGCCCUGUUUUGCAUAUCAUAGCCUUAUUUAGUUCACAUGAAAUGCAACUUGAGAUGCAACGUCCUAAUUCUCUACUUGGUACAAAGUUUAUGAUUGCUAAUCGGUUAGAGAAAUUAACUCUAAGCCAAGCUCUCAACCAGCAAAGACAAAAAACCAGCUAUCAAAUAUAAAGCUGAAGAGUUUCGUUGGGCACGAUAUAGAACUGAGUAAAUUUUUGAAAACGCUGGAAUUUCCAGUUAGCUAAUUGUGACCCUGCUGACUUAUUUUUUUGCAAACGGCCCUUUAAUUACUCUCUACAUGCACUUCUUGUAUAUUUUGAUGUCCUUCCACUUCAAUUCCAUGUUGUAUAGCUCGUAUUUUUGGGUUUCGGAAAGGGGGGUUGGGGGCAGCGGCAUUCACUCCGCAUUUAAAGUACAGGUUGCUGAGGCCAUGAUCUUGCUUCACGAACUUUGAAGUCCCUUCAAGGUGAACUUCCACGAUGCCUUGAUCCCUGUCAUGGAUCACGUUCACCCUGAACCACUUUUGGUGAAGAUUGGUCGCAACAGAUCACGAAGGUAGUAUCUUACCAUCCCCUGCGCAUAUCCUUAGUAUCAGAGUAGUGGUGUGCACUGUGCCCCAUGUUGCCGUGGAUCCGCACUAUGAUGGCUCCAGAGGUCCUGUUCGGCACAGGACCAUGGCCUUUAAAUUGCCAUACCCCAGAUGAAUAGUCAAGGCUCUGUGAGAAAGUACAUUAGGAUCAAGUUGUGAGUCUAGCCUCUGACCAACUUGAACUACCAACAACAUAAGGCAUGUAUACACAAGGAAAAAGAACAACUUAAAAUUCAUAAAUGUAGGGAUGGGGAGAAUACUCUUACAUGUAGUUCUGUCCGGGGCACGGUCUUACUGUCAGGUUAGUGCGGUUUAUCAUCUGCAUAGACCCAAAUCCUCAUAAUUCCAUCUGCAAAACCAUACCUCUCCUCCAACGGCUUGUCGUACAGUUACUGUAUCUUCCACUUGUCAGCAGCACAACAGUGAACCCAUUGGUGGGAUCUGCAUAGUCACGACCUAUUUCAAUGAUAUGAACAAGGACGAGGCAGAGAAUCAGAUAUGAAGAACGCAUCUUCCUCAGUUCUUGAUCCUGUGAAUUGACAAGGAAAAGCUGAGCUAUGUGCUGAUAGGAUUAUCAUACGCAUGAAUCAGAGACAACAAAAGUUUAGCCUAGAGCCCUUUUGGACCAGUGUCAGUGUCUUGUUCCUUCAAAAUUAUGUGUAUAUGCAGCACCAAACACUAAGAAGAGGUCAAAUGCUCGAUACAGAUUGAAGAUUUAGUUCAACGGUUGAUAAUUGAGGAUGACAAAAUUGCUGUGUCACACUUCCUCCCUGGAUCCAAGGCGUUGUCCUCCUUUUCGUGUUUUUAUCAGAUUGGAGUCGAAUAUUGGCGAUGGCAUGAAGACUCUUAUGCUUAUGUUGAAUCAGCAUCUGCUCUAAAAGUAGUCGUCUUCUCAAUGCACUUUGCAUUUGCAAGGAAUUGUGCCCCAUGAUAUAAAUCGAUGAACGAUUUAGUUCGGAAUGCGUUAAAUUACUCUUCAUCGACAUCUAAGCUUUUCCGAGCGUCCUUCGGUUCUUCUCUAUCUGAAGCAUCUGCAAAGUGCGUUGAGAGGUCUGCAUCAUGCUGCUCUAGAAGAGGCAAGAUUUGAUUAAUUCCAACAAACACAAGCUUCCCAUUAAAGUCGAUUUGUUACUGUGCGGGCUUAUUCUAAUGGAUUACGCCAAUCACAUCUCAAAAAAUGGAGCGAACCAUCACAAACCAUAAGUUACUAUACUAAUUUUUUGGUGAUCAGCUUCGACCCAACCCGUAUUGACAUAUUGUGAUUCGAUUCGGUCCACAGACGACUUCAUCUAUAGCACGAGCCUAUAUCCAAUGUCUUCGGUGGAAAUACAAAGAUGAGGAUCAACAUUGGAUUAGAGAGUUAACUUCACUCCUUAAAAUCAGCCAUAUAUAGCACUUGAAUGAGCUGAGAAUCAUCAAAAGCAAGCAUAUGAGUCACCUGUAUUCACUAUAUAUGCCAAAAAGUGACAUACUUUUAAUGUUCAUGCUAAGAGAUUGACUACUGGGCUUUAAUUAUAUCGUUAUCGCCUUUUGUUUAUCCUCUUUAUGUUUGUUCUAGGAAAGGCAACCGGUAUUAACAACCUCUUAGAGAUAGUUUGCACAAUGUGCAUCACUAAUAUAUUAUAAAGGUGCGUGCAUCAUAAAGCUAUCACAGAAGACGUAUCUCUUCUAAUCAUUCUCUUGCAAAACUCUACACACAUCGCCUGGGCUCUCUUGAAGAUCAAACUCGACAUCAUUGUCCAAAUUCAAGUUUGGAACAAUUCUAAUGCACUAUAUGGGGAAAUUUUCAAAAAGGAAAUAUGCAAAGUAAAUUAUGCAAAAGAAUGAGCUUGGCCGACUUUGUAAGCCGUUAGACGGAGAGGAUGAAGGUUGCCUUCUAAAGAGUGUCAAUAUGCCUUGUAUUAUACGUUAAUCCUGGACAGGCUCUUGUCUUUCCCAUUCGCUUGCAGGCAUUAUAGACCGCCAUUUUCGGUGAAAGCUUUUCUUCAUUGUUCGUCCUUCUGUGCAGUAAUGGCCCUUUUAGUUUUCUCUUCUUUCCUUUUCUUCUCUUUUGUGCAUUUGGGCAGCCGCCAUAUGUCUAGUAUCUGUGUGGGCAUUGAACAAACCAGCAGAUUGACUUUCUUCAUGUAAAGUAGUAAUUCGUUUACGCGUGUCGUCGUGUAUGUUCAACACCAGCAGCUUUAAUGACUAAUGAGGACAUGGGUGAUGAUGAUGUCCGCUUUAUGUCGUUGCGUUUGGAUCAUAAGCCCUGCCCAUACAUUGCUUUCUUUCCAUGAACUUUUGUUACAUUGGUUUUCCAACUUGUCAUACCAUGAAAGAGAGGCUUGAGAGAGGUACUUACAAGGCUGAUGCUGCUUUUCAUAUCUCUUCGCAGUUAGCAAGGCUUGUAAAGCAAUCAUUAACAUACAUGAACCCUAUCCAUAGUUUAAUAACUUGGGACUCAAAAAAAUUAUCAAUUUAUUCCAAAUCUAUUGUACAUAUGACAAUUCAAUCUUAAACUUUUUAAUUUUAUUAAUGUUAAUGGAAAUCACUAACGUAAUAUAAGCAAAACCAUUUAUGUCAACAUGUCAUGCAGGAUUGUUGAUGAUGACUAGAUGUUAUGUCAGCGAUUUUCCAAAAGAACUACAUUAGAAAUUUGUACAAUAAUUUAUUAUUCUAUUUGUGAAAUUGAAAUUCUAUCAAUUGUUCUUAAUAGAAGUUAAGUUUAAACUUUCCUUUUAGUUUUCUUCCCAUGAAGGUAUCUGAAUUUCUUUUACAUGUCCUACUAAAUAUAAUGAGAGUUAGGUUGAUGAGUGGCCAUCUCUUAAUAUGAAUAGUCUUUCGUGAAUAUCUCGAAGAACUCUCGUGAUCAAUUCGAUUGCUAGAUAAAGAUAGUGAUUGUGAUUAGUUUGAUGGAAGACAUUCUUGGUAAGGUGAGUAUCGUGUUGUGGUAAGACACUAGUCAAAAAUACUAGCAGAACAUUACAACUUACUUUAAAAUUUAAGUUAAUUUAAAAAUAUCUAAAAUAGCAAAAAUUUCCUCAACAAUGCUAGUAUUACUCUUUGUUUUAAUUAGUAAAAUUUAGCAAAAAAUUAUUUAAUUUAUUAUAUAAAUAUCAAUUCAGUUAUAAAUCUUUGAAUUUGGUCAAUUUAGUCCUAAACCUUUAAACGAUUUGUCAAUGUAAUCCCUUCCAGCCAAUUUUGGAUGUUGGCUAUCCUACAUGGCAUGGUCAAUAUCAACGUAAAUAAUUUUUACAUUUUUUAAAUAUUUUUCUCAAAUUUCUUGUUUCCUUCUUUUUUCUUUUUUCUUUUUUAAUUUUCCUUUGUUGAUCCACAAUGCCGUCACCUAGCCCAUAUCAAGACAAGGGUUGUGACACCCUCCCUAUGGCUAGUGAGGCUUCAGGUGAGGAUCUCGAUGCUCUCACCAACCAAAAAAGAAAAAAAGGAGGUUUAAAUAAAAAUUUAACAUUUUGUCCAUGUCGACACAAGAUGCCAUGUAAGAUAUCCAAUGCAAUUUAGCAACUCCUUGUCAAAAUUAGUCAGAAUGAAUAUAUUGGCAAAUUGUCUAAAAGUUUACGACUAAAUUAGCAAAAUUAAAAGAUUUAAAACUUAAUUGGUACCCGUACAGUAAGUUUAGAACCUUUUUUAAUAAUUAUGCCUUUCAAGUACUUAAAAAAUGAAGGGUCUCAAAGUAGUUUAUGAAGAUGUAGAGAGCUGCGCUUGUAGUUUAUGGAAAACAAUAGGGUCUCCAAGUACAUUGAUCCAAACAGAGAGGGUGUCGGAGUAAUUUCCGUUAAAAAAAAGAAAAAAAAAAGGCAAGGGGUGUCUAAGUAACUUAAUCCAUACCAGGGGUGUUCGUAUUUACUUUUUAAUUUUGACUUUUUUCUACAUCUCAUGAUGCAUGCGUUUUAACUCUUUUUUAAAUCUUAAACGCCUAAAGUUUUCACAAAGUAAAUGCCGAUACCUAUUUUCAAGUAUAGUCUUUUUCUUCACACGGAAAAUCAAAAAGGUUACCUUUUCUUUCGGAAAUCCCUACAAACAAACCUUAAAUUUAUGUUACAAGCCUCAUCCUUCUUUCAUGAUGAGACUUUAGGAGUGGCUAAAUAGUACGAAAAAUCUGUCGGACCAUCAUCAAGAGUGUCAAUCUAAGGGUUGCGAUAAUUACUGGUGUGCUUAGAAUGAAAAGAAUAAUAUUUUGCAAGGAUUAGUUGAGUGCUCGUCAGCUGGGAUAUCUUUAACAUGCAAAUCUUGUGCAUCUCUUUCUCUCUUUAGAAAUUAUCUCAGUAAUCUAUACUGGUGGACAUUAAAAUUUAGCAUAAUUUGUAGCCGGUCACUGAACUUUGAUUUCAAUAACUAGAUACAUUAAACUUCAUUUAUCUGCAGUUUGUCUCAUUUUGGCCAAAAUCGACCAAAUUAAUCAAUGUAAGCAUCUCUCUCUCUCUCUCUCUCUCUCUCUCUCUCUCUCUCUCUCUCUCUAAAUUGUUCGAUACUAUUUGAGUAAAUUGAACUUUUGGUCACCGAAGAUUAGCACAAUAUGUAAUCAAAUCAAUGAACUUUAAUUUCAUUAGCCAAGUACAUUAAUCUUUCAUUUCUCUACAAGUUAAAGCAUUUCGGUGAAAAUUGAUCACUUUUCAACGAAAUAAUCGAUUUGACAGUGAUGUGAUAUUGAGCAUGACAUUUUUAAAAUUAGUCAUGUGCCCACCACAUAAAAAUCUAUUUUAAAAUCGACAUGAUUUGGACCAAAGCACAUCAAUUGAAAAUCCACUAAAAUCUAUCAACAGAAGUAAUUUGCCCAAAUUUCGAGCUACAGAAAAGAAUAAGUAAAAGGAGCGAAUUCUUUAUCAAUGAAUGGAGAAAAAAGAGCUGGCCCUUUCUCUUUUGGGCUUCCCAAAGCAAAGAUUUGGUACCACGCCUUUUGUUCUUUUCUUUUAAACACUAUUGUUUCUGUCCUUUUCUUUUUAGGAUUAAAAAAAAAACGUGAGGCCCACAUCGAAAUUCACAGACAUGUCGAAAUAAAGGCUGUCACGGUUUCGCUAGCGGCCACACUUCAACAUUCAACAUUAAGUGAAGAAGCAGUCCUUUUAAUACGACAUGUGGUUCGCCCCUUGUGGAUUUAUAGCAAUCGUGCCUAGGCUUGUGAAGGUUCUAUCCACGAGAAACUUUUAGGUCCACGCAUGACUUUGAACCGCAUUAAAAUAGAGUCAUUUAAUAUGGACCUUCUUGUUUGUUCUGGAUUAAUGUAAUCUGCUUGGAGGAUCUUGCUGUUUUAUAUGUAGAUUGGUUCUGUCAUGGCACCAAAUGCAUCGGUUAUCUCAAUCUAGGAACCCCUACUAGUCUAUUCUCUGCUCUUCUUUACCUCAUGUCCAUGGCCAAAUAUAAUAUGAACACUCAAUCUUAAUCUAGCAUAUGUUAGGCAGAGUGAUUUGAGAGAGUUAGUUGUGCUGGAGCACUUACCGAUGGUCGUCACUCAUCGCUGUCCUCCUGUCCACCUAUUCAAGGGAUUAUAGAGUUUGGUUAUAGAAACUGGUAAAACCAAUGUUGACCUAGUUUAGUUGGUCAGAUUGGUGAGUCGUUGCUAGAUGUAAUUUGAUCUAGGAAUUUGAAAAAAAAAAAAAACGGACAGCAUGGGUUGUGAAUUGAAAUCGAACCUUAGAAUAGUCAUAAUUAUUGCUUUACCAAUUGAAUUUUAAAACUUUAAAAAUGCUUCAAAAGAUUCAAAUAUGUGGUGUUGAGAAACACACAAUGCACUCAAUCCAUUUGAUGUGGGAAGAAGUUUCAUAACAUCUGUGCAUUAUUUUAUAUGUAGUAUCAAUGCUUGCUCAAGUUAACAAACCGCUCGAUUUAAACAGUUUACCUAUUCAAAUAGCAAACCACUAGCCUCUUAGGUUCACUUGCCCAGGCGAUUUCAGAAAUUUUGCUAAGAGGCUAAUGAAAUAUCUUAAAAUUUUCAUAAAUCAGUUAAAUUUAUAUCUAUGGCCUUUGCAUAAUAAUUUUCAUGUAGUUUGUGGGUUUCGAAGUUUGAAGCCGAAUUCAUACCAAAUCAAGCCUUCAGUCUAGUUGGCACGAGCUAGUCGUGUUAGCCGACUUGAUGGCCACCACCUUUAUCUUCAAAUCUUGAAUUGGAAAUCUUAUGACAUCUCAACAAAUUACACUAUAUCUUGAUUACUAUCACCAUUUUCAAUGCAUGUAUGACACGUUGGUUUGGUCAAUUAUCUCAUUAUUCUAACUUCGCUGUUUGAUUACCACCUACAAAUCUAAAUGCCUAGAGUGAAGUCUCCAUCAAGAGCAAAUUACAUCGACAGUGCACCAAGCAUUGUCCCCAUCAAAUUCCCCCCAAAAUUCUCAUCUGCAGAACAAACAAAAAAACAAGAAAAUGCAGACAACAAAAGUGAAUUAACGCUACCUACGAAGGCAAUGAAACAAAAUGGAAAAUCAGUGUUUCUGUUCCUGACCAGAAUCGAGAACAUAAUCUCAGCAACAGCCGUUAAGAUAUCAAAUGGGCCAUCCGCCCAUGCUUUAUUGUGUUAAUGUUUAUUCACGUGUAAGGCCUUGUCUGUGCCUCAGGUCUCAAAAAAAGAAAAAGAAAUUGCCUUUGUUAUCUCCCAAGCUCCAUAUAUUUUUAAUUUUAAUCGAAUUUGAUGCAUCGAGAAUUAAAAUAAAGAGAAAAAAGGGUGAAACUUUACACGGCAUAAUUACGCCAUUAUACAAAAGCGACUGUAGUAAUUAUGAAAUACAAAAGGUUGUGAGGAUUCCUAAGAGAAAGUAAAAUAGUAUGUAUUCUCCACCUCCCAAGAACAUAUAUAUAUAUAUAGCAAUUUCUUUUCAGCAUUGAAAUUGAAGAUGUUGCAGGACGAUUCUACGCUAAUCAUUUUAGAAUAAUUAGUGUAAAUACUCUUCUUGAUUAGUUAAGUUUUGAAAUCUCGAGAUGAUUUUUUAAAAAAUAAAAUAUUUUUAUCGACUUUUUGCAAAAACGAGAACACACACCAUCCCCAACACCCAUUUGUCUGUCAUCCAUUCAAAGCACCUCCUGUCAAAAGCCCCUUCUGUCAAAAGCCCAGCACUCCUGACACUUCGUGCAACUCUCUCUCUCUCUCUCUCUAUAGACAUACACACGGUGGAAAGGAAAGUUGGAGAGAAGAAAGAAGAAAGAAAAAAGAAAAGAUUGCUGCCAGAGACAAUUAAAGCCACUGCUGGUUCCACCUCUUUUCAUCUUUCAUCAUCUCUCUCGGCUUCAGCUUGCAAGAAAGAAUACAAGAACCGCUCGUUUCCACGAUGAAGAUCGCAGCGUUCGUCACAUUCCUCUGCUUCUUCUUCUUCUUCUUCUUCUCUGUUUUCUGCAAAGUGGGUUACUGUUCGACGGUCCUCGUGGAUGGAGUUUCGGAGUGGAAGAACCCGACUGUUCAUGUUGGAGAUGCCAUCAGUACGUGUUUUUUUUUUUCUUUUUCUCUUUGUAAAGGAAAGAGUGAUUGUGGAUGAGCUCUCUAUUCAGUGUCGGAUUUCAAGAACUCAAAGCUGAGAGUUAACAUUCCCCUGUUCUCUGUUUCCUUUCUCAGUUUUCAGACACAAGUAUCAAUACGACCUCUACAUUUUCCAGAACCAACGAGCCUUCACUCUCUGCGACUUCACUCAAGCGACUCUUCUUACAAAGCCGGGCUCUAACACAUUCACGGUAUGCUCUCUCUCUCUCUCUCUCUCUCUCUCUCUCUCUCUCUCUCUCUGAGUGUUCAUGUGUGCACCGUUGGGUUCUUUACUUUUCCGUUUUCUCUUUUUCUUAGAUAAACACGUUUAUCAGCUAGUAAUUAGCUUGGACUCCACAAAAGCUACUAAAAUUUUGGAACUUUACUACAUUUAUCAUUUGAAAACUAUGUUACGAAGAAGCUCACAAGCUGAAAUUAGUUUUCUCUUCUAACAAACCCAAAAAUUAAACGAAAAGAAACGUUGCCAUCAAUCGGGUUAUUUCUUGGAUCUUGAGUAAUAUCUGCAAAAUGAAGCAUUUUUAGCUCUCUUUUUUCCUGACCAUUUCUUUCCAUGCUAAUCCAGUGGCACCCAUCACGCCCUGGCUAUUUCUACUUCACCUUCAACAAUGGCUCUCUCAAUGCGUGCCAAGACACCCAAAAGUUUCCCGUUAAGGUCUCUUCCGAAGCACCGCCACCAUCCCCAGAGAGUGUAAUCAUCCCGUCAGAAUCACCUCCAGUGCAGGCCCCGGCCCCGACCACGGGAGGGACUGUGUCAUCCUCGCCGACGUUUCCAUGGCCAUACCGCCCUCACGAGAAGCUCUCGCCGGGACCUGCACCAGCCGCAAGCUCGUUGCCGGACAAAGGCGGGAUUCCCUUUAUUAAUAGCAAUCCUGCAGUUCCUCUGCCUACAGGAGAAGUGGACUCUGCCACAAUAAGGCCUCUGUCUCAGGCAGAUCACGGAAAACAGGUACGAGACUAGUUCGAUUCAUCAAAGGGAUUUUUUACAAGAAUAUUAUUGAAGUGGUUAUAUUAAUAAAUUGAAUUAUGUCAAGAGUACAUUUUGAUGGACCAAUAUUGCAAAUUGUUUUUGUCAGUGUUUGUUCGGUUGGGUUUGGUGAGGACAGAAACCCACAUUGACAUUACAAGUCUCAAGAGGUGACCAAUAAUAGGACCUAUUUAAGUAGGGUGCAGCUCCCGUGAUCUUUACAGCUUUAAUUGAAACCUGACGGUUAGCUUAUGGCUGAACUCCACGAGGAAUAGUUAGAAGCUUUUAGCACGAUGUUUUGAUGUAUCGAAGUCUACUGGGUUCUGAUUUUAUAUCAUGCCGCGCAUCAUUCUUGGCUGUUCUUUAUCAGUUCUUGUGGCUUGUUUUAAGCAUUUUGAGACAAUCGAUAGCUGAAAAUCAUCUGCCGUUUUGAAAAUGGGCAAUUCAUAAUAUAGUCUUACUCAAUCAUCAUCACUUUGCCUGCUUAAAAAUGUGCCACCAUCAUUGCUCUUUUGGUCCAUUCUGUCGUCUCUUACACUUGCAAUCCGAAAUGGGGGGUGAAACCUUAUGUACCCAAAAGUCAAAUAAAAAAGGAAAUUGCUGAAAGCGUAGGAAACUUUAUCUAAUUACUCUUUUGAGUCUUGACAUGGUCUUCAUACUUGAGCUUCACAUGUAGAUCUGAAAAGAUAGAUGAGCUGUUGAUUGGGGUCUCAAUUACAUAUCCCUUUGUCCUUUGAUUGCAGGAGGUGGUGGGGUUGCUUCAACUACAAAUGGCUCUACUGUGUGCAAUGUUCUUGAUGCUGUGACCACAAAAAUUGAGCUAAAAAGAGGGGAAAAAAGGAAUUUAGGAGGCAACUACAGCUAGUGUGUAAAGAAUGUGAGUAGGCUAAUGAGUGGGAGGUUAUUUGGGGUCCUUAAAAGUAGCUUUAGAGAAUAUAAUUAGACCAUGUAAUAUGAUGAUGCUUCUUGCCUUGACCCUACUUUGGAAUCAUUGGCAAGCUUUGGCCUUUAGUUUUGCUGUGUAAUCAAUUGCUCCCUCUUCUCUUUUUUCAACUUUCUUCUUUGCCUUUAUUUCCUUUCACCUACUUUCAUCAUUCUUCAAUCUUUACUUGUGAAAUUUAUCGUCGCCCGGAGGCAUGAAUCGGUUUUCUUUUCGUUUCGGCGGCAUUUUUUUUUUAAGUUGAAAAGCAAUUUAGUGUCAGGAAAAUUUCCAAGCAAGCCAAAAAGCUGUAAAGUAAAGCUUAAAUAAUUGUGGGAUCUUUACUAGGUAAGAAAGGUCAUUAAUCUCAAGGAUGUUCUCUCUUUCUCGGGUGACGGAAUUUGACUAGCUUUAGAUGCAUAAGAGCGAUUUAUGUGACAGUUAAACGCGCGAAAAUCACUUCUAUUACAUAGACUUUAAUGAGAAGUUCACAGUUAAGAUGUGCGAAAGCACGGUUGCGUCUGCUGCAAUUUAUGUUAAAAGGCACGUACUGGUGAAUUUUGACACUUGAUAGCACAAUCAAAUUCGUCCUUUGUUAAUGUGUCCUACAUAACGUGGGAACUCUCAGCCUGCAGUAACCUGGCCGGCAUUCUUAAUCGAGAAAAUUUAAGUGGAGUUGGAAAAGAAUUUCUCGUCAGUACAGAUGAGCAAUUUAUCUGUUGGACCAGAAACCGGGUGGAGGACUAUUUGCGCCCUCGAGCCCUGCGAUAUACUAGCAUCUAUCAAGGGAUCUGAUUCCCCAGCUUAGACAUCAUAUUUCGUGAUUGUCUAAAACGUAACAUGUCUAAAACGUAACAUAAGUUUUCAAAGACAUAUAUCUGCAUCUUAUCAGACCAGAUACUAAUGAUACAACAGGUGCUACGAGCAAACUCAAAUAGAGCACACUUCUCUGCAAUUUUCUAUGGAGCUCUACAACUGUUUGUCUUCUAAACUUAUGAGCACCUUCAAGUCCUGUUUCCCCGCAUCACCAAGGAAAAUUCUAACUAUAAGACCUGAAUUUGAAGACUCCAAAAAUUUCUUUUACUAGAGCAGGCAAGCUAGAGCAUGUUGAGUUAAAGACUAUAGUAAGCCGUAGUGAAAUAAAUUCAACGUCUGAGUUCCCAGAAUUUCGAAAAGCGGUGCUCAGUAAUUAGUUCAUGAUCUAGGUGUGCCAAUUCCUGUUGCUUCUUCUCGUGUUCGCCUGCAUAGUCUGUGACAUUAACGAUAUAGCUCAAACUUAAUCACUUUGUUUUCAAGACUCAGGAUCCGGAAAAUAACAGCCAAAAUGUGUCGACCAGUGUCCGUUUUCAGCUAAACCAUCAUCCGGGUCAUAAGUCGGAGUUAUAAGUUCCACAAAAUUUCUGGUGUACAUAUCAUACAAGAUCGUGUUACAGUGUCAUGCCCGAGAAUCCCUCAGCCCUGGAGGGGCCUGGAAAUUUCGCAGUGCUCUCCACCAACAUAAGUUCAUGAAUGUUCAUCGUUAAAGAAAGCUGGAAUACUUAGCUCACUGGCAAUGGAAAACGCAAACAUUUUACCAGGAGAAGCAGGUAUUUGCUAAGGCACAAGUGCUUGGGCCCAUAGUGACGGAUUGAAUCUCCAAAAUGCAGAAAGUAUUGGGCCAAAACGUCCGGACCUUGCUCCCUACCCGGUUCCUAUGCACUGCAGCUUAAGAAAGUUCAUGACCCAGGUCAUCAUUGGUCAAGACUCAGAUUGAGUUUCAUGUGCUCCCCUAAUUAUUAUUUUCUAUUUGUACCGGACUUCACCAAAAGUAUCCUUUUGUUUGGAGAACAAUGAUGAAAUUCGUAACAUUUGACGAUCCUUCAGCCGGAGAAUAUCAUGAACCAAUUUUUGGCAACGCUGUGUUCAAAACUAGCCUCUUUCUUGUUUCAACGAGAUUAAAAUUUCUGGGUAUUGACUUCUACGUUGGAAUUCUUGGCCUUCAGUCAAAAUCAUAACAUUAACAAGGAUCUUGUUUGCUGAAUAAGAAAUCUUGCAUUUUCAGGAUCAUACCGAUUGUUCUCGUGAUAUACACGCAAUUGAUAUUUGUGAAAGCCAUUCUCAAGGCCCUUGUUAAGUCUAAAUCCAGAUGGUACAUCGCGUCAAAGUACAGUGCUGAUUAAUUCAAUUAUGCUGGUGGUGCUGUACUUCUCCAAGUCCAAUUUGAGGCUCGCAUGAUGCUCGACCCCCUUCGAGCUUUCGGACGGUAUUCAGCCAGGUGGAAUUGGAUGCGACCUGAGGGUUUACAUUGGAUAAGAUGAAGGAGACAAAAUAAGCUUUUUUUUGGGUGUCGUGUUGCCAUCGGACAGCUAACUACCCUAAUCUCAGGGAGAGGUCCAUUCGGCAUGGUUGGUAAAGUCCCUUCCUUUGCGGUCGAGAAUGGAGGAAGGCCAUUUCUGCAUUCAAUCCCUUGCUUUGGCAUUGAUUUGAAGUGUCACCAACCCCAGCUCCUAUCGAGAGUGUUGAUGGUGCGAGGAUCGAUCACGAGUGCCGACCAUAAGAAAAUCAACAAUCUAUAAUUAUACAACUUAGAAUGCCAAGAUGUUAGAGCAUACUUGGUUUGGACAAGAACCGUUCGAAAAGGGUGAAAUCACGUGAGGGGUUUCUCUCCUUUUCCCUCUCUUAGAUGGUCUCGAUGGAUGAACAAUUGGUGUAUGUAAGAGAAACCUUAUUCUAUUUAAGUGUGUACCCUAAUACGUCCAUCCACCACAAGUUAUUCUUAAAAUAUCGACCUACACUGACCCUCCAAUCACAUUAUUACCCUACUCGAAACAUGGUAAGACCACUACAAUAUGGGGAAAUCUAGCACUGCCUUAUUUAUUUUGUGAACUUUAUUUACCAUUUCUUUUACGAACCUAAAUUAUUAUGCAAUUAAUGUUAACCAGUGCUUAUAAGAAUUUCUAAUGAUGACUUAAUAGCAUCUGGUUCACUAUAGAUAAAGUAGUUAGGAUUUGAUUAGUUUGGUUCAUCCUUUUGAGUUUAAUUCACCUCAAUUAGACUUGUAAUGGUACAAAUGUCAUGCUCGGUUUGGCCACACAAUUCGUGAUUUUCGUAGUCCUAAGGACAAAAGGUAGCUUUUGGAAUUGAAAUUUAGAGAAGACUUUACCACACCCAACUUCCUUAAUUGCGGUCAAGAAAGACGGGAGGUCCAUCUACAAUUAGAUUCUAUGGAUGUAAACGGGUAGGUUGCUUGAAGUGAUUGGUGUCCAAAUCUAGUUGGAUAUAUCUUUUCUUCAAUCAAUGUAAUAACAAUAUAUAUAUAGAUGCACACAUGCACAGAUUAUAAGUAAAUCGAGAAAUUAACUGUCACUAUCGUAUAUUCUCUAAACAUUUGUAGAGAGAUUAAAAAAAUGAAUUCAAAUUUUCUUCAUUAAUCUAACGAUGAAGGAAUUGAGUUCGAAAUUUUGCUACUCCUACUUUAACAUUUUCUUCAUUAAUCUAAUGUGUCAUUUUCAUGAAUUACACCCACAAAAGAUAAAUAAUCCAAACAAAGUAGUUUGGGUCAUUAUUCGUAUCAUGUUCGGGUUAAACCAAUCUAAUAAGAACUUUUUAAUUAAACAAGUCACGCAAAUCAUGCUCGGCCUACUUAUUAUUAGCUCAAUCAUUUUUAGAUUAAGAUUUUCUUCAUGUAAUAGAUCGAUCUUGUCCAAAAUGAAAUUCCUAACACGACCAACAAAAUGAAUGGUUCUUCACACCAAUCCGGCUCGUUGGAGAAAUUUAACUAGUACUUCAAAGUAUUUUUGUUUUCGUAGUGUGAACUGAUUAACUUCUCGAGAGAGUCAAAGAUCGAAAAAGUAGAUCAUGACAUACAUAGACACGCAUAAAAUAUUAUGCAAGAUUGCAGACCAUGUGUUUCUUUAUUUAUUGGCUUGGCUUCGGCCGCUGCCUGCCACGCUGUCCUCCUUUCCUUACGAACGUUCUGCCAAUACCACGACGUUCCAGAGACAGACACCGCUUCAGAGUUCAGAGUUCAGACACAAAAGAACCAGUCAAAAGUCAAACGUAGGAACAUUUGUCCUUCUCCUCCUCAGGUCAGAGUCAAAUCCCAGCUCCAGAAGCUGUAACCUUGACCGACCGCACCCUCGAGACCCCGGCACAGCAAUUCCCUGAGCUGUCGAAGUUUCGUUAUGGAAGUCACGUACCACCGCCAAUCCAAGAUCAACACAAUUUGACCGUAAAACAUUGCAACGGCGCAUAGCCAAUUAAAAAUAAUCGAGCAGUACAGAACCUGAAUGGCUCUGUUCCUUAACAUGGAAGAUCACAUGUGGUCAAGGUCAAAAGUUGGCAGAACAAUCUGGUGUUGCCACAUAAAAAAAAAAACAAGCUACUGUGCUUUCCAGUCUCUAUGUUUUUAUACAAUCAGUACUUUCUGCAUCAAUGUCGAAUGAUCCAGAAAGACAGAAGACAGUCAUCAUCUGGGACUUCAGAUUCCACUGUCACAACUGUACCCAGACCAAAACUGGAUUGAGAAGCCUGAUGAGAAGCAAAACAGAUGGUGCAUGUUCCAACCGAGUUUAAUCCAGUAUUUGCAAUGCAAUGUACUGACGAAAGAGCAAAAAGAAAGAGCAUAGAACAAGAACGGCCUAAUUAUACAGAUGCUCAAACACCAAAAUUUACCCAAAACACAUGUAAGACAUGUCAUAUACCUUCCUCCAAAACAUUAUUAGAUCAUGAACAAAACAGUAAAAGAAGCACAGAACCCAGUAAGGUUCUUCACCUAUGCUACAUUCAUAUAUAUUUCUUUACAAAAGUCCGACCGUCGAGACUGCUCCCUCUACUCAGAACGGUUCGCGCUCCCGAUGUAAUCGAGCCCCUCGGUGCGGCUCCGCACAAUCCGAUGGAAGACCUCUCGUACUUGCUUCUCCAAUGGAUCCAAGCCAUCCUUCACAGCCUCAAACACCUCCGCCAGGUCCUCCACUCUCUGCCUCACCUCCUCUUCCUUCUCGGCCGACAGUGGGAAUUGGGCCGAAUCCACCAAUUCGCUCAUUAUCCUCGCGCCCCUCUCGAUUUGAUGGAUCUCCCGCAACAAUCCGCGCGCGUUCCUCCUCUCCCUCUUCUUCGAUUCCUCCACGAUCCUCUCGUGGAGCGACUGGAUCGGCGCGGCCCAGGCGAACUGCCUCGGGAUGGAGAAAUGCACCUGCAGCCCGCGGUCCUGGCAGGGGAUCGCCGCCACGAGGGCCCACGUCACGAAGAGGAGGACCGAGUUCAUCGUGAAGACCGGCACGGCGAGGCCAUUGGUGGCCACGAUCUCGUUCCCCCUCGGGGCAGACAAGUUGGUCCCGAUCGCCUGAAUCUGCCUGGCGGCGGACCACGACCUGGAGACGCUCCAGGAGAGCGACCUGAAAUGGCCCAGCGAGCGGUGGUCCCGGGACACGCUGCUGCGGCCGAAGGACCGGUUCCGGUGCGCCGCCACCCCCGACCCGCCGGCCUCCUUCUCGUCGAGCAUCCCGAUGGCCAAAUCGAUCAGCGCCUUCUUCGCGCGGCGGAAUUGGCCCUCGCUCAAGCUCUUCCGGCUGUCCAGCGCGCACAGGACGAUGUCCAGGAGCUUCUGCCACUGCCGAACCUGCUCGACCCCGUCCCGGAUCGCAUUACAGACGUCCAGGGCCUUGAUGCUCCUCUCGUGAAAAUCGGCAAUCGACCUGUCCAUGGGGGACUUCGACAGCUGGGACUUGUGAUUGAACAUGAUCACCCUGAACUCCUCCUGGCAGCACAGGAACGCGUCGAGCAGCUUCCGAAUCCACGGGAGCGAGAGCAGCUCCUCCGGGCCGGCCGACGACAGAUCAAGAAACCGGUCGGCGACCUGCUUCUGGAAGGCCUCCAUCUCCAGCUCGGCGCUCGUCGCCUCGUGGGUCGGGUCCACGGAAUGGACGGCCUGGUCGCGCCGAAAGCUCAGGAUCGACCGGCCAAUGUACGAGCCCUGGUACUCCGUCGCAGGCAUCUUUCUUGAUCCUCCUACGGCAAACCCAAGAACGAACCCGCCGAGACCCACGUACGGAAAUGGCGAAAGCUCGCGGCUUUAUCGGAUUUCUCGACCGCGGAGGGCUCGAAUCGAAGUCUUAGCAAACACCCAUCUGAGAAUAUGCGCCGAAUCUCUAUCAAUUUCGAGGCUUGGUUCUUGCGAUUGAAGUCCGUACAGCAAAGCGAGAGGAGGAGAAGGAAGGAAUGAUGAAACCCUAAAGGGGUAGGGGAAUUUAUGGGCGGGGAAGCAUCCUGGACCGCGUAUUAUCGGUAGCUUGGAAAGGGAGAGGUCCACGCGAAAGCGAGGGAGAUUUACCAUAAUUAGCAUGAUUAGAUUAGAUUAAAUUUUAAUUAACUUAACCCUUCCUGCCGUAGAAUCCCCAUAGAUCGCCUUUUUUUAAUUUUUUACCCCGCUCGACGCGCCCCCCACGCGCAGCCGGCGGGAUCGGAUCUCGGCCGUCGAUUUCGGACAUCCGCAUCGCGGACCGUCGAUCGACGAUGCGUCACUCGGAAGUGCCGUCGCCGCCCGCCGGCCGUGGGAUGUAUGUCCGCGAAUUCCUGCACUCUGCAGCAGCGGAUCAUUUCCGCGAGGGAUGUCUGUCCCCGUUCCGACUGGUGUGAACUGCGCUAAGCUAGCGUCACGGGGCUGUCGCAUGGCGGGGCCGCGUGACCGGAAGGGUGGGCCCGCACGUGAGCACGAGCGAGGGGCCGCGUUGACCACGUGGAGCGACGUGAAUGGGUCUCGCGAGACGCCAAACGUGGGCGAUUGGUUGAUGGGUGGGGGAGGGCUCGGUCUUCGUCGGCGCGUAACGUAACGCUCUCUUCGUCCCCCUUCUAGAAGGACAGGGGGCGUGGAGGUGGUUCGGUCCUAAUUGGAAUUUUAUGACGAAAAAGAGGAAAAGUAUAUUGUUGAAAAGGUAAAAGGGAAAAACAAUUUGUCAAUGACACAAGUACUAAGAGGAUCAUGGAAUGCAUUUCACAUAGGCGAGUUUUUUCUUUUUCUUUUUUAAGAAUCCUUCAUUUUCUUUUUCUCGUCUAGAGAGGGAGAAGGAGCGGUCACCGUCGUCUACAAAAGUUUUCCAACAUGCCUAUAGUCCCGAUUCUUUGUAAAAAUAUCAAUAUAAGUCACGACUAUUUAGAGAGCUCUGUUUUAAAAGUAAACUUAAUCUAUAACAUAUAGCAUAAUUAAAAUGUAAGAGUAAUUUUUAUGGUCGAUUGAGGUAAUUCGUGGGAGACUCGUCUGAUGAAUUCUCUUAUGUUUUUAGUUUUUCUUAAACUUUUAAAUCGGGCUUUUUGUUCGAUAUCGACAACCCUAGAUCCCAACCAUUUGCUUUUGGCGUUAAAAGCCUUCUUUGACUUAAAAUUAGGUGAAUUGGAAAGACUUAUUAUCCAUAACCGUGUGAUAAAGUAUCGAUCUACAUGUCCAUUAAUUAUAUGGUGAAGUGUGAAUCACUAAGCUUUUUUAUUCACUGUUGUUUUUUUUUUUUCAAAAGAGACUUAUUUUCUUUUCGUGGAGCUAUACGGCGCGUCACUAAAUUAUCCUCUCGAAAGGAACUGGUCAACUUUCAUUACGCACCACUCGUUUUGCUACGGGAACAGCCGAGUUUGACCUCAUAAAGGCCUUCUCAUGCUUUCAUGACUAGGAAUAAAAUAAAUCAAAUAAAAACUAAAAUUCUGGAUGCUCAGUGGUCAGUUGAGGUCGGUCAAUAAUUGAGAAGGAUAAUGAUAUAUUCGGAUGAGAAUGAGUAUAGGUAAAAGGGGGGAAGCGGGUUAGGGUUUCCUGUACAAGGACAGCAGCGACUCAAAGCCCUAAUUCGAGACCACUGAACUUUACAUGCAAAAAAAAAAAAAAUGCAAUUUUUAUGAGUUUACUAUUGUUAUUGCCCCGUGAAGGGACAAGAAAUAUGCUCGAAGACAGAGAGGGAUGCGACAGUGAAACGUCAAUGUCGAUACCAUUUGUUUUUUUCCCCUUGUUUUUUGCUCCUAAUUUUGUGUGGUGGUUUGACAAUGUCGCGUAUAAUAGAGUAGUUUAUACGUCGUGCUUUCGACGAUCAGACAGACUUUUGAUGAGGAAACAAACAAGCACGGGUUCUCUUUCACGUUCUUUAAUCGCUUGUUGGUACACGGAUUCGGAUAAGGACCGGAUUAUGGUCGCGCUAGAUGCAUCGUUUUUGGCCUGCCAAGAUGGGUUUUAAGAACUCCGAUCCUUGCGUGAAGUCGAAUUUUCCAACCUAAAAUAUAGAUAUACAUGUGAUGAAUUGAGCUGGGUUUGUGAUGAUUAGGCAGUGUCUCUUUUCAUGCUCGGCUAAUGACGUUGCGGACUAAACUAUUCUCUAAUGUAACUUUGCCUCUAAAAGUUGAUCUAAGUUAGGCCGCGACACGAUAAAUAAGUAAUUUGUCGGGAUUGUAACAUGCCUUAUGUAGAUAUAACUUUUCUACAUAUAGUGAUUUAAACCUUUUUGUCAAACGUUCUAAUGUGAUUUCAAAAGUAGAAGUCCCUGGUUCAAGAACCUCCUGUAGCACGAAUAACUUGUAUUUGUCCAAAACAACUUUAUAUAUACCUAGAGCAAUUUUUGUUUAUCUUGAACAACGGGAAAAUUGUACAAAAAUGCCUCAAUCUAGCGUACUUUUAUCAAUUCAAUUUUAAACAUUAUAAUUUUAUUAGUUUUAAAUUUUUUUACAUUUUGCUAAUUGAGCCUUUGACCUAAUAAAUUUAAUUAGUGAAAUUAAAAGAUUUAUGGUUAAAUUAAUAUAUAUAUAUAUAUAAUUCUUGGAUAAUUUUGUCCGUGAACAACUUGCAUCUAUCCACGAGUUAGCGCGAGAAGUGAGAAUCCUGGGGCCACGGGGAUGGAGACGGGUGAUGAUUGACCAGUGGAAACUGGAAAGGUCCAAUUCUCGAGGGAAAACGAGUGAGUUCGUGACCUCAAUUCCUUCAUUAAAUAACACGCCGAGUGGGCACUUUCAUAUGAGGGAAAAAAAAAAUCAAUUGACGAGCUCUUGAAAAUACAAGGAAUCUCUACGUAUUCAAGAAUUGAUUUCUUGGAAUACAAGGAAUUGGUCCACUUUGUUUUGCUUGUUCAGCUUUUUUCCAAGCUCUCUCCCUCUCUCUCUCUCUCUCUUUCUCUCUCCUCUUUAAUAAAACUAAAGGGGUCACGACGUGGAGUAAAGAAGAAUGAAUUGACUUCGUCUCUUUCACACGUCUCUGUGAUGAGGUAGAGAACAAUACGUUGGCCUAGAAGCAGAGAAAACCCUACUUCCUCGGAAGAAGAAGAAGUCAAUGGAAUUGCCGGGCGAAAAUGAUAACAAAAUUCGCACAUGUCCUUUUAACACUAGGGCUUGAUUUGUUUUGUAAAUAUUGUGGCAUUUCUAAAUAUAUAUUUUCCCAAAAGAAAAAAGGAGAAAUAUUUAAAUAUUUAAAAAUUCGAUUUUUCUUUAUAAACUUUUUUGGCCUCGAUGAACACCUACCUAGGCUCAGCCUCGACAUUACCGGGCCUAGCAUCCUGGGCAUAGGCACCCUUGUAAAAAAGAAUUGGCCUUGAUGGACCUAGGUACAAUCGGCGAGGACCUAGGCUUGAUCUCAAUAUUACUGAGCCUAUGUCUAGAAUACGGGCAUUGGUGUCUCGAGAGCAACCUAAAUGGACCUGGGCACUGGAAUCCUUAGGCAAGGCAUGGUGGACCUAACCCCACUACCACGGGUUCGAGAACAAGCAUGGGGGUUCAUGUGCCCAAACACAAAGUUUUUGAUCUAGGCAUCAAAUACCUAGCUAUAUUUUGCGAAACAAUUUCCAUCUUUUGCAAGAGGAAAUUAUUUUCCUGAAUUUAAACAUUGAUAGGAAAACAGUUUCCAUAACUAGAAACAUAUUUUAUUGAAUCAUUUUUCUAAGCGUGUCAAAUGUUGGAAAACAAAAAAAAUAUUUUCUCGAAAAAUAUUUUUUCUGAAAAUAACGGAACCUAAAAAGUUAGGUUUCCUUUUCUUUGUUAGGUCAAAGGAAGAUGAAAUGGCAUUGAACAACGAUAUUUGCUAGAGCGAUUAGGUUCGUGAGACCUUUCAGCAUUAAAAUUCACCAAGAAGGUUAAGGGUAUGGAUCUUGACCUCCGAUUGAAAUUUUUUUCUUCAAUAGAGAAUACUCAUGCAAUUGGAAUUAUUUAAAACCUUUAUUGGAAAAAAAAAAGUCGCUGUUUUUCUUUUUUUAUCUAAGCCAAUGCUUAAUUGAUAACCUAUAUAAUGUAUAAUGUACAAAGUAAGUAGAAUUCUUUGGAUUUUUAGAAAUGAAUAAAGGAAACAACUUUGCUGAUCAUGCCAUACUUUUUGUUUGGUCAGAAAGUCCUCCGAAUAUUCUUUCGAUCUUCAGUUAGUGAUCUGUUUUGAUAUCUCUUUUGAGGAAUAUGAGUAGGUGAAUUAAGUCGCAAGAAUUGUUACUCAAUACUCAAGGGUGUGCUUGUUUAGCGGAAAUAUCAACGAUUUUGAAAGUAUUCUUUUAAAAAUAAUCAUUUGUAUCACCUAUAAAAUAAAGAGAUAUUUUCGUUAUCAACAAAAUAUAUAAGAUUCAUAUCCAAUCAGCUUCUGGCCAUUGACAUUUAUAAUUUUAGCUUGAUCUUCAAUUGAUUAUUGAAGUGGGUUAAAGUUGGCGUGUACUCAAAAGCCUCAAUUUUUAUGGGAACUUCAAACAUGCCGUCAAUAUUUAAUAAUGCUGAUCUAAUUUAGAUUGAUAUUGCAACUCAAAAGUGGGACUGCCGCCUUGCUGGUGUUGCAAUCGCAUGCCGUCGAUCCGUGUCGCCAAAAACGCACAAGACACCAAACGUGAGGACACGUAUCGAUGUCGCAAAUCGUAUUUAAUUGCGGUCCAUUCAUCACCACCUCUCUCUCUCUCUCUCUCUCUCUCUCUCGAGGCUUCGCUUCUUCUUGAUCUCUUGGCUUUUGGUUAAGGUUUGCUGAAUUUCUCCUCUUGCUUUUUGAGUAUGAGCGUGAGCUGUCUUCAGGGUUUUCGAGGCUUUGAUUAGGACAUAGUGGAAUUCCAAAAGUCAGGCAGAUUCGAUUCUUGCUUUUCUUGAUGGAAAGUAGGCCAGGAUUCGCUAGUACCUACUUACACCGUUUGUACGUCGAGUAAGAUUUGCCGGCUCGUUUGCACUAUGACUUUAAUAUUAUUCUGUUGAUCUAUUGGAAUGAAACUUGCAGUUGAAGUUGAAGACCACUUGAACGACUUGACUAAAGGAGACUGGCCAAGGUGAGAAAUGGGCUACGUGGUGAUGAUUUCGUUGCCGGCGCUACUGUUGUGCCUCAUGAUCAUGGCCUUGAUAUGUUACUUGAUCGGAAGGGCAUGGGGUCGACGGCCGGCGCAGUACUACCAGCCUCCUGAGCCGACGCUCCGCUCGCACCCGAGGCCACCUGAAGUAACAUGAAGCUUUUGCGUCACUCAACGUAGGUUUAUUUACAAACUCGCAUGUACAGUUGUACAAAUGAACAGGCUAAGUUCUUCUAUUUGAAGCCGCGUAGCCCCGUAGGUCUUUGCUAAAGGCAAGAUGCAUAGCUACUUCCUGUAGAACUCCGUUUGCAGUUUCUUUUCCUUCAUCAAUGCAAUUUAUUCUCAGCCCUAUCUUAGAUAUAAAUGGAGAGUAGCUUGCUCAAGGUUUCACAAUAUCCCGGUUCAUUUCUGUCGAGUGAUCUCAUGGUAAGUACAAGUCCUCCGUGAGAUAUAGGAAUUCUUAAUCUACUAAUUGCUCGCACUCAUUACUCACAACGUUUCCACAUUCCAUAGGCCACUGUAACUGUCCGUCUUUGGUUGGUCGGACCACUGCCAACCGAUCUAAAACAUAAUCGUGGAUUGACAUUGAAAUGCUCUAACAUUGCCCCUUCAACAAUAACUUUGCUAUAUGUUUAACUUGAACAAGGGACAUAAGAAAAGGGUGAUGAAUAAAGUGGUUUCCGACAAUCAAAAAAGGAGUGGGAAUGCUGAAAUCCUACAAUGAGAAGAUACGGAAGAUAUUUCCUCACGAACCAGAUUCUCAUUGACCAGAUAGAUGGCUUGACUGGAAGCAUCAUAAGCUGCUAAUAUAGCCCCCUCAUAUGCUAAAAGACACCUUUCUUGUAAUUUCUCUCUCCAACUUAAAGAAGUAGAUAUAUUCUUUUAUCAUAAAAGAGAAAGGAUACCCAUUUGGGAAGUUCUCCAGCUUACUGCUUCUUUAGCUUCAACCCACAACAUCAGCAACAAAGAUGCUACCCGAGUCGCACCAGCCACCUAAGACAUCUCUGCCAUGGGACUGCAGUGGAAAAGAGCAGAUCUGUGAGUUCUCUGUGAAGAGACUUUCAUGAUCAAGUAAAGCAGCAUAAUGCUGCAGUAUAAGCCAGUCCAAUCAGAGUGGCAUAAGUCCCACUUCACGCAAUGUGCUUUUGGGUCACUUAACAUUGAUUAUUCAGACGAACCUCGUACUUGAUCAAGGUAAGUCUUUAUAACACAAACUCUUGAUAAUUGUUUAACUAAUAGGGUCACCAUAUUAACGUGCAACAACAUACAGAAGUAAAAGCUUUUGUUGCCAGACAAAUAAUUACGCUACAUUGCCCUUUAAUACAUAGGCAGUCAGAAAAGUGAUGAUUGAGGAUCUAGACGAUUACCUUAUUAAACCCUAGCCAGUUCGAGUCUCCUCUAAAUGUAAAUACUUUCUCGCUCUUUUCCCACUGCCCACAAAAGACCUGUCCAAACAAAAGAUUACGAGUAAGACUAAAUCUAUCAAAAUAAAGAAAACUGAGGCUAAAUCUUAGGCAUCAACAAAGGUAGGCUAAAUUGGGAAGUGCCACGUUUUAACUCAACUACAAUCAACAUAAAAGAAGACAUUAAUUUAACAAAUUUCAGCACCCCCAGCACUAGAAAGAGCAAUAACUGUAUGAAGGAAUAAAGUUUACAUGCAUCCAGUGUACCAUUCAUGACGGACAUGCAUACACCUAAAACUGCUCUCUAAAAAGUAUUUUUGCCUGAUGAAAUGUUUUCAUCAAUAGCCACCUAUUCCUCAAGUCACGCCAUUUGCUACAUCCAUGUUAGAUCAUUCUCAUCCUGUGCUCUAUUUGCACAUGCCCAUGUGUUGAACCAACAAAAAAGUCGUAAUACAGUCAGAUACGAUAAUUAGAACAAGAACAUACAAGUGAGAAGAAGCAAGCAGAAAAGUACAUAAGAACUUCUCUGCCAACCUUACCUCAUAAUCCAUUCCUUGGACAUAGAUAUAAUCAGAGUUUAUUGAUGAAAAUGCAAGUCCAGUGAUCUGUAUAAUGAGCCAGGAAAAUAUUUACUCUCACCAGCAGAUUUUGAUAGCAAAAGCCAGAUAUACAUGUACGGACAUAGCUUCAUUUGCGUAAUGCGUAUGCUUAAGCCACUAAUGCAUAUCAUGAGAUUUUGCUGUCACGUGAUGGAAAAAGACAUGAAGCUGGAAGUUUAUUCCACAUUCUAGAAAAAUGAAUUCAACUGAUUGUAAACGAAUACAAAAAGGGAAUUGGCCAGAACUGAUGAACUCUAUGAAUGAUUAUUUAGUUUGACAAGCCACUCUUAUUUUUCUUAUCAUUUCCAGUUAAAGAAGCUUGCACUUUUCACAAAGCAAAAGUGAAUUUACACAAGGAUGAUUAAUUGACACAUGCAUCCUUAAUAAUAUAAAUUGCACAGGUAAAUGAAGAGAGUCGAGAAGCAUCAUCACGUAAAGUGAUAUAUAAGUUGAGACCAGUAGUCCUUAUUUCAAAAGAGAUAUUGUGUUCAGGUGGCAUGUAUUUAGACAGUCAAAAGGAACAGGUGGUGACCUCCAGAUAUUUUAAAGCAAGGAUGCAACUUCAUCUGUGAAUAUUCUAUCGCAUGGAAUUGGAGAAGGCAGCUCCUGGGAUGGUCAACCUCUGGCUUCAUCAACCAGCCACUCAUGUCUUCACAUAAAAGCUAGAUUAUCUACUUCCAACUCGUGACUUAUGACUUUUAGAUACAGAGAUGUUAAGCAAUUCUGAAAUCCACUUACAAUUACCUGAAACACACACUAUUCUUCAUCCCUUGAAAUUGACUAAACUACUAGACCAUGAAGAAGUGUCUAUGUGUCUCACACUCAUCAUUGUAAAACAGUUUGCAACUGGCUCCACAAUCGAUGAUAAAAAGAUUUCUUGCAUGCAAAGAAGAUGAGGUCUCAUUCCUAAUCACGGUGUGAAGCAUAAACAUUAGUAAAGAGGUUGGAAGUGGGGAAUAGCUUACCUCAUACUUUGAGCAAUGCACCCAUCGUGAUAAUGCUGACCAUCUGUAUUAGAAGUACAAAAACAAUAUCACAUCUCUUUUUAUAUAUAAAGAACAAAGAAAUCCUGAAUCACCCCAAUAUGCAGACCAUGUAAUAAACACAUGAUUCAUGUACAAAAAUGACCAAAGAAGUGGAGGGUAAAUGUGCAAGAAUCAUGUAUAGCAAUUUAUUUAAUUCAACUUGAUUUUGGCAUUUGGUCAUGAAUCCAUCAGCUCAUCCAGUUGGAGGAUGACAAAUUUCAAAAAAUCCAGCAUCUGAUUUAUCUAAAGUCCACCAGGAUAAGGAGCCUUAAUGUAAAUUGGACCAGAUUCUAAGUUGGAUUCAAUAAUAAAAUGGGAUGAUAAACUCAUAUAGUAUGUAAUCAUACAAACUACCCAAGAGAGAAUUCAACAUUCUUUCUUUCAGUUCUCUUCUCUUUAGUAUUGUCAGAUUUUAAAAGAAGAAAGGAGGCAAUAGUUCACAGUUCUUCAAAUUUGCAUUUGCAUGGGGAUGCCAUCACCCUUCAACAGACAAGACAUCACGAUAGAGUAUUGCCACCUCGUUAAGGAGGCAUGAGGAGUCUACACUAUUAGAAUAUGAAACGAGUAUAUUCAAGCUUUUUGCACUCUGUUUAGUAAGGUAGAAUGAACUGAUCGGGUGAAAAUAAACUUCAAUUCAUAUUUCUAGUUCUAGUUAUUUAAGAAGAAGCUUAAUGUCAAGUGGAAUAAUCACUUAAUGCAUGUAGGAAUAUGAAUAGCAACAUUACUUUCCCAUAUUUAUGAAUUAAUACUUAAUUUAGUAUCAAUGCUUCUUCUCAAUCCAUUCUAUUAGAUUUUUAGAUUCACAACCAUACAAGAUGUGCAAUUCUAAAAUAUGGAAUCCUCUGAUCUGAUGAAUGCAUCUCAACCUUAAUGAGACAACAGCAAAUGUGAAAUUUUUGUCUCCACCACUUUCAGGAAUGGCACCAAAGCUUAUUUAGGAUAUUCCACAUCUUAUCAACAUAAAUCAAGUCAAACCGACCUGACUAAUUCAACAAGAUCAACAUAAAUCAAGUCAAACCGACCUGACUAAUUCAACAAGAGCAAAAAAUAUAAGCCAUCAACUUCUACAUGUUAGUUUUGAUUACUCGGUCUAAGUAACUGCAUUUACAGGUAUUGAUAAUGAGAAACCUGCGAGGAUCAUAUAUGGUCACGGUACGAUCAGCUCCACCAACUGCUAUGCUGCUGGUAGAAGAACUGCAGACAGCAUAGAAGUUGUCACCAAGAGAGCCAGAGAUUCGAUGGAGGCAACCGCCAUUUUCUUUCAUCCUCAAGUCCCAUAUACUCAGCUGCAACAAUCCAAACAUAAACUGAAUUAAAAAAUAAAUUCAACCACAAUGUUUAAGACAAUUUAUCUGUAAAAACAAAUACUAUACAGCCUUUCUUUAAUGUCAUUACUAUACCUGACUACCUUCAGCGACAGCUAAUAUAAAACUUCCAUUCCCAUUAGACAUAUUCUCUAUGAAGUUCAGUGAAGAUGGAUACCACAGCCUGAAAGACCAGGUCUAUAAGAAUAACCUUUUACUCAAGUCUGCAAACAUAUGCCAUGUACCUAUAGUUAUCAAGCACUUAGAACAUACGUCCUCAGAGUCUGAAGAUGGAUAUCCUGAUCAUAUAUAUCGAUGCUUUUGCAAAAGCUCCGCGCCACAGCAGCCUGUGAUAUACAACCAGUCAGGAGAAGUCUCUAAGAAAUACCAUACAAGAUACCAAGUACUUCUAAAAAUAAGUAUGAGUAAAAAAACACGAAAAAACUUAUGUAGAGGCAGUGAUCUGCUCUCCAACUUUCAAUGCACUUUCUUUAAAUGACCAAUUACAGGUUCCCACUAAGUUUUGAACUCAGGUUCUCAGACAAACUAUCAUCCACGUUCCUGAGGGGGCGAGAACAAAAGGACAAAUGCCAAGCACAUGUAAUGUCUAAGAUCGUCAAGUAAAGAAGCGAGCAUUCAUAAUGAAAGAGAUUGCUCGAAAGGCAAGUCAAAUUCAAAGCUUGAAUAAAUAUUCCAAAACCACUUGAAGAAAACAGAAAAGGGAAACCACAAAAAGUGAAAGUAUGCUUUAUCAAUAAAAUCUCUAUGCAAUUGAGACUACCCUGUAGUAAGACAUGAAAGAGAUAAUGAGAACACAAAAAGAUGUGCCACGAGAUAAAAAAAAAAAAAAAAAAACUUAUUUGAUCCUCAAUGCUUCCAAAUUUCAAAUGGAAAUUGAAAAAAAGAAAAAUUCAUGGAUGACUAGGUACCAUAGACCAUUGAUUUGGACUGAAGCAAAGUCCUGCCCAACUACCUUCUCCAAUUCCACAAUCUUGAGGCAAUACCGAGUAUGUAAGCCUGCUAUCAUCUGAAACUAAUGAAUUGAAGACAGUGUCAACAAGGAAAGCAGGUGAUACAGGGAGUUUUAGCAAUCAUAAUGCAAUUAGAUCACUUACAUUAUAUAUAUGUCCAAAAACUUAUCAUAUCUCAAAUAAAUACAGUUUAAAUAAUAGAAGAUUAAUCUAAUAGCUUCCAUUGACGAGCCACAACAUAGAUAAACUGCACAGUGUGCUAUUGGUCAGACAAAAGUCGGUAAAAAGUUUGUGUAAAGAGUAACAUUUAACAAGGCUAGCCCAACUAUGAAGGGCAGAACAUUAAACAAAAAAUCAUUGGACUCUUCUCUGUCAGGAAACCUUUUAGAACCAAGGAGAGGAAAAAAGACUAAUAAUGCAGAAGAGAGAGGACUAUAGCAUGGAAAGGACACAGAACAUAUUAGAACCUUAUUAAAAGGACUCAUGAGGAGGGGAAUUUCACAAAUCAGUAACACGUCUUCUACAUCCACACAUUACUCGAUGCUUUCUUCUUUAAAUUUACAUAUUUGCAAAAACCCCAACCAGGUAUCAAAGUUGUAGGAACCGAGAAACCAUCAUUCAUGUCCAAUCGGGGAUAAAGACAUUUGAGGCACAUGCUUGCUCUUUUUCCAUUUACAAAUUAAACAUUUCUAAUUCUCCUGCUGAAAGUCUCCAUAAAAAUUUAAAAAACAUUUAAGGGGAACAUACCCUCACCACCUAUAUGUAGCUUAGAUACAAUGAGGUGGCCACAGGAAUCCACACUUCCCAGCAUCAAGUAGCCAGCACCUGCAAUUGAUCGAAAUAAUAUUAAGCCAACUCUAUUGACAUUGCCAUGCGGCAACUAAAAUUCGACAAGGAGAAGAGCAGAUUUCCUCACGCGAGUGAAUCCUUAAGACAAACGAGAUGACCAUAAAUUAAGCAUCUAAUACAGAACAUAUCACUCCACCAGGCAUGGAAGCUGACCAGACACGGCAUGAAAGAACUGUUUAAGGAACUAGUAAAGGAAUGACUCUUUCAAUCAUAAUCAACAUCGCAAGUCUAUUUUCCCAGAAAGAUUAUGUCAAGCUAAGCACAAGUUAUAUCUUACAAGGGAGCCAACCCAUCUCUGUGUAGGACUGGCAGUAUCGACAAAUAUAACCUGCUUCAUACAUGUCUUUUCGAAAGUAGCUCCUGUGUAGCAAUUCAAGCAACGUUGCUUUUGGAUAAUAAAAGGUUCAACAUUACUAUUUUGAAAUUAAACUUAAACUCUUCUUUGGCCCUUCACUUAGUCUGGUGGUUGGACAAAACUCACAUGCAAAGCUUUGGGUUGUAAUUAAUGAAAAUCAGCUGCACACAUUACACUAACCAAUGUGAAGUCACCCAAUAAAUGUAAUUAUUAAUACCAAAUUGGCCUAAAAGAAAGGGCAACAGAUUGUUGUAUAAAAUGCAGUAGUUUGUUGUAGGCCAGCAGUUUCGCUAGGUGGUACUCUACUGUUCGUGUCAAAUAGUCUUUGAAAAUUAAUUGAAUGAGCUGACUACCAAUUAAAAAAAAAAUGAGUUUAAUGAGCCAAGCUUUUUUUUUCUCUUUUUGUCUGCUGGCUUUUCAUAGUUGAAUCAGCCAAGGACCAGAUAUUUCUCAAGCACAACUCAACUCAACACCAUUCUUCAACAUCUUUUUCGUGAAAUGAAAUCUUCAGGUAGCUUAAAAGAAAAGCCACUUACUGUCACAUUCAGUCAGCACUAUACUCUGAAUUUCAGAUCGGUGUGGGCAACGGUUGACUAGCAUAGAGUCUGUAACCUUCAAAAAGCAAGGCCCUCACGUUACAAAAGAUCCACACAGGGGAUGACAGAAUGAACACCAACCACGGAAAUAAAACCCUUUUUGCCAGAAGAAAAGCUAAAACCAGUUCAUAACUGAAACUUGAGAUCACCGCACUCGAGUGAGCCUUACCUCCGCAUGAGCAGGAAUAAGAAGGCUUUCUUUGCCUUCGCCAACCAAAGCCCCCUCCAAGGGCACCUGAAGUCAUGAAAUGGAAAGAGAUAAAGAUAAGAGAUAUAAUUUUCAGAAAGAGAUCAGGACAUCAACGAGGUGUUGUGAACCCACGAUUCUCUAGCCUGUCUAAUUGCAUAAGCAUGUAUCCGAUAGAUGAGUCUCAAAAACCUUCAGCAAAUGGUGGUACCCAUUUAUUUUAUCAUCUCCAAUUCGCCCAGAAAAUCUCCACAACGAGUGGUCUCAAUAACAAUCAUUCAAAACACACGACCAUCACAGGUCAACACAUUUAAGUUUCCAGCAAAACUGCUCUCUCUAACCAUCCCCAACUUCAUCCUUACAAAACCGAAACAGCACCAAAUUCCAGUCGAGUUACCACCAUUCCCAUUCCCCAUCAUCAGUCAACAAGGAAUUAUCAAACACUACUAACUACCACACACUGCGGGCUACGACGGACCCGACCACACAAUAUCAGAACAUCACAAUUCAUGCAAAUUCCAGCUAAAAGCGGCCGCGUAACCUGGACUCUGAAGACGUGGCAACCGGAAGCGAUGUAGACCCAGCACGAAGAUCCUUCCUCGUUAGCCUGACCAGAAAAAAAGGAGGCAAAUUUAAGCUCAUUCCGCCCUCAACAACGCCCAGAGCGCGAGCGAGAGCGAUAGGGGUUUAGGGUUUUGGAGAGUCGAGCGAUUACAUGGAGAGCGAGGCGAGUGGACUGGAGAUUUCCAGGAGAGGGAUGGCGGAUGAGGGUGGAAGGAACCGCCGCCUUCACCAGAGUCCUCGCCUCCAACAUUCUUCUCCUCCUUCUCCCUCUUCCUCUCUUUCGGCCGGAACUGCAGACUGAGCCGUUCUCCGUCGUCGCCCGCCGUCGCUCGAUGAAGUAGGCGACGGAGCUCGGCGGCGGAAGCGGCAAACCGCCAAAACGAGUUUCGAGGAAAUUGCACUUUGCUCCCCAGAAACUUGUACUCUGUUUCAAUUUACUCCUCGAGUUUGCGUUCGUUUCUGGACCCCUCUCUCUUUCUGUUUUUUUUUUUUUCCUUAAACAAACCUUCCAUUGCAUCAAAAUAGUACAAACAUUACAAGAAGAAAAACAUCAAGAUGAUGAAUUGAAGAAACACAGCUAACACUAAAUGUUUUACUGUAGAGAGAUCAUUAAAAGGUUAAGACAAUGCGAUUCCUAACCGAUGAAAUGCCCAUUUUGCGACUCAUGAGCAACAACAUUACUAGUCCUAUUGGCUCACUUCAAAUUCCAUCCUAAGUCGUUACUAAGUGGUAAACGAGAGUCGAGACAAACGGAUGAAUACACCAGGGGCAAAAGCCAUUUUGUUGAAUAGUAUCGAUUAACACAUUACAGUCACUUUCGAAGACCGUUUUAUGAAUGCCGAACGAUUGAACUGCUUUGUAUGCAAGAAGAAGAGUUGCAACUUCCACUUCUACCGGCAAGUUCCAUCUUCCUUGUCUUGUCCACGCUCGGACAACUAAGCCUCUAUCUAAUCAUGCAAUAAUAGCUAUGCCCCUUAUUAUCUUUCCACGGGCCAUUUACAUUUUACCCCAAUAAAAUUUGGUUCCUCGCUUAACUUAACUUUGUUCUCUCUCCUUAACAUAUUUGAAUUCUCCAAGAAAUCUUGUAUGAAUCGCCUAGAAAGCAAUUGGAAUAGUCUAAUCAUGUAACUUUGCAUUCCCAUAACGCCACAUUCUAGUGCAGAGAAUUGCUGCAUAAAGGGUGAAGAGCUUGCAAUCCAAUCCCAUUCUUUGUGCUAAUUUUCCUGGGUCAAGAAAGUGGUUCAUCAUCUCUUUCAAAGACCUGAAGUUCCAAGCAAACGAGAUUAUAUACCAUGGGCUUUGUUUCCACAAAAUUUGGGCUAGAGGACAUGAUGUGAACAAAUAUACCAAAAUUUUCCUUCGAAGCUCCACACAAUGGGCAAGAAGGGUCUGGGAAAUGGAUUAAUUGAAACAAGUUAGCUCAACAAGGUAAGACAUCACUUGCUAUCCUCCACAACAUCAUUUUGCGUCGCUCAUGAGCUCUAAUUUUCCAUAUUUUGUUCCAAAUCAUGCGAUUGUUGCCAUUUUAAUCCACAACUUUAUGAGUUUGUAAGCAAAUUUAAUAAAAAAUAUUCCAUCAAUAGCCGGAUGCCAAAUGGGUUUGUCCACCGAUAUGGAGUUUGGCACAUGGAUCUAAAGAACAACUUGGAUUGAGAUUGGGCAAAGUGUUUGAUUUAGACUUAAUACAUCCCAAGUUUUUGUCCCAGGGAUAAAAAAGAUUUCUUUCUUUGCUUCAAAACAUGGUGUGGAUCAAUAAAAAAAGGCAGAUGAGUUAAAAUGUUAGGAAUCCAAGGGUGAUUUCCUACCUCGAUUGAUUUUCCAUCCCUUAUAUGAUACAAAGUUCCAGUUUGAGUAUUUCUCUAGCAUCCAUGAUUGCCUUCCCUAAAGGAGAGGCUGAUGCCUUGAGUUUGUCACAAGUACUAUGAGAAAGCUGACUAGAUUUCAUUGCAUAGAUCAGUGUGCUCUAAACAACCGAUCGAAUAUAUAUUGCUUUACCUACCCAAGAUAGUGUUUUCCUUUUUCAGGGGCUAAGUUUGUUAUCAAUUUUUUGUUCAGGGGAUUGAUAUUUUGUCCAACCUUUUCCUGGUUUGGAGAGGGGAUCUCCAAGGUACAAUACAUACCCAAUUGGCCCACCAAAUCCUUGGCAUUGAUUUUUAUUUUAUUUUAUUUUUUGCUGGAGUAUAGUCAAGAAAUACAUUACUUAUCACUCUCCAACUUUUAACUCGAUUUCGUCUCGCCCAUCUAAUUUGAUGCGAUAGAUUGUGAUUACAAAGUUUCAUUUGUAUCUUGGAUCACAAUUAGGCUCCAUGAUCUAUAGGAUAGUUUGAUCAAAAGACCCAACCCUACAUUUUCGAAGAUGAUUUCCCUGUAGAAAGCACCCAUUUUGAUCAACAUCAGUCUUUUAGCUUCAAUUUAACUUCUGAAUGUUCUUUUCGUUGGUACAAAAGUGGCAACAAUGUGGCGAAACUGACCUCAAAAUCAUCUCACAUGCCGGAUACAAGGUCAAAUGUCCCGGCGAGGUUGUGGGGCAACUUGAGGAAAAAAGAACAUGGGAUUCAGGGAGUAAUGUGACACAAAAUCAAGUUAAGAGGGGGUAAAAAUUAAAAUCAAGAAACAAUUCAGUGGGCAAUCCGUAAUAUCUUCAUUAGGUGAGUGACUCACGACUGUAAGGUGAUAGAAAAUUUUUGGCCAAAGAGAUCAGUGAUAACCCUAAUUAAAAGCUUCUAAGCUUUUCCUCUGGAUUGUUGCUUUCUGCAGAUGAUUAUGCAGCAUUGGAGAUGAGAAGUAAUUUUCACCAACUGUCCUGUGGAAACAUUGAAAAUAUGUCUAGCUCUUACGUUUUUUUUCCUCAGAGUCGAAUAAGGAUGCCAGAGAUAUUUACGAUCCAAAGAUUCUUUGAUACACUGUUCUUGCGAUGGUUUCUACUGUAGUUUUCUUGUGGCAAUUAAAAGGUUUCUAUUACUAGAGAUUUCUCAACUAUUACGGAUACAUAUAUGUAUACUUAGAUAAAGUUUCAUGAUCCGCUAUACCUGUGAAGACUCAAUUGCAAUUAGGUCACCAAGCUUCAUUUUCAUUCACUCAAACACAUUAACUUUUGAUUCCAUGACAAUCCAUGCACUAGCAAUAUACUAAGGUGGCCGUUAUCAGUGCCAACAAGGUGUCUAGUCAUCUCGAACUUAGAAGAAUAAUACAACCACAUAUUAAAAAAAAAAAAAAAUGGGGAUGUGGGCAGCCAGCUCGAAAUGAAAUGUAGGAACAAGUAAGAUAGAAAGGUGACUCUCACCCCACCCAUCAAGCAAAAAGCCAAGACAAAUCAACUAGAGAUACCCUAAUGGGUUGUAUGCAUAGAAAACUCCUGUUGGUGGAGCACUAAGAACUUAUUAAAACCAUAGUCAUUCUUGGAAAAUACUAAAAUCAAUGGUUUGCACGAGACAGUAUUGCAAUUGGAGACGUUCAGCAUCAACGCAUCUCCUUCUUCUUCUUCUUCUUCUUUAAGGAGAUAAACAAGGGAUUUCAUAUAAAAUUGAGGGUUCUCUAUCUUGUUUCCUUGGCAUUAAGACAUAGGUCUUUGUGACUGUGACGGCUUGGCAACUAGCGUCAUGUACUUGCGUGCGGGGAAUAUCUUAAACCAAAUGUCGGCCGAAAAGAGGAAUGACAGAUUAGUGAUUGUGGGUCAUCUUUUUGUCAAAAGGAUCAUCAUAAUUAAUUGCUUUGAUCAACUGAUAAACUAUAUACAAUUACUAGCUAUGGCUAGCAAGCAUUGUUGUCUUAGCUAGAAGCUGCAUUAGGGUUAAAAGAUCUGCUGCCAAGCUCUCUUCAAAAGCACCAACAUCGGAGUCAAGUCCUAUUUCUAGCUCAAACUCUUUCUUGACUUGUGAAAAAUGCCGAAUCUAGGUUAGUUCCCGAUUUCAGCCCUUCACUUUCGGUCGAUACCUAAAUUUGACCCCUUCAAGUUUUCGUACAAUAACAUCAUUAAAGAUCCGAAAUGUAAUUUCACUCAACUUGAGAUCUCUUUAGAAGAAGCUUGAGAUCUAAGUUUGGCGUAUGUGAAGAGCUUGAGGUUGUUGAUUUUUGAGUUUUAGAUGGUACGGUGUUUUGAUGGUGCUUUUUCUUCAUGAGGAAGGAAUUUGUCGGGAUAAAAAUGUAAAUGAAGGAGAUGAAAGUAAAAGGAAAAGGAAAAAAGGAAAAGAUAAAAGCAGAAAAAAGAGAGUAAAAGACUAUGAAAGGACGCUUGGAGAGAGAGCAGAGAAAUCGGGUGAUGUAAUGUGAAAUGACAAGUCGAAUCUUUAAACACAGGAAAAUUUAACAUGAGUUAGAUAUUGUAAUUGAUUGUCUAUACUUUCUCAUUAAAUUAAAAAAAUUCAAAUCAGAAUAGGAAUCGCUCUGAAGUUAAUAUUUUUGUAUGAUAUAAAAAAUGGUCAAGUCAGAAUUGAAAUUUCACUUAAAAUUAUUUUAUGAAACAAAAAAGAAAAAAUUCGCGUGCGUUCGAGCGACCUAAAUUUAGAGAAUCGGGCCAAAAUAGAGUAAAGGGCUGUAAAUAUUUUCCCACCAUGAUGAUGAAAGGAGGCGACUGACUUUUGUGUCGGUUCAGUGUACAUUUUGUCAAAAAAGUACAAAAAGUGGAACCCACCGGUUAUCUCUCUCGAAGGAAAUUUCUCUGUGAAAUCAAGCGAUGACACGUUUCUAUUUUUCUAUUACUUAGAAAGGAAUCGAGAUGGGGGCAGCGUAGCCAGAACCUCGUAAGUAAAGGAUCAUCUCAGGAACUUUCACUUUCAAACUUUGAUAUGACGUUUCAUCUUAUGAGAAUUUUUUGAGCUAUUAAAACGCUCGUGAUUCGUGUUUAGGGAUUUUAUUCCAAGUUUUUUUCUAGUGAUCGACGGCUCUCUUUAAGGAUAUUGAUAUCGAUGAAUAUAAUCAUAAAAAUUAUAAUAUCUUAUGUAUUGUGUGUCGAAUAACACAAAUUAAGAAUAAAGAGCCUUUAGACAUAUAAACCCUGUUUAGUUAUUAGGAAAACGACACAUAGAGUUUUUAAAUAAUGACUCGAUGUGUAAUGUAAUAACUGAACUUUUAAUUUAUUUAAUUUACUCAUUGAAUUGUCUUUAAAUGCUCAAUUUGUUCCUUGAAUUUUCAAUUUGUUCAAUUCGAUUCAUAAACUACUCAUAUCUAAGGCAAAUCAGUCAUUCAAUACUGGUUAGCGAGUUUUUAUAAUUACACUAUUGCCCAAAUAUAGGGAUGUGUACAAAUUGAGAGACUAUAAAUAUGCCUCAAAGAAAAUUAAUUAGCUUAUUGGAUUCCAACCAUUAUGUUCAUGUCUUCUUUUACUUUUACUUUUCUUUUUCUUGUCCUUGUUCUUUUCUUCCCUUCUAAUUCUUCUUCCUCCUUCCCCUAGAAGCAGCUCCUCCACCGCCGUGGUCGAUGUUGUUGCCCACCAGCCAUUGCCACCACCAUACUCGUCGUCAUACUAAAAUCCAACCGAAGCCAUUGCUUCCCCUCGAAGGGCAUAUUUGUAUCCUUUUGCGGUAAAUAUACAUGAUCUAAUUGCCUCAUAACUUUAGUGGAUCUUAUAAUCCUUGCAAGUACAAAAUAAUCUAAUUCCCAUUCAAAGUCAACUUAGUCGAGUAGAUCAUCGCAUGAUAAUUUAAUUUUUAUCGAACGAUAUUAAGAAAUUUACCUUUUUGCUCUAGAUACUAUCUAUAUGUAUUGAUGAUAACAAAAUCAUUUAUUAGAAAGAUGUUGCCACUUGAAUGUUUUAGACACAGAUCAUAGCACCAACACUGUCAUGCAUGGCAUCACAAAACUGGAAGCAAUUUACAUUACAAGGAUCAGACAACGUUGUAAGCAUAAAACAAUCAAUUAACAAUCACAUCGAAGGAAACGUGGAGAUUUUUAGAACACUAGCAAGGUUCGAGUUUCGCAUUUUGCUUCAUUCUAACCUUCAUCCACACUCGACUUUAUCUUCUCUUAUCCCUUAAGUUUUUUAUGUUUUUGAUAUUCACUACAUGACAUAACCAUUCACUUGUUACAACGUCGUUUACCCAUCUCAUGGCACUUUAGCUCUACUGGUUUAUGCCUUAGUGAGAAUUCGAUGUGGAAAAAGAGAACGUAAUUUAUCAUAACAGUGAUGCCAUAAUGAAAGAAUAGUCAAUACAUACACAUGUUUGGAUGUCAUUGCCUUUAAAAGGGUAGAAUAUACUUUAGUAAAAGGGGAAAAGUUCAUGAGGCGAUCACCAAUGUUGAAAAUGGUCCCCGUGAUCUGAUUUGAUGCCUGGCGUGCACUUUGUCAAAUUAAAAAUUAAUAUGAGUAUACUGCUCUCUAAUAGUGUAAGUUCUUAAAAUAUCAAAUAUAGAUGAUAUGAACAUGUAAGUGUGAUCGAGAGAAUCUUUGAAAGGGAAAAGAAAAGCCGGUCUCGCUAUAUUACGUGAUAAAAUAAUUAAUCACUUCUUUUCCAAACAAAAAUCAACUUUAAGAAUGGGGAGGACAGAGAGGGAGGGAGGGGUAAGCUGGUGAGGGUUAGUCUAAAGCAAAGAAUAAGAAUCAAAGCAAUGCAAUCUGACGUAAUUUCCGAUGGCAUCCCCCACACUACUGUGUGAAUUGCACCCAUUUCGGGAAUGAGAUCAUUGACUCUCCCUUCCCCAUUUGUCAUUGCUCAAUUAAUAAUGGAAAUCCUUUUGGGUUCUUCUGCAUUUCUUUAUUUGAUUUCAUUUGAGUGGUGCAUCUCUCUCUCUCUCUCUCUCUCUCUCUCUCGCAUGUUGUCCGACGGACAUAAGUAAUCUACAUAGGUUUCAGCCGGUAGGUGUUUUUUCUCUCUCUUUUCCAUGGGUAGGUAUGUUAAGAGGGUGGACACCCAUUCGAGAUCGAGAGAGAGAGAGAGGGAGGGAGGGAGUGGGAGGGAGUGGGAGGGAGUUGAGUUAGGUGCUUAUCAUCACCAUCAUCUUGGGUCUUCAUGCUUGAUGGAGGCCAUCGUUUACAGCUAGUUCCGGAGGUAGAAGGAGACCCAUGUUUCAGCUUCAAGCCUCCAUGACCAAGGCAAGAGAACUAAGCAUUUCUCCAGGAGUCUCAAGUGCUCACUUCUCGCACUCUGUCAACCCAAAUCUCUCUUCCUCCUCCUCCUCCUCCUCCUCCUUCUUUUCUCUCUCUCACGCACACAGAGGAUCACAGCAAGUAAAAUUUGUAUAGUUAUUGUGAUGCUUCUUCUCGUUAUACUCUCUUCUAUGGAUGUGUUCGUUUAAUUAGGAGGUUUAUCCAUAUUUAUCAUUCACUGGGUUUUUUUUUUUUUUGUUGCCCAUCUCUGUGUGUAGUUAUGAUUAUGAAUAGACUAACGACUCGACUCAUAUAAAAGACAUCCGUACAGGCUUCCCUUUUCUCUUAUAUCUUGAGCGCCUGUAGCAAGUGCGGUAGGGUAGUAUUGAUAAUUUGUUUAGGUAAACUAUGAUUUUAUUACUCAACUUAUUUAGAGCACUCCGAGAAUUAGCAUAUGACGGAAUCAUGUAUGCGAAUCCUAAUAUACCGAGAUUUAGGAUAUAUUAUUAUCCAUGGCAAGCAGGGUGUGCAAGGCCACCGGCCUCCUCUCACAUAACUAAAGCGCUUGUCUGAAUUUAUCAUGUGCAAUAGGUUAUUUGUAUCACAAUUCAUUGGCCAUGUCUCAACAAUACUCGGAAACUCAAAAUUGAACAUACUUGUCUUAUUUCAUUUCGCUGUAAUAAUCGAUUUUAUUCACCGCAACAAAAUUAAUUACUAAAUGAAGUAAUAUUUUGUACAAAUAAUCGGACAUUGUUAAGAAGGUUAGCCCGUAAUUAUAAAAGCAUAAUUGUUUAGCAACGUCACAUCAAUACAACAUAUCGUAUCAUUAAUGCGCUCUUUUAAAGAAAAGCCCCGAUUACAAGAAUUUUGGUGACACCAGCAAAUUUGCCCUAACAUGUCACGGUCGGUUAAAUGUCACCGCUAAAACAGGUGAUGCGUGAAUUAAAGAACUGCUAGCAUUGGAAACCCCUUUUCGAUAAAUAGAAAACAACUACAUCCCAUCAUCAAUUAUGGAAGAACCCCUGACAAUUGCACUCGGCGGCUAAAACUAAUGAUUAUCACCUCUCUUUUGGCAAAAAAGAGAAAAAAGAAAGGCUAGAAGAGAAGAACAUGUCUACAUCCACGGGGGGAUUAAAUUAAUCGAAUCGAACUUAUCGUUUGAAAGAAAAUUUGAUCAAGUGGGGGGGUGGUGGCUAGAGGACUUUCCCAGCAGCUGAAGGGACCUCAUGCUUUUCGACUUUUAAGUGCUCUUUUCCAAUUAUUUUGAUUAGAGUAAGAAAGUGGCGCUGGACUGGACCGUGAGAGUUUGUGCGUUCUUUGGCUUUUCACUUCUCUGCAAACACGGCAGAAUUAGGAUAUCUUUAUAUUCGAUGAUUCGGCAUCAUUACCGAUUGGGGAGGGAGUGAAGCGGCCGCGUGUAAUGCGGCCCGACAAUUCACUACUGAAAAAUAAAGAGAGUCAAAAAAGGUCCGAUUACAAAGUUGGUCUGCAAAGGAAGAGCACAAAUUUCGAAUCGAAUAUUUGAAUGUCUUGCUUAUUUAACCGAUGAUUCGGAACUUGUGACUUGACUUUCAAAUUACUUCAGUUCGAUGCACGUCCUGAGCAAAUCUUUGAACGAUUUGUGCCGCGUUUCCAAGCCACAGCGUAGCUCGUGUGGAGACUCCGGAGAUGCCAUUUUCCUGGCUUGUGUACGAGUGUCUAGAAUCAAGUACUUUUAAGGAAGUCCCUGAAGAUAAGUUUCUUAAAAACAAGAAUGGUUCACUUCUAUUAAUAAUAACUAACCCGUCUCGGCAACAAAUUACAGCAACAAUAACUUGCUCAAACCAAAUACCAUCAGCACGUUCAGCCAUACCGAGCAAGCGAGUAUCGUCGGGAAGACGUAAGGAUCCAGUCUCUCUUUCUUCCCUCUUCUUGGGUAGGAUGUAAGCGAUAGAGAGAAAGGCAUACAGAUCUUAACUAAUCAGACCAAAGGAAAUUACACCUUUCCAAGGAUAUAAGUUCAUUUGAGGAGCAAUAAGGUUUUCCAAUUGCUUCGAUUAUUUACAACAGGCGAAUAAAAGGGAAGAUGGAAUAAAGACCAGCUUCAUCCAUCAUUAAUCUCCCAAUUUUUGGAAAGUCAAAGAGUUCAAUUAUCCUUUACAAAUCAAAAGUCGUCGCAACAUAAUGGUAACAGCACAAACACACACAAGAAGACCCCAAUGAAGCGAACUCCAAGGGGGAUCAAUGGGAGAGAACUCCAAGCCCUCUCUAUGAAAACUUCUGCAGUUCCAAGGUUAGCUUCUAUAUAGAUAACACAAACUCUUUCUAAAACCUUCUCCCACAUAAUAGAUAUCUUUACAACUCCCCUCAUUUUCUAAAACCUGACAUUCUUCUUUAUAACCUUAUUUAUUACCUACCGAUUUUAUUCACACGCCAAUUUGGUGUCAAAGCUAGUUAGACAGAUGGCAAAAGCUUGAAAUGCAGAUAGAGGGUACCGGUAAUCCAUAGUAAACAUAUCCUUUCCGACCUUACCAAACUGAAGUAUAAUUUUAUCAUGGUCGCAAUGAGAUGGCUGAGAUGGCUGAGAUGGCUGGGAUGGCUGGGAUGGCUGAGAUGGUGUUGGUGCUCCAGCUGCCUGGUGGUUUGCAGCUAUCAACUGAAAAUUCUUUACAGAGGCUACAGUCACUCUUCCGCGGAAGUUAAGGCACCAACACUGCAACUGUUCAUGCCACCUUGGCGCCUUAUUUUUAAGGACCAAAGGUCUUUCUUUUCCCUCAUCUUCCUCUUCACGGGGGCCAAUGAUGUCCGAAAAGCGGGAACUGCUGAAUUCGGUUGAAUUAUCAAUUGAUCUUGAGAAAGAGAUGCUCCGGAAUGAAUCUUCCAGUGAGCGAGGAAGAAUCUCUGGCUGACCCGGGACACUGCUGCCUGCCUCAAGGGCUGAGGCAGGAAUAGAGUGCAUUAUGCAGUGCAUCCUCCGCGGACCCCGCGUGCCCAGCACAUUCAGCUCGUAUGUGACCUGAGCUAUGUUGUAGCUGCCAGUGGGGACCUUAGGUGACACUUUUUUGGAGUGAAAUCUGCGGCUCCGCCCAGGUGGAGAAAGCUGAGCAUUGUUGUAUGGAGGCUGUGUAUCAUAGAUGAUGAACUUGGUGCCAAGAAAAUUAGAUCUGGAACAAGAGGGAAGAACAACAAAUUGAGUAGUGUGCAAUCUUUCAUUUGCCAAAUUUUAACCAGUUGUCUUUACUAAGACCUACUUAUUUCUAGCUUAAGAGCCUCUCCCUCCUAUCUAUCUAUAUUAUCACGUUCAAACAGUCAGGUUAUGUUAACAUGUCCCAUGCUCAACAGCAAAUGCACCCAAUGGACAACAUCAUACACAAAAUAAUGCAUCAGAUGUGCAUGUUCGUGGAGAGUAUUAGUUAAUGGCACAAAGAGAUGCCAGUCUUGAACUAUUAUUAACAUGGUCUUGUUAACGAGUGCUUCCACGCACUAGUUAAUCAUACGUAACAAGGAAAAAUUUUCAGUUCCAAUACAUUGAUUACAAAUAACAUGGGAAAAAUGCAUUGAAAACGACACUUUCUAUAUUAAGGUGUUUAUCAAGUGGGCACUUGUCAACAAAACCCUAUUAACAUAAGGCUCAGCUAAAAAGCCAAUAAUACAGAAGCUCUAUAGUUCAAGUUGGCGCAAAUGCUAUCAACAACAGCAACAGCCUAAAAAUCUGCAAGCCAGCUUCUUGUUUCCCAACUUUAAAGGUUUACCAUUUCAUAAAUCUUUUUUUCUUUAUAAAAAAAUAGGAUGGAGAGGGGGGCAACCAGUGCUAGCAAGCCUUCUGGGCCUUACUAUAAUGGUCUUACGCCUGCUUCAAAAUGUUCGAUUUCAACCAUAACACAUUUCGCACCACCCACAACCCAGAGGUCAGAGGUUGGCCAGCCGUCAACGUAGCCCCACCAAGAUGCUAGUAGCCACAAAAUCUCCCCAAAGAGGUAUACCGAAGCUAGGCAAUAUAACACGAACCGUUCAGAUGUUUGCUCAGGAUGUGAAUCGCUCAUGAACUCAUGGAACAUGGAUGACCACUUUACCACUAGGCCGACCACUGUAGUGGUAAUUGUUUUCCGUUUCUUUUUAUCUUGCCAGUACCCAAAAUAGUACAGUCAGGAACUAAGAAUAAUUUGCACUCCCUUUUGGUAUCUUUCCUGGCCUAACAAUGAAUAGAGCCAUCUUAUGUACUCUUUUAUCAAGCCACCUUGGCGGUUAGAAGAUUAGCUUUAAUUAAGCUGAUAAGGGUUUUGGGUCUCUUAUGCUGUAUAAACAAAGCCAUCUUAUCUAUUCUUUUGAAGAUCCUUGAAUAUUAGCACAACCAUUACAAAUAGAACUACUCUCCUAAGAGAAUUUCAGGAGAAAUGGUGAUACCAGUACAAAUAAAUCACUAAUGCUUGUGUUAAAGAGUAUUAGUUUCAUAGAAUCUGUCACAAACUAAAUAUGAAGGCAUGGCCUAAAGAAGAUAUGAUUGAUGGGCUGUCCCAACCCAACAAAUCCUAAAGACCAUCAAAAGGAUCAAACUUUUAAAUUAAGCGAAAUUCCUUCUCCCUUGAUAGAAAUCUUCAAGGGUGUAAACUUAGUAUCUUUGUCUUUAAACACAAUGGGAAAGAGGAUAAAACACCAACAGCUUCUCUCACCUCAAUUUUCCAAUGUAGGUGUUACUUGAUCUUGAUACGUUAUCCGCAUCCAUGGAGAUCACAUACUCAGUGCAAGUAGUUCUCCUUGUCCGUUUUGCAGAGAGAAGGAACUUGCCAUUCUCAACCAGCAGAGCUGCGAAGAGAUAGGAUCGACAAUCAUUAAGCCCCGUGCAUAAAUAAUAAGAACCAGGGAACUGAUUCAAAUAGGAGGCGAUUAUCUUUUGAUAAGUGAGAUGAGAGGGUGACUAUAAUGCCUUAAUAUAAGCCUUCAGGUGACAAACAGAAAACAACAAAAUGAGAGGCUUCUUAGAAAGGAAGGACCUCUAAAAUCAUUAGCACAUCCAUUCGAAGAUAGUUUGAUUGCUUGAAGACAUAAGAACAAAAGUGAGUACCACUCUUCAAAAUUAGAUAAAGAGUCUAAAAUUGAAUUGCAAAUCCUGGUUCCCUGUUUUUACAGAAUUGCAUUUUCCUACAGACCAGUUCUCCCCGAGCAGUUUAUCGAAUCCACGAAGGCCCACAGAGAAAAUUGGUCCAAAGAUAAAAAAAAUAAACCUUAAAAUUCUCUUUAAAUGUCUAGACAUUUUUAAAUAUAAACAAGAAUGCAUAAGUAAGAACAGCAUGGUAGGAAGUGAUUCAAGACCAUCAGGCACUAACAGUAGCAUUAAUACACUAGGACCCACUGGUGCAAACAAAGGGAACUCUAGCAGCCCUGACUGUUUUAUAGCUAAAGAGCCGUAAAUCCACUUUCUCGGUCUAGUAAUGUACAGACUCGACAGGAUUCUUCAAAGUGGAUUUCCUCCACUGUACACAAAAAAGAAGGUUUUAAUGACAAAAUUAUACUAGGUAUACAUUCAAGAUUAAAUUCUGAACUUUGGAAUCUCCAUUUAAGUCCAUCAAAAUAAAAAUAUAUGGAGUUCAAGUUCAGCAAAGGUAAGACUCCAGGUGACUUGGUAGUAAGAAUUGUAAACCAGGAUGUACAAAGGAGUUAAGUGAUUAAGUAAUCUUGAAUCUACUUUGUGAAUAGAUGAAUCGAGAUAUUGGAAUCUCAAGAACCAAACACACGCAGGAUAAAGGAGUGGAAAGAUGCAUCUGGUGUGUUCAACAAUCGCAAAAAGAAACUUAAGGCUAAGUACAAAGGAGCAACACGGGCACUAUAGAAGUAUAAUAAAAAAGGAAUUGAUGAGUUGAAACUAACUAUGGGAUAAGAUUUCAAAUAGCAACAUUCAUGGAAACGAAUUAUGGCUGCAACUGUGGACAAGAUGAAAGAAGUUUGUUCAAGGUGAUGGGACACAUAGAAAGACAACGUUUGCAUGUUUGAAUGAAAGAUGCAAUUCUAGAGUGCAGAUUAGGGCUACAAGGAAUAAGGAAGACUUGAAAGCCACGGAACAAGGCCGUAAAGAGAGAUCUCGACUUUUUGGAUCUUUUCUUUUUAAUGAUAAUUAAGAUUUCAUCAAGACGGUAACAAGGGAGUAUCACCCCUAUACAAACGGCUUGGUGUAGAAGCCACCCCCAUACAAACUUAUGCAUAAAAGACUGUUUCUAACCUCUCCAACAAACUAGAUGAAGGCUUCAUACAAAAAUGAGAGGAAUCGCAUGAGAAGAUCCACAUAGCGAAGUCAUAGAGAAAUUGGGAUAAAAACUGAUGUUUGUUGUUUCCGUUGUCUGGCUUACACAGUGAGUUUUUUGCAUCUCUCUGUCAUGAACUUGGCUUUCCAUUCACUGUCAUUGUGCAGGUAAGACAAGUAUAACUGGAGCUAUUUUUGGUUUUAAUAUUUGAGAUGAGGGGAAGGAGCAAAGUGCUAGAAAACAAGUCUAAUUCUAUUUUUUCAUUAAAUUGGACGAGUGGAUAAGGAAGGUCAUUUAUGAGAAGCUUUCGCGAAUACCGUCAGAUCAGGUAGAGGUCUGGUCAUCCAAUGGUUGUAAAAUUAACUUCAUUACAGUUGUAAGGAGAGGUGAUUAAGAAAGGUUCCUCUUCUCCCUUGGAUGAGUAGGAUAAGAAAGGUCAUUUAUGAGACACUUGUGCAAAUAACUACCCGGAUCAUGUAGUUGACAAUAAAAUAUGAAAUCUGCGCAAUUAAGAAGGCGAGAAAAAUUGUAUCUUUGCAUGGGAUUAACCAAAUGGAGAUGAAUUCGAAACAUUUAUUGAUACACAAUUUUUAGCCAGACAUGGCCUCAACAAGCAGUUUAGCAUUUUAGACCUAGUUAAGAAGAAGCUAUGCAUUCAUAAAUCAAUGUAAAAACAAAAAUUGUAUCUUUGCAUGGGAUUAACCAAAUGGAGAUGAAUUCGAAACAUUUAUUGAUACACAACUUUUAGCCAGACAUGGCCUCAACAAGCAGUUUAGCAUUUUAGGACUAUUCAAAAAAAUCAAUACUAACUAGAUAAUUAAACUUUCCAAGUACAGAUCACUAAAGCUGUCUACUUUAAAUUUCAGACACUACGGCCUUUAUCAUAAAUGACACUCGAAAAUCUAAGCAACUGUUCACUUUUGGAGUACCCAAGGGAUGCAAGACAAGCCAACAAGCACUUCAUUUUUGACAUCUUUAGUUAGAAAACUGGGAACUUACCAGGGCUAAGGCAGAGGAAGAGGCGGUAAGUCAAUUUAGAUUUGUCCCUUUUGAUAAAACACUGAAUAGCUCCAUCCCGAGGUCCUGGCUGUCCGAGACAAUUGGGGAAACUUUUGUCAACUCACCAGCUAAAAAGUAGAACAGAAAUAUGCACUACAAGUGACCCCAACAAUGAAAUCUUUAAGGAAAGUACCUGCUUCAGUGAGACAGGGAAAGUAAUCUUGCCAGAGAUUUCAGGACAUCUAACAAUUUCCUUGCACAUUGCCCUCCAUGAUCUGCAAACUCCAGCACAGGCAACAACAUGUUUCCGAGCAGGCCAAGUGGUCUCGCUCACCUCUAAUCUCCUGAUAACGUCACGUAAAAGCUCAGGAGGAAGGCUGGCCCAUCUGCUUGUUUGGAUCACCAGAGGCUGAUCAUGGAAAUCUUGAGAACCACGUGAUUUCCCUCUUAUGUGGCCAGGCAACCUCACCUCAAAACUUCGCCUGGAUAAGCUUCCAAACCCAUCCCUUAUGUCACGAACUAUGCUACGGAAAGACAUUUGCUCCAGCUUGGCGACAGAUUAGGAACGUUAGACUAUAUUCUAACGUGGCUGCAUCAGCUCGUCUCCGCUUGAGUCAAACAAAAAUGACGAACUGUAAUGUAUACACAUCACAUCAGCUACAACAAACUCAAACUCAUGACUAACGCUUAGUAUCUAAGAAAGACGACGCCAUAAAGGAACAUAGAGUGGGAAUAUCUCAUUGCAAGAUAAGGAGAUUCGCAAGAAACCCUAAGAGACCUAAAGCAGCUCAAAAUACGGAGGCUUUGCCAGUGGUGACUUUUGAAGGGCUUUGGACCCCAUCGGAAACCCAAUUUGCCAUUAAAUCUAACCAAGCUAUGCCUACCCCAAGUGGAGAAUCCACAAAAAGAAUUCACGAAAACCACAAAAACAAUAAAUAAAGAAAAAGCUAAUCAGACAUAAUCCCCCAUUACAGAGCCCUAUGGAGAUCCUAAUAGCAUUAUUAUCCAAGUCAACACGGUGCUUUACAACAGAGCACCCACUAUUACGCAUUAAAAUGACAAUCUCCCGUGAGUACACACUUCACAUUUAGCAUUAGCAAAAAAAUAUAUAUUAUUGUCUUCGACAUGUUCUCUAAGGUAUGGGCUGGCCACAAAAAAAUAGGCCGACAUCUUCGACUUACAGUCAAUCUUUAAGAACAAGUUAAUGAUCUCCUCCUAAAAAUACCACAAAGAGUCGAAUUCCCGCCUCGUGAAGUCUCCGUCAGUUCAAUUCGAGCAAGCAACUAAAGGGCUUCAUCACAUACGAGUCGGAAAGAGAAAUUUUUCAAGUAGCGAACCUGCAGAAAAACCAGCUCAAAAUGGCGGAACGCGACCUCGGCGAGUCCUAAUUUAGGCGAAAUCGCUCUUCCCGUCGGCCGCAAGCCCAACCGGUCCCAGCGAGACCGACGAAGAUCAGAGCUCCCAGACACGCUCCCGCGCGAAACGGCGAGACUACCGACUCGACCUUCCGCUCCUGCUCCAGUUCAACGCCGGAAAAAGGACGGUCAGAAAAAGCCGAAAAACCACGCGGAAAAAAGAGCAGACGGAAGGGAUCAACGGAGCUCACGAGCCGAGCAGGAGCCGCGAGCGCGCGCGCGCGCCCCCCGAGACGAGGGUUUCCGAAUCAGAAGCGGGGGGACGGGAGCUCGGAAGAAUCGAGAAGCGGGGGGACGGAAGAUCAACGGAGGCGGCGCGCGACCGGAGAUUGCAUGCUCGCCGGCGGAGGGAUUUCGCCGGAACGAGGAAGCUUCGAGAUUUGUCUUCUCCAAUCGUCCACUUCGCCACUCACUCUCUCUUCUAUCUCUCUUCUGUGUGACGCCAGCAAUGGCGGACUGACGUGACCUUCGUCUCGUUAUAUAGGAUUCCACGAACUAACCUUUUUACUUAAACAAUAGAGAGAAAAUAAAAAUAAUAUACUUUUUUUUAAUUUUGUUGAUGUAAGAAUGUAUUUUGUGUAUGGGUCACGAUGCAAUUGGGAUUAUUCAAUUGAUGCGAAGGAUAAGCUCAAUCCCUAAUAUUUUAUAGUAGCUGCUAAAAUUCAAAUAAAAUAUCUCAAAAUAUGGAAAUUGGAAUUCCCAACCUGCGAAGCUACUAUUCGUUCUUGUAGAGAAAUUAUGAAUGAAUCGAUUAUUUUUAUAAGGAAUGAUCGACGAAAUGAAAAUGACACGUUUUAUGUGAUUUUCAUUGUAGUUUCCUUUUUCUAAUUAAAGGUUACUGACUUCAUGAAGAAGUUACUAAUUAUUUACGCAUGGGGUUUUUGCUCACACGAAUUUAAGGAUUCCUUUGGAUCAUGCAUAGUGAAACCUGUUGCGCUAUACAAAUAAAGACACAUCUAGCUCGUGGCGACACAUUUCGCUAUGGAUUGGCGAGCAAGCAAAUCUUGGAUCAUGCAUAGUGAAACCUGUUGCGCUAUACAAAUAAAGACACAUCUAGCUCGUGGCGACACAUUUCGCAAUGGAUUAUUUGCAUUCUUUUAACAUAUUAAGAAAAUAAUAAUUCGUCACAAAGUGAAAGAUUGUAUCCGGAAAUAAUGUUGGAUUAAAAUUAUAAAUAAAGGGCCGAUGAGUUAGGAGAGGGAAACAAUUUAUUUAUACCGACCAAAAAAAAGAAAGGAGGAGACCAUCAUUUUGUCUACGGGGAACAUUCUGUUAGGUCACCAGAUAUUUAAUUAGCCUAAUCAUCCAACAUAAUCUAGAAUUCGCUUAUCCUAAGGACACGUGUUGCUUUCUUUUCAAUUCUAAUUUUCAUUCUCUUUUCUCAUAAAAAUUGUCUGCUCUCAUUUUCAUGAACAAUUCAUAAUCCAAAAGUCAAUACCAAGAUUGAUUGCUAAUCAUAAAUCAAUUAAGCUUCAAUUUUUCAUGUAUUAUUAACAUAUUUCUUUCAUUACAAUCACUAAUUUCACAACCUAUUACUGACUCAAUCGAAACCACUCUUUCAAAAUCUAAGUGUGGUAUCCACCUAUAAUGAGGAUUUUAUUUUCAUACUAGUUUCUACAAACAUCAAAGAAGUUGUCGAUUUUUCCUUUUUCAUCACCUUAAUCUCCUAGAAAAUUUGAGAAAAUCCCACAAAGCCCACCACGAAAUUUUUAAAUAUUAUAUAUAUUAUUAUUUUUUUACUAUAGAACAGACAGAACAACAAGAGUUAUAUAGUAUUUUUGCAGGAAUGCAGAAUCGACACGCAACACGAAAAAAAGAGAGCGGAUGACCUAAGCAGGAUGUUAACGGGGUACCAUUAAGUAAAUAUUAUAUAUAUUUUUGGUCGAAAAUAUUAUAUAUAUUAACUGGGCCGACUUUGAUGUAAUUUUGCAAUUGUCGUUCUUGAUGAAAUCAAGGGUAAAAUGACGCCAACUUAUUUACAGAGUUAGGUCUACCCUUCCAGAUUAUGUUAUGAAAUUUAAUGAGUUAUCCUAAAUAGCAGCACGUAAGCAAAAUCAAUUGGAUGCUCGUGUUCCAGAUAUGGAUUGAUGAUGACUUAAUCUGAAAAUUUCAUCUUCCUAUCUUCUAAUCCGCAAUGUUGUAAUUACUGUUCAUAGGCUACAUGAUCGCAUACACGCCCCGACAUGGCACAUACAUAGGUCACCUCUCCCUCUCCAUUUGCCUUCCCCCGCCAGCAGUAAACAAGCUGCCGCUGCCGCUCCGAUGACCGCCCUUGUCGGGGUGCAGAGCUCGCAUCCGGGUCGGGGCUCGCCGCUCGUGAUGAAGGUCUAACGCUGUUUUCUGCUCAUGGCCGGUAAUGAAAGUAACAAUGUAAACUUUCUCUUUGUGGCGGUGCACAAUCACUAGACAAAUAGAACGACGAGCACCGGAUAUAACAAAUAAUUAACACGAGAAGUUGUGGUUUAGAUUUCUUAUCUCUCGUUUAUGCUCAUGUUAUUAGAAAAUAGUUUCCCAUUUGGUUCAUUGAAUAAAGUUUUAAUUAAAAAGUAGUUUUCAAAGAACUUAGUUUCAAAGAAAAUGAUUUUAGUUUUAUUACGUUAGGUUGUCUUUUGCCAAAAAAAGAAGAAGAAAAAGUGGAAGUCAUUUUCGAUCUUCAUUACUAGAAAAUAUAAGAAACACACAUUUGAGGAAAAGUCUUAAGUUCAAACCCGCGUUUUGAGACCUGGACUUGGUUGUUGAGGUCUAAGGCUUGGCCGUCACGAUCCCAGAUGUAGGCAUUGGGCUCCUGGUCUUGACCUCGAGCAACUUGGCUUGAUCGGCGGGACCUGAACCAAGCCUUCGGAGACUCCAUCAUGGGCAAUGGGGACUCAAGCUCAACUUCAAGGGAUGAAAGAACUUAUUUUUGAGGAAAAUGAUUUUAUUUUUAUUGUGUUAAGUUGUGUUUUGCUAUAAUAAAAAAAAAAAGUGGAAGUUAUUUUCAAUAUUCGUUACCAUAAGAUAUAAGAAACACGUUUGAGAAAAAGUCUUAAGUUCAAAUCCAGAUUCUAAGUUUUGGUGUUGGAGACCUGAGCUCGGAUGUCGAGGUCUCAAGCUUGGUUGUCACAAUUUUAGAUGCCAACAUUGGGGUCUUGGUCUUGACGUCGUGCAACUUGGCUUGAUUGGCGGGACCUGAACCAAGCCUUCGGGGACUCCAUCAUGGGCACUGGAGACUCAAGCUCAACUUCAAGGGUCCCUAGGCUAGCCUUGGAGGACCCAGGCUUAUACGCUCGGAUCCAAGUUUCGAGAUUAGUUGUAUUUUGAAAGAUAAUUCAUGAUUUUUUAUUUUUUUUUCUUUUUGAACUUAAAUAGGGAAUUUCGAUUGAUUGUGACAAAAUUUAAUCGUUUUCAUUAACGGUCGAGACGCCUAAAAAUGGAGAAAAUAUUUUCCGCCAAAUAGGCAAACGCCUUCAGUUACUCUUACGUGUCUAUGGGUACACAUUUUUAUAUAUUCACAAUGGCGACAUCGUAGGAGGCAAAAAUCACAAAAAUUGACCGUCACAGAAUUGAUUUAAAUCAAUUUACGUCUUUAGCAAGGGACUUUAUUUUAGUCAAAAUAGAGCAUUGGCUCCGAUCCUCUACUCAACCAUAGGCUACAAGUUGUCUUUCUUUUCUUUUCUCCUCCCCUCUUCUUCUUUUCUCUCAAUCUGCAGAUGUGAGGGUUGAAAUGUCACUCAGUUAGAUGGUUUAAGACUUGCGCAAAGACCACGGUGUUAGAAUGGUUGUGCAAAAUCAAUAUAAGCGGUGGUACGCAAAGCAUGCAUUACUACAUUGCCAUUCUUAGAAUCAUGAAAAGCGUUAUUAUCCCCUACGUCCACUUGAGUGAUAUUACUUUUUCAUAUUAUAUAUGUUCGGCAAACACUUGGGGUGCAUCUAUAUGUGUUAAGUAGUGCAUGUUUCCGUUGAUAAUAGUAUAUUAUAUAGAUGUGUUGGGUGAAAUUGUGAAUAAUUAUAUCAUUCGUAUAUAAUUUAAUUUAUUGCAGGUUUUUCAUAAUUUACCCUAAAUGAGAAAACUUCAGCCAUUACAUCACAUGGCAUGUUUUUGUCGAUAACGGUAUGUUGUAUAGACAUGCAGGGUGAUAUUGUCAAUAAUCAUAUUAGUCAUAUAUGAUUUAAUCUAUCUCGGGUUUUCCAUAAUUCACCCUAAAUGAGAAAAAAUCAUACCCAUUACAUCACGUGUAAUCCCACGCAAGGUUGGCAUCAUGUCAAAACUUGCAAAAGCAGCACCGUGCAAGGAUUUCUACUGCAGAAAUUAGUAGCUACAUGGAAAUCUCUUACAAGAUUGAGGGUGACCAAGCAUGAUAUAUCUCUUUUUCUUUCUUUAUAUAAUAAAGCAAAUCUUAGGAAAACCUAAAACAACAUUUGAGAGAUCAAAUCCUUUUUUCAGUAAGAAUUGAUCAUAUGUUAAUCUCCAAAAUAUCACUCCUAUGUAGGUUCCAGAAAUAUGAUGGAAGAUAGAGCUCUAUUCCAACUUUUCUUUACCACUCAAUUUCAUAUUAUAAUUUUUUUUUAUUAUAACCUCACUCCAAGACUCACAAUUUUUCAGCAAAUAAAAUUAUCCCUAACUGGAAACAUGGACAAGAUCAUUGUGGCCCACCCAAUGAAGGCCCAAAACUUAAUGGGAUGGGCUUGCUAUUUCCUUAAAGAGAGUAUCUUCGAGGUCAACCUAUGUUGACCGUACUUGUGAUUGGAGGUCAUCAUUUGCAUAUCAAGUCUAAAGUGCGAAUGUUGCUGAAUUCAAGCAAUUACUUUAAAGCAUGCCAAUCAUUAAACUAGGACCAAGUGAAAUUGAUGUAUUGGCAAGCCAUGGGCCAGUCACAUCCUAAGAAUAUAUGCAUUCUUCUGUAGCGCGCGUCACUGUAUAAUUUGUUCAAAAAAUAAAUGACAUUUUAAAGGGACAUAUACUGUUCAUUAAAAAUAAACUGUUUCUUAUUCCUAUUAAUAGGUUUGUGAAAGAGUUGAUAAAUGUUAAAAAAAGGGAAAAAGUGAGACGUGUAAGUGGUUUGGUUCGGUUUGAUUUUUUUGGAAAACCGAACCGAACCAAAAUCACGGUUUAAUUCAGUUCAGUUUUGUUCGGUUUUUCGAUUUCUAUUUUUUUGCUGUUAUAUAUUGUACCCCUUUCGAUAAAUUUUUUAUUUUUUAUUUUUUCCCUUUUCUUUCUUCGUCUUUUUCUUCUUCUUCUUCUUCUUCAUUGGCUAGUCAGCGGCUAGCGACCAACCAUAGGCAAUGUCAAGCCUGGCCGACUUGUGGGGAGGUUUCACCUCGCUUGAUGCCGGUGAACUUGAGCCCGCCUAAUUCAAUGAGGUCAAGCCUCCCACAAGCUGGCGAGGCUCCUAGCGAGGCUCUAGCUUACCUCUAGCAAGAAAAAGAAAAAAAAAGAAUGAAAAAUAUUUAAAAAUCAAUUUUUUUUAUAAAAGAAAAAAAAUAAAAAGAAAAUGUAUUUGAUGAAGGAAGUGAGAUGGAAGAAGGUAUGAAAAUUUUUAGAUUUUAUUAGUUUGGUUCUGUUAACUGAAUUGAUUAAAAAAAUUUUGGUUUUUAAUAUUAUCUGAAAUGAAAAAAAAUUGAAAUUUUCAAUUCGAUUCGGUUUUUGAUUUAGUUUUUGACACCCCUAGAAAAAAUACUACAGAAGUUCUAAACCUAACAUAUGAAUAAAAUCAAGUUCUAAAGCAUCCAAUUGAAUCUAUGAAAACUAUAUUGAAGGGUUUUGCUCUUUUCCCUCUCUAUCGGCAAACCCCCUUAUCUUUCAAAAACUCUCCCCUCUUUUGAAGUUCUCCGAUAUUACUUAGUCUUUGAUUUUAUUUUUCUUUACUAUGACUAUCUUUUCUUUUCUCUCUCGUUUUGUUUUGGGAGUUGUGUGUGAGUAAAUUUCUAAAACUAACCUUAGGUGAACAUGAAGACCAGUUCGGCCAUUUAUUUAGUCGGCAGCCAUUGAGGAGGAUGUUUGUGCAAGGUUCCACAACUUUUCGAGAAUAGGUUGCUCUCCUCUUCCGAUUUACAUUUACGUCUAGAUCCGAGAGUCAUACUAUUCCAAACUAGAUCUAUAUAUAAAUUUGGGAGUUCCUUCUAUGUAUUUGACAAUGGUAAUGAAAACGUCGAAUCUAGUUGUGCACCGCAAGCUGUUGCAAAUGGAGUGGAAGAUUUUGACGUAUGCUUAUCACCAAAUCUAGUGCUUGGCUAUUAAACAUUUACGGUGGUAGAUCUGUUCCCCAGUUUUUCGAGAUUUGCUAGGCUAUGUACAUCUUGAGUAUUAUAUUAAAAAGUGAAUGAAAUCUUUCUUUCCACAAAUAAAAUAAAAAAUAACGUAGUCAUCCAACCCCCCCCCCCCCCCAAAAAAAAAAUCAAUGUAGUCCUAGAUUUUUUUUUUUUUUUUAAAUGAAAAUGCAAACAAGCCUACAUGGUGGAACCAAAGCUUUAUUUUCUUAUGUUGGUUACUUCCUAUGGAAAUUAAUGUAUUCAAAGUGCUGGCAAAUCAUACGAAUAAAAGUUGAUAAGUUAUAAAUUACUAAAUUAUAGAUUAUUAAAGUGUUAGUAAGUUACCAUCAAGUUAAUCGAAGAAAAAUCACCCGUUUUUUCUCUUUAUAUUAUCCUUUUUUUUUACACUUGUCAAUAUUUAUUGGAAAUUGCAUGUUGGGUGAAUGAAAUCCACUUCUUUAGGCACGGAAUAGAGUUCCAUUUUGGGAAAUGGAAAAAUUCCGAUGUUCAAGAAAGGAUAAGAUUCAAAUUCAUUCAUGGGUGAUUUGAGGAAUGGCUUGGGAAAUUAAUAACCCACUACUAUACUAAUUUAAAAUGAACAACAUUUGGAUAUGUUCCACAUGCCAUUCAUACACCAUAAUUAGACCAUAAUAAAUAUUUACCAUUAUUCUUUUGUGGGUCCAAACGCAGCCUUGUAUUACCCGAAACGAAAUCAUAUUUUUUCAAGGAUCCACUAAGAGAAAAACUCACGGAAAAAACGAGGGUUCUAGUGUCAGUGCGUGUUUCAGCUGCUCAACGAAAAAAAGGAAGUACAGAGGCGGCUGUCAUAUCACCAUUUCCCUUCCUUCAAAAUGGCCAGAUUCUCCAUCGUUUUCCGGCGGCAUUGCGCGAUGCUAAGAAAGGAAGGGCUUUGUUCAACCAUUUUCACUUCGAUUUUUUUUUUCCGUUUCCUUUUUUUUUCCUAUAUCAAGAAAAGGGAGGGAAGUGGAUAACGAUAAGAGGAAAGGAAAAAAAUAUCUCAAGCUGGAAGGAGGAAGGAGGUUGGAAGCAAAUGGCCAUUGAUGGCAACAGCCAAGGAGGGGGGUCUUCCCUACACUUGUACAAUUCGCUGUCCAUUAUCAUUCAUCUCCAUGUUUCCGAACGCGACCCGUCGAGUUCGUGGGGCCAAAACUUCUUUUUUGGUUGGACCACCGCCAUUGCCUUAACUUCACCAAAGUUGGACACCAAUAUGGUAGGGCAUAGGCAAGUGAAAGGAGAUGAUAAUUAUACACAUAUGGCUUGAAAUGUGUGGAAUCUGACACAUGUAGAUACAACUCGUGAGAACGACCGGAACUGGUACUGGCGAAACUGCAGUUGGGAUGGCAAAAUAAAGAUGCAAUUGCCGUCGCUAGAACGAUGAUACAUUUGAUAUGUGACUAUACAUACGAUAAAAAACUAAUGCAAAAACAUCCUUAGAAUUCAUUGUAAAAGUUUUUCUGACGUGGUUAAUAUUGUAAUUUACCCUUAGAAUUCAUUGUAAAAGUUUUUCUGACGUGGUUAAUAUUGUAAUUUACCCUUAGAAUUCAUUGUAAAAUUUUUUCUGAUGUGAUUAAUAUUGUAAUUUACCAUUAUACGAGUUGAUCUAAUAAAGUUAGAUAUAAAAAUUCUUAGUAAAUUUAAUAUGAGAUUGCUAGUAUUAGCCGAGUAAAGUCCGAUCUAUGAUAAAAAAGCUUGUAACUGAAAGUUCUAUAAAUAGUUUUCAAGUUUCUUCUUUAAUCCUAAAAGCACGCAUCGCCUCAUAAGGAGAGAGUGCAGGGUAGUCUUAUUAAAGCCGGGGUUAGGAGGGCGAUCGAGAAGAAGGCUUGAAACUUAAAGUGACCAUCGAUAUCCCGCAUCAAGGACAAUGAUCUCCAAAAUAGGUGCACAAAUCACUUACUCUCCGUUAUCAUGCUCUUGAAUCCUGGCUAUGGUGAUGUUGGAGUACUGAUUUCGAGGCUAACAUCCAUAUAAUGUAUCGAACAAAUAAUUAUUAUCGAAAUUAUACAUCUCUAGUAUUUUCGUCGAAUAGUCAUGAUGGAGAAUGAGGGUGGUCCCAGAAUAGACGUUACAUGUGAGUUCUAGUGAAACUCCAUAUAUCUCACCGGCACCACUUGAAUUUGACGAAUGGGAUGCCCUACCUUCGGCCACCACGGCUUUAAGUUGCUAGGCCAUGAUGUAUUUAAUCUUAGAACAAUGUUAGAUUUUGCUACGCACCUAAAUAAGUCACCAACCAAUGUAGGUCAAUAGCUAUUUCUCUUCACUUUUUUUUUACUACGUGAUAAUUUAGCAACCGCCGCGAAAUAAUAGAUUGAUACGUAACAAGAAAUAAUUAAACUUCCACAUGCGAUUUAGUCAUUUCAUAUGCAAAGUGACUUCUCGAUGGUUUUAACGCGUGAUUAGUGAAUAACUUAAUUAGAAUAAUCAAAACCGAAAAUCAGAACUCUCGGUCAAAACUUGCUCGUGCAAGAAAAGCGACACAGACCCAAAUUCUCUAUUAACCACAUCAUUUACACCAGAAAUGAAAAAUCUUAUCCUGUUCUACAUGUAUCUCUAUCCCCAAUGUGAAAUUUUAUUUUCUCAACCCCAAAAAAAUCGUAAUAAAUUGGAAAUAAACAUGAAAGUCCGCUCACCUUUAUCUGCAACAAGCCCAUUUCGCUCUUGCUUCGGCAUGAAUCCGUCCACCGCAUGCCGACGGGAUCCGACCCGCUCAUCGAUCCCCACGGAGUCUUGCCUGAACCCGGUGAAGUGAGCCAAGUUUCACUCGGCUGCGCCCAUUGAAGACGGUUUGCUAGCCACGAUCUCGAACUCACGGCCGUCGUCAUCGCCAUCGUCAUCCUCGCCCUCCUCUUCCUCCCGAUCGAUAUUGCUGGGGUCGUCGUCGUCGUCGUCGUCGUCGUCGUCGUCGUCGUCGUCUUCUUGGUUUUCACCAAUGUGGUUCCCUUCCAUCUCAUCCAUCUCUUGCUGUUGCUGUUGCUGUUGCUGUUGCUGUUGCUGUUGCUGCAGCUGCUGCGGAGGCGGCCACUGCUGUUCCGGGGCCACCAUCAGUGGAGCUGCCGUGCUUAUCAUCGGACUGAACUGAGUGGUGCACGUGAACAGCGUCGAAGAGCCGAGGUCGCCGCUCUUGCUGCUCUUCUCUCGGUAUAGCUCGUCGAGCUGCUGGAAGUAGGGGCACGUCUUGGAGUCCUCGCGACGCUUCUUGUUGGAUUCCUUCACCUUCUUGAAGUACUUGUUUAUGUUCUCCCACUUCUCCUUGCACCGCUUCGAGCUCCGCUCGUACCCGAGCCUCCGCAUUGCCACCGAUAUAUCCUCCCACAGCGGCCCCUUCGGCCCGUUCUCUUGGUACUUCCCAUCGAGAUUCGUUCUCAACCUUAUCAGUGCCUCGACCUCCACUUUCGGCCACCUAGAAGAGCUCGCCGCACCACCUCCCCGGGGGGUCGCAAAAUGCACCCCAUUGUCGGCCUUUGGGACUUCGAUGCUCCUCAUCUGAGAUGGAAGGGCCGCCGCCGCCGCCGCCGCCGGUGGCGGCACCGUGGAUGGUUUUGGUGUAGCUGGGGUUGGCACUGCCACUAGCUGUUGCGACAGCGGGUUAUUAUUCUGGGCCGGCGAAGACCUGCGGCUUUGCUGUUCCGCUAUCUUCUGCAAGAACGACAUGACCGCCGUAUCCUUGGCUUCGGCAGCCAACCUCUCUUGGGCCAGGAUCUCGCGCUCCCGGGCAAGCCUCGCGGUCUCCUGCAUCCACCACGACUCUUCUCGGGCGGCCCUCUCACGCUCGCACUUAUCGAUCAUCUCCAGGAAGCUGCGGUGCAGAUCCUCUUGCUUGUCCAUCACAUCCUUGAUCACUCUCUCGAAGAAGUCCCUCCACCUUCUCUUCCGCUUAUUUGGACGUUUUCCUCGUGGCACCCCCUCAUCCGAGAAUGUUGAUGACGAGGUCGAAUUGGAGGUGGGCUCUCCAGGCCGGGCGCCCCUGGGGAAACCAGAGUUCGGUGGAGGAGGAGGAAUGACAACGGUAGGGUUUGAAGGUGGUGGGAAGGAAGGCAUCGUGAAGUUUAGGACGGUGGAGGAAGUGGCCAAGUUAUUCUGUGGGAUAAUAUUGAUGUUGUUGUUGUGGUGGUUACUCAUGUGGGUUGUGGAUAAUGGAACGGCGGCGGUGGGGACGUUAGGGAUGCUGUGAGGCCCGAUCACCGCCUGCAUUGCUGGGGGCUGUGCUGCCGGAGCUGGAGGCCUUGGUGGUGGUUGCGACGAGUGGAGGGUGUGAUUCUCGAAGGCCUCCAAUUGAUCGAAGAAGCGGUAGGCCUUGCCCUCGUGCUUUCCGGUCCUACCGUCCUUGGUGCGCUUGUGGUACUUGAAGACGUUCUCGAAUUUCUCCUUGCAUUUCUUGGCACUCCGAUGAUACCCAAGCUCGCUCAGCUUCCUGUGAAAACAACAGUCACAGAAUAAACAAAUCUCACACUCGCAUCCACGGACAAAAACAUCAACAGCCCAAAAGUAUCUUCCUCGAGCGCACAACCGCACGAGGGACAUACAAUUAUCAAACAAUAAUCUGGAUAUUGAACUAGGAAUAAGCAACGAGAGAGAGAGAGAGAGAGAGGCAAAAAGAUAAUUGAAAGGAACUCAUCUGAAGUAAAAGCUUAACGAAGAUUUCUCUUGUUUACUUCAACAGAAAAGCAAAGACAAGACAGCACAGACAAACGAGUUCCCUCGAUCUGAACUCGACUCUCCCCCUCACCGAAAGUUCACCUUCAUUAAAUCCACAUACGAGCAACCCCAAGAAGAAAAGGACAAAAGAACCGCACAUGUAUAGGCAAGAUUAUCGUCCUAGACCCUGGAGAUAUUCUUGAAACAUUUGGAAAGUGGGGAGAAGAUUCAAAAGAAAAGCAGAUCUACUGCACCAACAACUUCGCAAACGCUCGAGCUUUCGCUUCAGAUCGAAGUAGAAACAGCUAGGAAGAUAGAACUCGGAAGUCGAAUUACCUGGAGACCUCUUCCCAGAGCGGACCCUUUGCACUCGAGUCCCGGAAGGUCACGUCCAUGUCCGACCUUAUUUUCAAGAGAGCCAGCGUCUCCUGCCUCGGCCACCUAUUCCCGCCGCUCUCCUCCCUCCUCCUCCCUCCCUCCUCCUCGCCCGAAUUCGGCGCGAAGCUGCCGACCUCGGCUGCCCCGGCUGCUGCAGCGAUCGCUGCCACAGUCUCCGCCGCGUCGCCGGACGCUCCCGGCACACUCGGUGCGUCCCCCAUCAUAGGAUUCUCUCUCUCUCUCUCUCUCUCUCUUGCAGCUGAACGGAGAUGUAAUGGAGGGCAAGACAGAAGAGGAAGAGGGAACAGAACGAAUCUACCAAAAAAAAGAAAAAUAGAGAGAAGGGUUAAUCCCCAACAAGGGUUUCUAUGAGAGGAGAGGAUGAUCAGUUUGUGGUGAAUACAGUAACUUUUUAUAUUUUUGAGGUGGGAGGAUCUGCUUGUCAAUCUCAAGAAGCUAGCUAAAGCUUUUUUUUUUUUUUUAAUAUAUUUAUUUCGGCUUUUCUUUAAUUUAUAUAUAGAAGAGAAAAAAACAUAUCUGAGUGUACUCUUUUUCUCUUUUCCUUUUAGCUGAGGAAUCUGCAGAUUUAAAAAAUAAAUGAUUUUUUUGGGAUGGUUGGUUCUUCUUAAAUAAAAAGGAAAAAGGGAAGAAAUUUAUAGUAGGGGGCCGAUCUUGUCCCCCCUCAGUAAACUAUAAAAGCGGCACAGAAGGUUGCGUAAAAUAAAUGAAUUUUAAAAUACGAGCGUGCUGAAAAUAAGAUAGAUAUAAAUUUAACUGGCUUUGAUUUAUUUUAUUUUAUUUUUCUUAUGUCAACAGCUGCAUAUGGAGACAAUAGUGAUAAUAAGUUGGUUUUUGUCUGUCCAGCUAAAUUGAGUUAAAAGCCGGCCCAUGUAGGCCACCCCUAUUCCCUCUCCAUUCUCUCCCCACUUCCUUGUCUUCUUUUUAUAUUUCAUAAUUAUCCCCGAUCCGAUACGAUCAGUUAUUCUAGAAAUUUAAAUCUUUGGAAGAGUAUUUCUUAUAAUGCAUGUAUAUAUAUAUAGACGUUCGUAUCUUUGCAUUGACAUCCGUAUAGUAAUGCGAGAAUCGAUCUACUUUUCAAGACCAUAUUAUAAAAAAUACGAAAUCAGCAAGUUGAAAGCAAUUUGAAAAUCAAUACAUCUAUUUUUGCAAUGAUAUACAUCUUUGUCAAGGAAGUAGUGAGGCAAGUUCCUAGCGCCACGAUUACCACCUUUAGAGUAUACUAGAAAAUAAAUAAUUUCAAUUAAUUUAAUGAGAAAGUACUUUCCAAAUCCUUUUCAAAAUUUAAACAAAUUUAUAUUCGUUACGCAACCCAUGUGAAAAGAGUCGCACAGACUAUUUGAUUCAAAAAGGGUAUUGCAACCGACAUAUAUCGUGUACUAGACAUGAUUAGUGUAAAAAUCGAUUAAAAAUGCAUUUCUUUUUUUAGAGAAAUGAAUCAUCACGAGACUCUACAUCAGAGUAUGUAGAUCUUGCUUGUAGAUCACAUCUGAUUGGCCAUGACCGAAAUAAUACAUGGUCAUGUGAACAUGGUCACGGUCACAUCAUUUGAAGCUCAGCUAAUCUCCUUUUACUUUCGAUAAACAAGGGUUUUUGCUCGCGAUUUCAAAAGCUGGCGGAUCCAGGUGGGGCCUCCAAAUGACCUGUGUUUAGCGUAGCCCUAACAUGGAUCCAAUUAGGCACUUAAUCAUUGAAGCCAAUUACAGCACAAAUCACACCGGAUCGGCACGGCUGAUUGCGAUCCGAGUCCGCUCCCUGCAGUCUCCCAAUAGUUUAUACCCGGUAACUCCCUAGUUCAACUGGCAACCGAAAUUUGAUAAAGAAUUGGGUAUUAAUUAUUGUAUUUAAUAAUUAAUAAUAGGAGUGAGAAUGUGAUACUCUCUUCUUGUGGGCGCAGGCGGGGUCCUAAACUGAUCAUGACCCAUGCAGCUUUGACAAGUAUAAUAUGUAGUUUUUAUAAUUGGGUGAAUAAAUAUUGAGAAAAGGUCAUGAGCAGCCGAUCUUGCGAGGAAAAAGAUAUUUAUAUUUUUUAAAGUGGGAUCCACUAUUUUGAAUUGAAACUAGUUAGAUGGUGGGUCAAUUUUAUAAGGCCAUGCCCAUUUAUGAAUCGAAGUGAAUAGUGGCCAUUUUCGGUUAGGUCGUGACCUACCGUGACAUGUGGUAUUAAAAUAUUGAAUGGCUUGGCGACCUGAUAAUUAUUGGAAAAUUCAAUGGCCAUUAACCCACUUGCGGCAUAAUGAUCUAUGACGAAUGACAAGCAAGAGGGCUAGUAUACAAAAAAAAAAAAAAAAAAACCCAAUCUCAGAAUUUCUUUUCUAAUUCAGUAACAAGUUCAACAGAAUUAUUGAAAAAAAAAUGGUAAAUACCGAACAAAAAAUCUUAUACUCUAUUUUUUUUUUGUAUUAUCAAAAAUCCUAAAUGUGCCUACUCUGACACAAAAACUCUCAAUUUUUUUGUCACGAAAAAAUCCAAAUUUAUAUAUGUGUGACAUAUAUACUAUCUAUUUUAGUUGCAUUCAAGAUGUAAUAAACAAAAAUAGUUUGGAAUAUUAGUGUAAUAAUGGGCAAGCUUAAGGUUUCAGUGACACAAAAAAAAGGUUUAAGAUGUUUAUGUUUCGGUAGGUAUGGUUUGAGAUUUUUUUUGUGAUAUUAACUCAAUAAAAUACGGAUAAUACUCAAUAGCUAUAUAGCAUCACCUCUCAAACAUGUUUUUUUUUUUUGUAAAUUUAUAUGCGUAUAUAUAUAGUUUAACAUUCUAGCACUAUUCAUGAGUGAUUGGGGAGGCAUUUCCAUCAUUAUCAAGAAUGAAGGUGGGGAGAGGGUGGACAUUGCCGUUGGCGCAAGUUGCUGUACUUCUUUGUCAAUUAAAAUCCAGCACGACUUCAUCCAUACGCACUUGCACUUGAAAACGACCCCCCCCAGAAGAAAAAGUUUCAAAUAAAUUUGCCUUCACGCGCCGGUUAACAAAAUACAUAGAAUACCCAUUUUUCGAUUUCAACGACAGCCCGUCCAAAAAUUGUGGAUGAGACUUGAAGGCCGGGAAAGAAAAAUAUCCGUGAGCGAUGACGUCAUAAAAAAGUCCAUCCAUCCCGAUCUUUAACUAAGGUGAGAAUAUAUUAUAUUUUAUACCUAGUCUCGCUGCCGUUUGUCCAGAUUAUUAGGGUUGCACUGAUCUUUUCUUUGUCAGGGCUAAAGCGUGAGGAGAAUCAUGUGGAUCUUCGCUUGCAUCGCAAGGCAUGCGCCAUGCAUCUCCAUUCCAUCUUCUUUUCUUCCAGUUCUUGCUGUCCUCCGCGUGGUGCUUCGCUGUCGCAGGACAUUGGAGCUGGCGUGAGGAGUGAACUGUAAUGGAUCCCCCUUCGUGGGGCGGCUGCAGAGCUUCCCUUUGCUGGAGAGAGAGAGAGAGAGAGAGAGAGGGAGGUUUACGUAAUCCGAAAGCGUUUUUCACAGCCUGACAAGUACAACCGGAAAUCUCCCUGUCAAAAAAACUAAUCUGUAUCUCACAUCCUGGAUUUCCAGCGGGUUCGGCUCGCUGAUGUUGAUAAGAACAAUGACGAUGACAGAGCUGUACGGCCGCUUUGUAAUGCAUGUUACUAGGUUAUUCUUGAUUGGCCGAACAUGGCUCGGUCGUUUGAGUGCUUUUCCUGUGUACCCAAUCAUUUUGCAAAAAAGAAACGCCUUAGAUUCGGAUCGAACAGGUCCUGUCGCAGUAGACACAUGUAUGAUCAACGGCUCAGAUAGGUUUGAUUUGAUGAAGUCGGCCGUUGAUAAGAUUUAUCCAACUUCCUCAAUCAAUCUGUCGGAUCGAUCUUUGCAUCCUCAUAUAUAGUGCUCUUACAUUCCGGUUCAUUUUCCUAAGUUCGGCUCCAUCUCAAAUAAUAUGAAAGCCGUUUGAUGACAUUUGCUACCAACAAAUUAGGAAACGCGCAUUCGAGAAAAAAGUAUCGAUUACAACCCUAGAUUUCGAGUUCGGACACUGGGUCCAAGGCCGGCCUUGAGGGACUCUCUCGGUGUUGGAGGGACUCGGGGUUGGCCACUGGGUCCUAGGCUUGUUCUUAGAGACUUGAUCUUAAACGCUGCAAAUCGGGGCACAACUAGUAAGGUCCCUAGUCUGGGUGUUAGGGACUUGAGCAUGGAUAUUAAGGAACUAGGCAUGGUCACCCGAUUUGGACGACCUUGGCCUAUUCCCAAGGGACUUGGGUCUAUCAAGGUCUUGGGUGCGCUUGAGCCGGGAAUCUUGUCUCGACCUCGGUGACCUAGGCACAAGCAAGAACAACCUAGGCGUGAAAAGCUGAGUAGUCGAGAGCCGGUCCUAGGGACACAAGCGUGAUUGCUAGGUACUUGGGCUCUCAUGCCUAAUUAUUGGGGUCUAAGGUGCAAGCACUGCGGUUUCAUUGUAUUUUCGAAAAUGAUUUCCAGUUCUUAAAAAAGGAAGUCUUUUUUUUUUUUUUUAAUUGAGGGUAGAUUUUGCCUUAAUUAUGAUUUUUUUUUCCAGUAAUUCAUUUUGAUUGUCAUUUUUCUAAGCUAUGCAAAUGCCGAAAAAUAUUCUUGACAACAAAUUAUCUGUAGAACACGCGGGACGCAGGACUAUUCUUUUCUGACCCCGGAAAAAACGGCCUUCAUUUAAUGGAUGGAACACGGAAUGUUCAGGUAGCCAACUAGCCACGGACUCAGACCAAAAAAAAAAAAAAAAUGGCCACGGACCGAACGUACAAGAUAUGGCCAAGGCCUGAUAUAAUUAGCAUUUGAUAGUAUACAGGGACCAUCGACCUGAGCAGUGUACGACCAAAAAAUAAAAAUAAAAAUAAAAACUUGAGCAGUGUGUCUAAACUAUAUAAGCGAGCCAAUUCCAGGAUCACUAAAUAAACCCUUCGUACAAUACUUAAUAUUAUCCUUAUUUGCAUCUAUUGUAAAUACAAUAAUUCUAUGAGUACAAUAUUACGUUAUCACUCAAUUUGUAAACAUUAUCAUUGCGAUAUUUAGCUGUUUCCAUUGAAAUGUCCCUCAAAGUCAGAGUACAAUGGACCCCCCAUAUGCUUCAAUGGGGGAAAAAAACCUUAUCUAUACGUAUAACCCGAACAAAAAUGGCAGGUUUAGACAAUUAAAAAGAAAACAUGCAAGCAAUAAUUCAGUGCACUGGAUGCAGAGUCUAAUGGAUGGCACAGAAAUAAUUAAUUUCAUAUAUUAUCACAAGAAUUCAAGUAAAAGUAUCCAAUCAAUCACAUAAACCCGUAAUUUUAGGCGCACUAACUUUUCUCAUAGAAAUACGCAUAUCGGAAAUUAGAUUGUUUUACAUUAAAUAUGUUUAGAAUCAGCCUUCUGAAAGCGGCCGUUAAUUUCAGAGAUUAUCAUCGAAAAAAGAAAAGAGGGUUUAGAGAAUUUUUAUUUUUAUUUUUUUUAACCUUUUGCCACUCCUCUUAAACUCGUGGGAAAGAUUGCUUGCUCAGACAUCAUCCUGUUGGCUUUGCAGAAAAGGGGAUUGAUUAAUGAUGGUGGCGUUCGGAAUCUGUCUGAAGAUGCCUGAGAAAAUGUGCAGAUUCACAUGUGAAGAAGAAGGUGGUAGCAACGUGGUUAUUUAAUGAAGGAGGAGUUAUACAUGUGGAUCGCCAAAACUUAAUGCUUUGCCAUUAAACUAACUGGUCAGCCCUUAGGGUCCGUACGAACUAAUUUCUCUUUUUCCGCUUUGCCUCGUGCAUUGCCCAGAUUACAAUUAUCUUAGGUUUUGUUCUCUCUCUCUCUCUCUGACAUUAAAGAUUGGAAACUGGUUUUUUCAUACCCUAAAGAAGAAAAGAUCAGACCAGGUUUUUUCGAUUAUUAUGAUUUUAAUUUGUUGUAUUAAAUUAGUGGAAAGAUAAAAAUUUAAAACAUUGUUUGAAUCUGUAAGAAUUGUUGAAAAGUUUAUAUGUACAUACACAUGCCAAACAUUCGCAUUUUUGUAAAAGCUUCGAGUAUUGCGGAUGUAAAGAGAGAGGGAGAGUCAAAGUAUUUCGGUUGUGAGAUUUGACCAAAUGCAUGAUAAAAGAUAAAAGUCUAUUGAAACAAAUAAUUCUAUUUAGUUACAUUUACUAUGCAAAAAAAAAAGUAAACGAGUUAAUGUGGUUUAUACUUUUUUUAUUUCACGAAAAAUAAAUUAUAUGAAAAAUAUCCUCACGAAAAUGAUUCUUUAUAUUGCUUAAAAUAAUUAAAUAUUUUCAUGGAUGAUGAAAAUAUUUUUCGUUUAUUUAUUUUUGUAAGUAAUACGAACAAUUAAUUUUAAGAAAAUAUCUUCUAUAUCAUUUAUUUUUCACAAAAUAAGAAGAGUUUUAAUGAGAUGAUGGCAUAAGUCUUACGCAAUUUAGAAAUUAAAAAUGUGGUGGGUUGUGUGUAACUAUCGCUUGAUACCUUAAACUUCCAGGAUUGAAUUGCCUUAUCAAAUGGAUCAUUGAGGCUAAAGACAUCGAAAUGACAAGCUAGGGAAACAAAAGGUGGACACCCUCCUGAGGAAACCUAGUGACGAGGAAUUCCAUUUCUUCUUCAAUAAAUAUACGAGCAUUUAUUUAUUAUCUAUAUUAUAUAUUAUUCUUGUUUUUUUGCUGGAUGUAUAUGAUUGCAUCGUGGAUUGCUGCAAGUGCAAGUACUCCCUGCUACAUAUCCUGUCCCUCUUUUGUUCAAUCUAACAAGAAAUGAUGUCACAACAAGUUAUGUAAAAUUAUAUCAUCGUCCCAAUAAUUUUUUUCUGAACUUUACAGGCAGACUGGUAAGGGGGAGUUCUAAAGAAAAUGUCAAGUAGCUAAGAAUAAUAGGAAAAAAAAAGCCGCAAUUUUCUAGGGCAUCAAUUAAAUAACGUAAGCAAGGACUUUAACCUGCUGGCCCCGAUCGAAAAAGUUACAGGCAAUAAUACAAAAUAAAUAUAAUAAAUGUUAAUAAUUGUAAUUGUGAUUAUGAUUUAUUUGUGUAUGUAGACAAAAAGGAGUUUACACCACAUGGUGGGCAUGUGGAUGUGAAUGAACACUUAGCAAAGGGCACUGUCCACCAUGUCUGUCGCCGACUUGGCCACACCCCACGUGGAUCCCUUUCUUCAUCCCCAUUUUAACCCUUUUUUCUUCCUUCUCUUGUGUCCCCUUUCAUUUCAUUUUAUAUUUUUACAGAAUAUUUCUCUGUUUCUAUUUUGUAUUGAAAUAUUGAGCUAAAGAUAUAAUUAUAGGUACGAUAGAAUAUUAAUAUCGAGGAGUCCUGAUUAUCUAUGAUUUUAACGUCAAGAUGCGCAUAACUAACGUGGUUUCAUUCACGUAAACUGUUUAAAGUAAAAGAUAAGCUAGUUCUGAUUCGGACACCUCUUAUGGAAACGACUGUAAUUUUCUGGAGUAAAUUUUGGGUUUUGUGGCCUAAUUCUGAUAUACCCACAUGUUCUUUUUUUAUUUAAGAAAAAAAGUAAAGACGACAAUUAUAAAAUCACACCACUCCACUCCGAAUGUACGGAUUCGAUUAAGUGUUCACUUAAUUCUAGCAUUAUUCUUAGUAUAUACCUUCGCCCGAGGCAGAUCAACAUUAUAAGAAAACAAAAUUCAGGUACACGAAACUUCAUUUUCUUUUUUUUUUCUUUUCGUCUGCAAAUGUAAAUAAUAAUAAUAUGUCCGGCCGCUUUUUCAACUGGAUGUUUUAUUCCAUUCACGAGAUCAGCGGAGCAUUUCAUGAAUUUUAAAUUUACAACUUACGUGUUUUCCUUAUUGUGUAAAAAAUAAAAAGUAGAAGACCGGUUCGUUUUUUAAAAAAGGGUGAGAUUUAUCUCUCCGUCCUUAAACCCAGUUACUCUUAUUUCAUACAUUUUGCAGUGUUACUAUGGUUUUUCUUCGCUUUAAGAAUUGAGAUUAUAUCAAGUUAGGUAUAACUUCACGUCUUAAAGUUGUUCUCUUAAAUAUACCAUUUCGAAAAGUUGACACAUCGGUUCAAAAUUCUUUUCACGUGGCCCAUAAUUAUUUUCCAUAUCCUUUGCCCGCUUCCUUUUACAAUGGCCCCCCUUACCCAGAUUAUCCUGCUCUUGUCACCCUGUCCGCCGUUCCCACCAACCUCCGUCGGAGCCGAGCGACACCGCCGGCCGUGUCGCUCAGUCACGUCUUCCCACGUCGCGCUAGCAGUGGCUGCACCGUCGCUCCUGGCCUUAGGUGCCAGGAGGCCCCUUCAGGCUCGGUCACCCAACUAAUCCUUGCUUCAAAGAACUUUUUCUCCUACCUAUUCUGCACAUUCUGUAUCAUUAUCGAAGUUCAACAUAUCAUAAGAAAGGAUUAUCUAAAGCAUGUCAUAAUUAACCCGUUCUACACAGUAAAUAGCGCUGUUCCUAAGUCGUCCUAUUAAAAGACUUCAUGGAUUAUAGAGUUGAAAAGUAUAGUGGACUACCCCACUUGAGGAGAAAGGUCAGGGCUCAUCGCGUUGGAGACACGUCCAAAUUUGACAUGACACGAGGAAAAGAACAACAGCGGGAUCUAUCUAAUUGGACACCUGCCAAUCCGACUGUAAUCAUUGCAUGUCUUUAUACAACACCUAAAAAUAAGAGGAAGACUAAAACUUUGAGAAAUGCCCAAUUAUUUCUAUGCACUGAGCGAAUGAAUGCAAUUAUCAAAUUCAAAUUUUUAAUGAGUCUUUAUGUGAAUUCCGCAUAUGUUCCAAAUUUCUAAGUAAGCUUCUUCCCGCAAAAGUUCAUGGAACAACUCCCAUGUGCAUGUGCCAAACAAUCAGCUAUUUUCUUUUUGGGUGAGAAUCGGAAUUCGAAGCGUGAAGUUUUCAAAUGAUUAAUUGCUCUCGAUUAGGGAAGAUCCUUCUUGGAACAUGGGGCCAUGUGCAUGUCCAUUUCACCAAGCAACGUAUGCGGAUGUUUAAUGUUUAUUAAUUGGGUCUGUCCUUGGCUCAAUAAAUUAGAGAAAACCUAAUUUUGUUCUCGGAUAAAAGAUGGUACGAUGAAGAAGGCACAGAAAAUGUCUCCAAGUGGAGAAUAAAAUUACCGAAUAAUGCAUAAACUGUAUUCUGCAGAAGAUGUGGCGUACAAAAUAAGUUGAGUGACACCCACGUAAGUUAUUCUAGUGAUUGAGAUGUAGAUGAUUUCUAUUUGGGAUACUGCAAAAUCAGAUGAUUGUGAACCAUUUGAAUAUUUUAGGUCGGAGCCAUAUUUUACUUGAUUCCUGAUUGGAAGAAAUUUUGUCCGAACACGCAUUUGAUUGAUGGAUGGCAUCUGUAUUCAAUAACCCAUCAAUCAAAAAGCUAGUUGAAGGAAAACACAACCAUUAUCGAUUCCAUUGUUGGUUUAUAAACUCAUAAUCUCAUAAGAACCGUGAUCAUUUUGUAUUUGUUUACUAUAGUUGUCAUUUUCUCAACAGCUUACGGAUUGAUUUCUGUAAUAUUUUUUUUUUUUGUCUGUGGGGUAAAGACCUACAAAGGUGCUAACGAGCAGGAAGAUAGACCAAACCAAAGCAAAACCACAUUUGGCAUUUUAAGUAUAACCAUAAAGGGAUGGGAGACCUUAUUCAACGCUGAUGAGAUUAUUAGGUGCUUCUUAAACAUAUAUAAACUAAUUAACCAUUCAAUUUUUGCAUUAGCUUCCAAUUUGAGUUUGCAUAUUAAGAGUGGUAGUUAUUCUGGCCGAUGCAGAAAGAUGAGAUGCGUUGGACUCACAAAACAUGUAGCCGGCUACUUUUUGGCCGGAAAAAGAACGACUAUUUAAAGAGUAAAUAAGUUUCGUUUAUUUUGCGAAAAUUGAAUUAUUUUGAAAACAUUUUCCUAAAAAUGAUAACUUGUAUCACUUAAAAAAUUAAAUGAAUAAAAAUAUUUUCAUUUUUUAUGAUAAUAUCCAUACAUAAAUUAUUACUGAUAAUAAAAAAUAUUUUUCAUUAACUAUUUAUUUCAAGCAAGUAUUUCCAAAUCAUUCUUCUUUUUUCUCAUGAAGCAAACGGAGUCUAAAUUACUCUAGGAAAUUGAGUGGUGAUUAAAAAAAAAGAAAAAAGAGAGCAACUGGCAAGAAGAUCUAAAGCCUUAAUCACUAGGAUCUUGAAAGGGUCUUUAAUCCAAAUCAUCAGCUUCCAUAUAAUCAAGAGCUAAUAGAAGUUAAUGAAGGCCUUCGAGUAUAACAUUUAUGGAAAAACACCGUCCCUAGAGAAUAUUUCCAGUUUCUACACAUCUCACACUUGAUUUGAUUCUCAAGUGUAACAUCAUUAAUUGGUGUGGCUCAAUCAAAUUCAAUCGCUCUUUUCAGUAUAACAAAACUCGAUUCAUCAGUAGAUCGCUAAAAUUCUCGUUGCAUAGAUGAACCGAAACCGAAACCUUGUAAUCUUUAGCUGAUGAAAAGGUUUUGAGCAAUGUAAUCAUGCGGUUACAUAGGACCCGGUCGACUUAACUGCAUUCAUGCUCCAACUAAAGAGGUUCAUCUGUGCAGAAGAUCUGCAACCGAACGCGACCGCUGCGUCUCACGGUCGCACGACAGGGAAAUGGAAGACGACGAUGCCCCCAUCUCUAGCAUUUUACAGUGACAUUAAGCAGAUAUUUGAGUUAGGCGGGCAAUCCCGGAAAAUUCAAUAGGGUCUUUUCUGGCCAGUUCAGUGAGACUAUUUUCAGAAGAAUUGAGGCAGCAGCUGCAGAUCUGGAAUCGAAUUAGGCAAACUUUCACUAUAUCACCAAAUGCCAUGCCAGAGUUGAGAAAUUCAGGAUGCAAGCAAGAAGGGAAAACGCAAACAUGAUUGCUUCAUGAGCCGAGACUUCAAGUAUGUAUAUGCAUAGCCACCGACGGAAAAAGCAAAACGUUAAACCGAGAAUCGGAACUCUGUCAUCUGAAACUUCAAUUUUUUAUCUUUCUUUCUGUCCGACUUAAAUCCUACAAACAAAUUUACUUGUUCAAGCAGACAAAGCCAUUCAUCACUCAUGGUCACUAAAUUGUCUACUUGAACAACGAUCGAUUGACUUGGGAUUUCCCAGUGCUUUGCACCAGAGAAUAUUUAUAUCAAGGCAAAGUUCUGUCGGUUUGUCUUAUGUCCAAAGCUUUAUUGUGAAGAUCAUCUCCUGUACAUCUGAUGGCAAUUGCCGACAUUACUUGCCAGAGAUCCAGCAUUGUAAUCUCUGAUCAUGUUUAACAUAAAACACCUCUUUAGCUUUUAAUCUGUUAGAACACGACCCCAAAACGCAUCCCCGAAAAAAAAGAAAAAGAAAAAAAACCACCUUACCGGAGAAAAGAAAAGUAAGGAUUCUCAUGAGAAUAACAGCUAGUGUGAAAGGGAAUGGCCGUCAGGCCUUACAACUUUGAGAAAAACUUCUGGGCAUUUACAUCUUAGAACAUCAUAAGUGACAUCAAUUUUCAAGACACAAGCAACAUAAACGCCAUUGAAUGCCAGUCGUAGCUUAAUUUUUUUUUUUUUUUUUUUGGCAAUUUAGAUAGGUUUAAGCAAGCGGCAUACAAACCAGAUAUUCCUGCGAAGAACGGUAGUAAUUUUACCUACAGAUGAAUUGCACAGACCGCACAUAACACAGGUCAGUGCAUGAGCAGAAAAGAUGCUCGAACUUUAAAAGUUAAGAUUACUCGCAGUAAAAUCUUUCAAGCGCGAAAUAGCCCGAAGUGCUGCAGCAACAAUGUGUCUAUUUUACUUUCCUUAGGGUUCUGCCAAUGUCAUUCUUUACAGUGAUUGCCGUAUAGUCACAUAGUCUAACAGGAUCAUUAUGGAGUGAUUGUCUCACAUCACCAGACCAGCUUAAACAAAUAUUUUUGUGUCUCAUUCUCUUCAGAUGGUAACUAUGUUGUUCCAUGCCCAGCCAGUCAGAACUUUGUCUUCCGCGGUACGCUCCCACCUAGCAAUCAUCUUCAUCCCCGUUACAGCAUUUGGUAAGCAUGUUGACAUCCAAUUGUCCGACCCUCCCCAUCAUAAGAAGCAUAAUCCGCUUCAUCCAGCAUUGAGUACUUAUCCACAAGAAAACACUUGAUACAUCCCAUUGCAGUCACUACUUUCCAUACUUCAGAUUCUUGUGCUCCUAUUUGGACCAAUUUAAACUGACUUGUGUUUUAAAUUUUUCCAUCAUAAUUCAAGACUCCUUUGUUUCUCUCAUUAAAGCUAUACGAUCCACAAAACAUUGGGGAAUUAAGCUGUGAACUGUAAGCAUGUGCCUCACUAGAGUGAAGCAGUAAGAUCUCAGCCCAACGCAAUAUAUGUUUAUAACCUAAUAAAUUCCUCCAUUGGGCCCCUUCCUUCGAAAUCUAUAUGCAUCCCAUUACAAAGAGUUGCCAUGUAUAAGUUUAUUUCUUCCAUCACGAAGCUAUCUAGAUGGAAUGAGGACAACGCAUGAAAAUCAUGUGCUAGUUACACUCAGCAAAAACGCCCUCAAUCUGGCUUAAGGUAUUGUUAUACUUUUGAUUGCAAUCCGAUAACACCGCCAAGUUCCAAAACACCAUCUCAACGUCACAGUCCAGUUCUAGCAUCUGCUAACUAAUUUAAGAGAUGAAUUAAAAGGGCACAAUAUCAGAAAAUAGGAACCUACAAAAAAUUCAAAUUGACAUUCACAUCUAAAAUAAUCAGACACUGGUUAUAACUCAUAUCAUUCGCAGAAAAAAAUAGAGCCAUUGCACCGAUGUAGGCAUCAAAGAAAGUGAAAAAGUUAUUAGCAUCCAAGAUCGUGGAAACAAGUUGAGCUUGGAUCCAGACUGAGGCAGGUCAGAGCCCAGGAUCAAUAGCGACACACUGACACAUGUCACAAGAAAGUCAUAUAUUUCAAUUGUUCAGAUGAUGACAACUACUAGCAAAUCUUUUUCUCCCAUGUAGGUCAGCAGUCGGUGACACAAAUUAUGCACACCAUUAUACUUUAUUUUGCACUAUGUAUACGAUGAGAUUCAAAUACUCAAGAUCUUCCCUUACAGUUCCAUAACACCAUCCCAAGAUCACAGUCCAGCUCUAGCCCCGCUAACUAAUGUCAGAUAAGAAUUUAAAGGGCACUAAAUCAGAGAAUAGGAACCUAUAAUACUUCAAAUUGACUGUUAUUCACAUCUAAAACAAUCAGACACUGGUUACUACUCAUAUCACUUGCAGACAGAGACGGCACUAUUGCACCAGUGUAGACAUCAGGAAGACUGCGAAAUUUAUUAGCAUCGAAGAUAGUGCAAACCGGUUGAUCUUGGAUGCAGGUUGAGGCAGGUAAGAGCCCAAGAAUUAAUAGCGACACAUAAUGUAAUAAGAAAGUCACACACAAUUUUUAUUGUUCAGAUGUCGAAAACUACUAAGCACAGUCAGCAGUCAGCAGCAAGAAUUAUGCACAACACUGUACUUUAUUUUGUAUUAUCUAUUCAAUGUGAUCCAAAUACUCAAGAUCUUCCCUCACAAGUCCCAACUAUAACUUUUUAUGCUCUCUCCACCCUUUUUGAAGUACAUCGCUACAAAACACCAGAAGACGCUUCAUGUGUCCUGACCUCCUCAAACAAGCUUUUCUCAUCCUACCCUUAAUUGAGGUAACACCAAUUUCUCUUUCAAAUAUAUUCAUUUGGGAUCUAUCUUUUCUUGAGUACUACUAGAUUCAACAACGCAUUUCAUUGUAGUGCAAUCUUUCUGUGCAUAAAUUGGCAAUUUCGGGAAAAAAAAUAAUUAGGGACCAAUCUGCAAAACAUAGUUCAGUUCACAUUGGGUUUACCAAAGAUGUGACAAGAAUAAUAGUGUUAAGAGUAAUUCAAGAUUAAAUCACGUUUUUAUCUAAUAGCUUAAGCUUUUGGAACAGUUAGCAGAGGUCCCAUCAAAAUCUCACAUGGUAUCAGAGCAGGAGGUUCUGAGUUCAAAUAUUUCUAGGCCCCUAUUUGCCUUCCCAAUUAUAUAUUUCCAUGGUUUAGGCUUAAACCAAAGUCCAGCUUACUUGUGAGGGGAAGUGUUCAGAGUAAUUAAAGAUUGAACCAUGCCUUCAUCUAAUAGCUCAAGCUUUUAGAAUAGUUGGCAAUGGUCUAAUCAAAAUUUCACAAAUAAAAUUCACCAUAUUCCUAGAAGUCAUAAAGUUCGAAAUGCCAGAGUCACUUGGAACAAAACUUUCGAUGAAAUCCAGCUUCCUGCACAAAGAUUUAGCAAGAACUAAAACAACUGGAAAGUGAAAAGGAUUUUGUGCAGCAAUGAAGGAUUAAGAAAAGGCACCGUCACGUUUGCAUGCAUAACACAUGUGUUCAUAGCCAUUUAACCUCAUAUGCCACACAAUACGUAACUUGUGAAACACUAUCCAUGUCCAAAACACAAUCAUAUAAACCUCAGACUUAUGGAAGAUUAGACAAGCCUCUUGACUCAAGUAGAUAUCCAUGAUAGGAAGGAUUAAAAUACAAAAAAUUUCCCAGGUUUGAACUUGUGGAUAAUCAGACAAUAAGUAAGAUAGAGGCACCUUGGAAUCCAUACAUAUCGGUAUACUAGGAAGAAUAAACAACGCAUACAACUUUCUCAAGUUUGAAGUUUUGGAAGAUUCAACAACGCUCCUGAUUCAAAACCAAGCAGUCUACAUAACCUACUGACAGGAAUCUAGUACAAAAGAUAACACUGAAAUAUUCAAAAGAGAUUUAAGUUAUGUGAUGCAGGAAUUAUAUCUUUGCUGCUGAAGAGGGACUUGAACCCCCAGUUUUCCAGUCAAUACUUUGGUCAAUUGAAAAUUUCCUAGAUAAAAGAAAACCAUUGGGCAAUAUUGGAAUUCUCCAUGCGUGGAAAAGUCAAUAUAUUUGAUGCACAGAGCAUACGAAAUUUAACCCGUAGUCAAUAGCAACUCUACUAAGGACCUUUAUCUCUUGAAUAACGAAAAGAGUCAAAGUUAUCCCUUAACCAACUGAUUAAGGACUUGAUUUGAUAACAAGCUUGCAAGACAAAAUGUUGUCCCCUAACAAAGAAGCAAUGUGUAUGAGACUCACUCAAUUGAAAGAAUCGAAACAGAUCUAAUUCAAGGCCAAUUAUAUCCUAUCUUAAACUGCAAAGAAAUCCAGAAGGUUGCAGCAGCAAACUAAUUCUUGAUUGACAGACAGGAGUUAGCUUGAACAGCAUUCAUACAUUCCAAAAGAUAAAAUAUGCAACAGAGAAUGUGAAUAGACCCAGUAACAAUUUAAGGAGAGCAGAAAAGGCAAAAAUCCGGUGGCUAAAGAUAUAUCACAAGUAAAACCAAGUACAUGAGAGACAUUACAAGAUGAGGGUCAACAAGAAGAAACAGACCGUCACAUAUUGCCACUCAUCUACUAGCGGAAUAUUUUCUCUCUUCUGCAAUAAACAUCAACUACUGGAAUUUGAGUAGCACCACUCCACUGAAUAUUUAAUGGCAGCUACUAGCCACAGAAGGAAAGCUGCAUUUCAUGUUGAUAAUCUCAAAAAGGACAAGACUGACCUCGCUAUCUGUCUAACUAAAGUCAACACCCAUCUCCUUUUGUCUCAAUUCUAAGGCCAUACGUUCAUUUUCAAGCUUCAUCUUUUCAUUUUCCAUUUUCAUCUUUUCUAAUUCGCGGUCUCUUUUCUUGCAAAAUCUCUCCCAUUUGAAGCGCUGUUUCUCCAACUCCAACAUCUCAUAUUGAAUUUGUAACUUCUGUUCUUCCAGUUGAAGUGAACGAGAUUCAUUUGACUGCUUCUGUGACCAAGCCCUGUUCUCUGAAAAAGUUUGAUUCAUAUCAGGAUGUACCAUAUGAGAAUGGGAAUGGGAGCUUUUGUUGAACUCUUGAACAUUCAAAGAAGAACCAAAACUGAAAUCUUCAUGGCCUUGGGCUUGCUUCAUCCUCUUCGCAGAACCCUUUAAAACCCCACACAUUGUCCUGCCAUCACCAUGAGGAGCAUAAUUCUCCUCAUGUUCGUCGUGAUCAUCAUUAUCCACAUCUUGAUCGUCCUCAUCAAAGUCAUCAGGGUUGUUUCUUCUGACAUCAUUAUUCUCAUGAUCAUCUCUACUUCUGAGAGCCUGCUGCAGAGAGCGUUGUAAGGCUGGGUCAUGAGGUAAAUGUAGCCGAUUGCUAUUGUGGUAAGAGCACAUCUCUUCAUAGAACAAAUGCUUUGAACUCAAAAUUUUCCUGACAUCAUCCUUCUCCUUCUCCGAAAGGAACUCUAUCAUAUCCAAAAGUGCAGGAUUCUCAACCACCUGGCAAGAAGUCCCCCGACCAAGCAUAUCGUUGAGUUUCUUGUACCUCUUAUUAAGGUCGUUGAACUUAUCCUCACACUGCUGAGGUGAGACAUGGUAACCCCUCUCAGCCAAGACCUUCGAAAUUGACUUCCAUUUACCCUUUUUCUGCAAGACAGCAAACUUUCUUCGUCCCCCACCCCCACAAUCUGAACCCGAAUCUUCACCUAUAUAGGAGACGGCGGUGAUCAGAAGUCUAACCAUCUUAUCAGUCCAUUUCACCCUUUGCCAUGGUGACCCUUUUUUCCCUUUGCUUACAUCAUUAUGAUUAUCGAUACCAUCUUCGGUAAAGCUUGGAUCAUCAUCAUCGCUUGCCGAGUUCUUGCACCUCUCCCCUUUGUUGAAAUCUCCCACAGAGAUCAUCUGAUCACAACCUGGCAACGCUCCCAUGGUAAGUGGGAAACCCUCAUGGAUCGAGGGGUGGACUCCAGGCGUUUGGCGAGGAUGAGAGUGAUGUGGCUGAUGAAGCGUGUGCGAUUGUUGUGCUUGACCGUGGAUUUGCAUUGAUCUCUGCAAAUCUAGACCUCCAUAUGCAGGAUUACCUGGGAUCAUACCUCCUUGUGACAUAUUUCCUUCCAUUGCUUUACCCAAACAACAAUUAAUCAAGACACGCGAGCUUAUCUCACAUAAAACCCUAUUUUAUAAAUUUUUCAAGCGAGCAUAGCCAUCUGCCAACGCAAAUUCAUUUACCCUGAGGGCCAAAACGAAGCAAACCCAUCUUUUUCCUCACCCAGCUCAAGCAAAUUCUACUCACUCUUUGGGAUCCUUCUGACAGUUCCCAGAUCCUCAAGCAAGCACCUUUCCCAUCACAGAAACAUUAAUCCAGCCACUACAACACGAAUCCCACAAAAUCUCCUGGAUCAAGCCUAACCAGACCAAACUGCAGCUCACCUCUCAAACAAACCCAGCACUAAAAAUCACCACAGGUUGAACCCAAAAGAAAACACACACACCCAAGACGCAACUCCUGAAGAUUCAAUCCAAAAUGUCGUUCGCCAGAGAGAAAGGGACGACGGACUUAUCUGGGCAGAACCCUGCACAGAGCUUCGCCACCCUCGACGGCAGCGCCAAAAAAAGUCCCUCCCAGAAAAAAAGGCGAGGAACCCACAACGCUUACGGGCGCCCCCACAAAAACCCAAGACCCGUCUGGCCUCAGCGGCUCAAAAGGAGAGAGCUUUUUGAAGGGGGGGAAAAACAGAGAAGCGUGUGCCCGAAAAACCGAAUAAAAAUCCGGCCUUUAUAUCAAUGCGACUGCAGUCUGCAAGUGGGUUCUUGUCUUUUUCUAAUUACUUAAUUAUCUUUUUCCUCCCAUCCGCGUUUGCGUUGCGCAUCGAUGAAUUUUUUUAUGGGGGAAAAAGGCUCCUUUUUUUGCAGGUUCAGUGAAUGAAGAAAGAUCCGUUGGCCCCACGGUCGGACGUCCAAAUCAAGAUUCGAAAGAUCGAUAGAGAAACUCCAAAGGCCAAAUCCUACGUCGAACCGAAGCGUAUUCUAUCGACAUCGUCGCAGCGUAAUGACAAACAAGAACAAUAAUUGACGACUUGGGGAGGAAUAAACUUUGAGGAGAAAUGGUUGCUUUCUCACAUAGUAUUGGAAGUGGAACAGCCAUUAGCUGGGGAAAAGGAGCAAUUUGCAGUAGAUUAGUAUAUUUCUAUGUCAGCAACUUGGCCUCCCAAGUGGGGGGUUUUGAUAUUGUUUUGUGAUUAGCUGGUGCUUAGAUAAUAAACUAUUUAUUUGGUUAUAAAAUAACGUUGUUCAGAGUGUGGUCGAGGGCCGAACUUAUCAGUUUUGAGAAAUUCUUGAUCCAAACUUAUACCGAACCAACAAAAUUUGAGCUCAAAUCAAAUCGAUAAAUUUGGUUUGCUAUGGGUUUGGUUCGAUUUCAGACCGUUAUCAUCGAACCAAUUUGUAUGUAGGAAAUUUAAUAGAUAUUUGGGCUUUAUUUGUUUUGUAUAAAAGGAAUAAUUUUAAAAAGAAUUCCUUGAAAUGAUCGUUUGUAUGAUUUAUAAAAAUGAGUUAACGAGAAAUAUUUUUCUCUUUCAUGAAAAUUUUUAGACAUAAAUUAUUAUUGAUAAUAAAAACAUAUUUUAUUGAUUAAUUAUUUCAAUUAAUUAUUUUUAAGAAAAUAUUUUUUAAAUCGUUUAUUUUCCGUGAAACAAACAUAAUUUUAGAUUAUCUAACUUCAACUUGAGAUGGAAAUUAAUAAAAAUGCACCUAUUUCCACACGCUUAUUGAAAAAGGGGCUAUAAUCAUAACUAAAUAUGAUAAAAUUAUCUAUAUAUUGAAAAAAAUUAUGGAAGAGAACUCUUGCAUAAGUAUUAUGAGAUGAGAAAUCAAUCAAUAAUAACUGACUUGAGAAGUAGAAAUCAUUUAUCUGAUAGAAUAGAAGAAAUCUUGCGGAUAGGGAUAAUUCAUUUAAUUAGGCUGAAUUUCAAAUUUUUUUAGUCAAAAAGGAGGCAGAAAAAUAUUCAACUCAUCAGUUGAGCUCGAUCAUAUCAAUUUCCAUUGUUAUAAAACCAAACCAACCUAACAAACGGAGAAGAAAAGUCUCAACCAAAACCAAACCGACCAAUCCAUAAACUGCACUUUUCAAUUGGUCUCGGUUUGGUUCGGUUUAUUGGAAUUUAGUUUUCCAAAAAACACCCCUAAUUAGCAAUGCUUUCGUCGUUCAUUUUGGUGGUCCAUCUAUUCGUGGCUGUGGAGUCAAAUCUGAAUACCCGUGAUCGCCCUUGUCAAGGGUUUCAUCAAGAAAAAACCAAGAGAAAGGGCGUACUCUCGCGGAAAAGUUCAUAUGGAAAGUUCAUGCACGUGGCUGGGAAUAUUGAGAUUAGGGUCCCCUCACCUUGUCCUUUGUCUCUUUAGGUUUCGUUUCUCCCGUCCUCCCGUUUUUUUGGGUAAACAAGUCCAAGAUCACGACGCGCGUUUUCCCCUCUCUUUUUGAAAUUGGGGACAAGUAGGUGUCCUGGAAAAUACGAUAUAGCGAACACAUGUCAUGUGAUUCAGAACGAGAGCUGAAUUGCCGAUUCAACAUGUGUCGAAUAGCCUGAAUCGACGAAUUCCAAAAAAGCAGCUUUGACCCAAGAAAGUUCCUAAGACCACGCAAAUUUCGCUGGUACCACAGGAGACCAGCCUCCCAGAGUCAACAAAUGAUAAAAGUAAAAACAAUCCGGCAGACUAGAUCUAAUGUUCCUUAUUAACAGUUCCCCAAGAGGCCGAAAAAUUGGCUAGUUAUCCACCAAGCUACAUAAAAAUUAAUGGUACAUAGAGAUUCGUCCCAUAAGAAUCAAUAUGUCCUGGCUUUCCCUUUGAUAAGAAACAAUCGGAAUUAGAGAGAUACAUCGGUACACACAGUAAAGGAAGGGAAUGGAUAUACUUGAGACCAAAAAAGAAAGUAUUAAACGUCCCGAUUUUAACAUGCCCAAACGAUUACCCUCCGCUUGUCAAUCACUGCGUCGGCACAAUCUUACACGCAUUUCAAAUGCCAUCCCACCGCUUUUUAGUUCCUAUGAAGCACACGAGCCAUGUCAAGCCAAAUUGAAUGCUUAAUUGACCUUCACACGAUGCUUGGAGGAUCCCCAACCCAGUUACAAACAGCACGAGGCCACCGAGUGCGUAUGCAGUCCACAAGGGGUGCAUGCUGAGGAGGCUCUUGUUUAGCCACUUCAGCAUCCUUUGCGCUCGACUGAUCCCCACCUGAGCCAGAGGGCGCUGCUGCCAUGAAUUCUUCAGGGGUCCAUCGCGGCGGGACAGAAACUCUCAAUUUAGUAAGUCUAGGCCUUUGAACUGGAGCCUCAUUUCCCAAGUUUGCUUGGCCAUUCAAAUCCGACUUUGCAAUUCCAUUGAAAUGGUAAAGAUCAAAUACCUUUUUGCCCAUCAAUCCUGAGGAGUCCUUUAGACCUCCCAUACUGCUGUCUAGAUCUAAUAUGGCCUGCCAAAAUUCACUCCACACAAUAAAGCCGGAGCUGCAAAGUUGAUCAACUUUUUCAGAAGUAAGCCUGAUGUCAGUUUCCCUUAAUACUUGAUGGAAUCCUUCCACACCAAUAAAACCACCCCCUCCACUCUGAUCUUGUGCAUCAAAAGCCCUCCGAAUCUGCGAUUCCCUUUCUUCUAGUUCAUUCUCUUCCUGAACAACUGUAUCAAGAGCAAAUAGGACUGUGUAAUGGGACUCACUUCCAACAACCCAUAUAGGCCAGAUUGGGCACUUCAAAUGCUGCCCAACCUUGCAAAAGUUAAGUGAUUCUAACAGAGUCAGAAACCCAACUUCCACGCUUGUUGAUACGCCCUUUAGGAACAUACCACCACCUAGAUCCAUCCUCCCAUCGAAAACGUUGGGCACAGCCUGCCCGCAGAGGAGCAGGUUCACAAUUUCCUGUCCCAAGACAAUCGUAAGUUUGCAUCAAAAUUUUCUCUGCAUCUUCAUUAUAUACCAUUUGCACAGUAAAUAAGAUACAAGGUAUUUCUCAGAAGCAUCGCAACUCUUGAACCACCCAAACAAUAAAUUUUUGAUGCAAUGAUAGUUACCUGCGACGCAUGGCCAAAUGGUGCAGUUACCAGAGGAAGACUGGGAUCAUCUCUGUCAGCUUGAACAGCAUCCUGCAAUUACAGAAUGCCUCAACACCAUUAUUUCCUCUGUUUGAUCAUCAUCAUCAACUACAUUUCCUCACACAUUAGUUUUUCCAAUGGAUCAAAUUUCAUUUUUUAGAUCAUCAGUUAUUAUCCCAGCAUCCUUUCUGUGGCCUAGCAAGAUGGCAUGAUUUUAAAGUUUUGACUUAUGUAAAUAUUUGAUCACUUUCUGAAUUCUGACUUUUGGGCAAAUAAAGAAUAAUUAAUAAUAAAAAAAAUCAUUCUGACGAAUGGCAGGAUAAUGACACAAGCAGUAUUGUACUAAUAUUGAGAGGAAUCAUAGAACUUAGGCAGCCAAAAGAAAGGGAAAUAGAGCUGCUCCUCCUGGCUCGUGGAAAAAGGGUUUCGCGUUGAAGGCAAGAUACCAUGACUUCGCUAUACAUUCUAUUAACAUGGUCAAUAAAAAUGGAACAUUGGCUGUAUCAGAAAUGUGUUUUAACUUCUAAAGAUACACUGUUAAAUAUUUUAUCUCUCAAAGAAAAACUAAGAUUUGGACAGCAAACAAAGUAAAUUGAAGUAAACAUGAGUAUUUUUUUUUGGUAAGGAAGUAGACAUGAAUAUUUGUAAACUAGUAUUUGACAAGCUUGCCGGAUGACUAGAAAGGGGAACGGUAUCAUACCAGUCCCCGAGAAAGUAACGCAGAGAUAAGAAAUAGCAGUGCCCCCAUUCGACUUUGAAAAACAGGAAGUGUUGCUUCAAGCCUCUGAAAAACAGUAGCUUGCACACUAUAAGUCUCAACUCUUAGAAUACUCUGCAAAUCAGAAGCUGAUUCUAUCGAAAGUCCCUCCAGAGCUUUGAUAAUACUCUAAGCAACAAAAAAUAAUGGUAAUUAGUUUAAUCAGUUUGAAAAGGAACUUCUGAAAGCAAGUGAAAUGGUCAGAAAAUAGUCAGAACCUAUGUAUUACUGCCUUUAAAGUAUACAUGAAACACCAAACUAUCGCCUACCUCAUCCUUUGAACCAUCUGCAGCCCCCUCAAGUUCUUUACCAGUAACACUUAAAGUGGCAAUAACCGCCCUUUUAUUACUUCCACAGUGAAAUAAAAUCUCACUCAUACUUCUUAUCAAUGCCCUGUCAUUGAUAUUAAAAAAAAGAAAAGAUAUUGCUAGUGAGCUCAAUUAAUGAAUAUUGCAACUUGCAUAUCAAAGUAGCACAGCCAAUGGAAACAGAUUAAGCAGAGAAAACAACAACCAACCUCUAAGACAAACAACCUUCCGACCAACAACAUACUGCAUGUAACCAUCUUAAGGCUCAAAAAAAUAUUUAAAGUAGCUGCAUCAUUUCUACUAGAUAAUUCGUAUAGUAAAACGGGUUUUGCAAAAUUGGGGUAAACCAAUUACAAGUAUUUGGUUUGCAACGACUCAAAAUCAGUCCUUGUCAGAAUAUAUUUGGAAAUUUUCUAGUGCUGAAGGGCAUCGGUCUAAAUCCAAUAGAUCAUAAUGACUAGUAAACCUAGGCAAGAGGAAGUCUCCAAGUGGUACCUUAUAAGUUAUUCAUCAUCAAUGCCCAAAACCUGUCUUUACCCUAUCAAUGCAACUGAGAAAUUGACCAAGUAAAUAGCAAAAUCAUUUAUGUAAUAAAUAUAUGUCCGGGAUUUACUUUUAUCACAUGUUAAUCAACAAAAUUAGUUUACCAUCAUCACAUGUCCAGGUUAUGGUUUGGGAGCAGAAUCAUUCCAUUGCAUUCCCCAUACUUUUCCAACUUUUCAAAAUUUUUGGCAUUCUCUACACAUGCCAAUCAAUAUAAUAAAAAAUACAAGCAACAAGAGAGCAGUAAUUGAAAGAGACUGCCGAUAGCUUACAGAACUAAAAGAAUAAUGAUAUAACCAUUCUCUUUCCUUGGGUAAAGAACAAUGAAAAUAGUCAUAUUCAACCAUAUGCAGAGAAAAAUCAACCAAAAAAACUAAAAAUGAUUGCUGAUGCGGAAGACGUACUCAACCCAACUAAAAAAAAAUGAGGAAGUAAUUACGGCUAACAGAAUCAUUCACUAACAUUAGGCAACAAGUAUAGGCAGAAACAAACCAAAAGGAAGGCAACAACCAAGAAAACAAUCAACUCCCUAUAGAUUAAUUACCUUAAUUUUUCAUUGUCUGUAAGUGAGGCAAAAUUAUCUGAACCUUGAAAUUGUCUUCGAGAUGAUGCUUUUGUACCAUGGAAUGGUGAAAUAGUCGAUGCACCUUUACGGAAAUCGUCCGGAAAGAAAAGAAGAUACUUGAGAACAAAAGCCUACACAAGCAAACUUUUAUUAUUGUAAACAACAUUAGUAAAAGAAUACAACAUGAUCCUAAAAGCAGACAAUAAAACCAAAUAGAUGGGCACUAAAAUGUCAACAUAGCCAUAACCCUGUUGCAGAUACCAUCUCAAAUAAGUGAUCACAAAAUGCAUCCACCAUGCAACAACACAUUGCCGGUAUCAACCCCAUUGAAUUUAUUCACCACCAAACCCACAAUCAAUAAAAUAUUACGACUAAAAGCAUAUAAUGAUGGAUGCCGGAUAGAUUAUAACUUCUUUUCUUGAACUGCCAAAUUGUAAGGUUAACAUGUAGUGAAUGCAUUCACUGACAAAAUGAUUGGUUAUUUUUGUUGUCUUCAUAUUGUUAUUUGUUUGCUGCAUUGCAAACUCAACAAUAAUCUGUAGUGCCUGCCUUCCAAUAGAUCAUAGUGAUGAAAGCUGCAUUCAAGAUAUUUACCCUCUUCCUAUAUAAAUUCAAGACAUACUCUUCGAUGAUGUCCUAAUAUUCAAGAAAAAACCAUAAACAAAGCCAUCAGGAUCUGGACCUAUAUUUUCGCCGCGUUCAGACAGCAUAUGUCAUCCAGUGGUUGCCUUAUCUAGAAUGUUGGAGUAAGAAGAUGUCUAAGGAGACUCUUAUGAUCCGGCUCAAUUCCGUUAAAAAGCACCAAUUUUAGGUUAGGCCUCAAUUCUGGCCCAAAUUUUUUUUUUCUCACAACAAAGCCCCUACUUUAGGUUGGGUUCCGAUUCUAGCCCAAACACUUUUUUUUUUGGCUCAUAAAAAAACACAAACUUCAAUCAAUAUCCAAAUCUAUUUUUUGUCUAAAAAAAUGACAAACUUUCAGUCAAUAUCCAAAUCUUACCCUUCAAGUUUCCAUCUAAUGAUCCCGUUAAAGACUGGACGUAUCCUUCCACGUGUAAGACGAGAGAUAAAUGAUUUUGUCGGAUUUUUAAGGGCAUUAUUGGAUGGAACUUGUGGAGGCCAGAAUUGGGUAUUGACUAAAAAUUGGUGGUUUUUCAUGUGACAAAAAAAUUUCAAGCUAGAAUUAGUAUUAGACCUAAAAAUUAGUGCUCUUUUAUGCACUAUAAAAAGUUCAGAUCAGAAUUGAGACCUAAAGUUGAUGCUUUUUAAUGAGAUAAAAAGGAAGUUCAAGCCAUAAUUAGGACCUGACCUAAAGUUGAUUUUUUUUAAGGGAAUUGGACCCUUCAGAUCCACAUAGACAUGCUUCAGAUUUCUAGGAGUAAAAAACACAGAAGAUUCUGAAAGGCGUACUUGCUAAGAACUUAUCAGCAAAACUGGUUCAAAAACCAACAACCUUGUAUCUCCAUGAUCUGUGUGUGAAAAUUAUAAAACCUAAAUGUAACAAACACAAUAUACAUCUUAAAAUAGCAAUGUGCUAUGUUGAGAAAACAAGGCAUUACUUGUACAGCUGCUAAGACACCGCAGGGCCCACCUUCAUGCUGCACUAAGCCCAUAGAUGUUUCUGGAUCAGGGCUGAACCUGAAGUGAGGGUUUGAUGGUAUAAAUGCUAGGAAUAUAAGAUCUUUAAAAUAAAUCAACAUCACAAGUUUUACAAGCAGCAUAGAUGAUGCAAAUGUAGUGAGCAGACAGGAAAAUCAAUGAAAAAAACUACUCUAUACAAAAGGUGAAAAGAACAUGGAGGCCAAUGAGACUCCGCACAAAUGAGAGCAGUCAAUUUCACUAGGAUCACCAUGCAUCUAGUACAUCACUUGAUUGCUCAGGCAUAAUCAACAAAAGAAGAGGCCCCGACAUUUACAAGUUGAUUCUCGUUUCCACUAGAUGUCUCCCUUCACUCCAAAUUAGAUAAAAGGAAUUGUAAAACAAGUUUUUUAAAAGCAGGUGAUCAGGCACAUCAACAUGGAUUGCUAACUGGAGUCAACAAUGGAUGCAUUCAAACAUCCAUUUACCACUAUGAUUCCUCUCUUUCUUCCAGGUACAUACCAAAACAAACUCACUCUACUUUUUAUCCCCUUGACAUCACAUGAAGCAUAAGUAGAGCAGGUAACUCACAAACUAACUGCAGCAUGGCAGCAGCAAAAACAAAGAGAUGCAAUUGACAUCCAGCCUUUAAAAGAGUAUCCAUUAGUUUUCACCCAUAUACCUGACAUUUAGUUCACAAACCAACUAGCGAUAUUUAUUUUAUUUUAUUGCUGAAUGAAAAAAAAGACAUGCAAAUAAAAGCAGAAGAAAAACAAUUUUCAAUUAUCUGCAAUGGGUCCAAAAGGAAUCUUUAAAAGCACAUUGCCUCUAUUUCUUUAACCACAGAUUUGACAAGGUGUAAUCAACAUGAGGAUCUUCUUCAAAGCAAAUGAUGCAUGUGCACCAACUCAGGGCAUAUCACUUUCUAAAUUCACUUCCAGUGCAAUCGCUAUGAUGCCUUUCUUACUUCUAAAGACAUCAUAAAACUAUCCGAGUGGACUUUAUGUUGCCUUAUCGACCUCAAAGAAAGAGUGAGCAAAUGACAAACAUUAACCAUGGCUCCAAAGAAACCACAAGAAAUGCAUAUAUAUUAAACUUCCAAAAUCUAAACAAUCAUUUAGUCGCUCUGUUUAAUCAUAAGCUUACUCCAUGCUCAGCUCAUGAACCAAAUGCCAAAACAUAUAUGCAAAAAUUGACAAAGGAAUCCCAAUAAAUAAUACCAAUUCCAACUCAGUUACAUAACCAUUUUGAGAAUUUGAACAAUUCAACUGGUUCAAUUCAUAGAUUUGUAUUCAUAGAACCGGCACAAUGCCUAAUUACAUUGAAUCGCGAGAAUUUUGUUACGGGUUCCUGGGAUUAACUAUGAUAUAUAGCACAGAACAAUCAGAAAAAAGCAAUUUAACACAUUUCAGUUGCCCGCAUGCCAUACCUUAUCCCUUGAUUACUCCACUGCGCGAGAAUUCCUUUCGAAACAUCGCUUCCGAAAACCAUAGAGAACAACUGACAUGCUUCUUCACUCGACAGCCCUCUCCCAGUUCGCCCAUCAUCCACUCCGGCUCCCCCCUCCCUUUGCGGGAGAGGCUUAGACUUCUCAUUAUUCGGUGCCAACAACGGCGCCGGCGACUGAGACUGAGCAGGCGACGGAGAUGGAGCAGGCGACGGCGCCCCCCCGGCGCCCCUGGAGGCCAGCAUCCUCUUCUCGGCCGCAGCAGCCAUGAGCUCCCUCUGCAUCCGGCGCCCGUCCUCCGGCGACGACGACGAGGACGCCGCCACCGCCGCCGCCACCGCAGCGCCGCCCCCGGCGGCGGCAUCCCUCGGCUUGCUCCGCUUGGGCUCCGGCGGCGAGGGCUGCAUGCUGAGGCGCAGCGCCAUCUUCAGGUCCUCCUCCUCCUGAUCCGCCAUCUCCGAACGAACGCACGCCCGCCCGCCCCGGCGCGGGACAAAAAGAGGGGGAAGAGGAAAUCUCGAGAAAGAGCGAGUAAGGUCGGAUUAGGGUUUUCCCCCCACGGGGGCUCCCGCUACUCCAUCCGUGGCUCCGCCGUCGGAUCGGCCGCUGGCCUUGCCGGAGAUCGACGCGGAGAUCGGCGGCGGCGGCGGCGGAAUCAAAGAGGUGGAGGGGGUGGGGAUCGAAAGCUUCCGAUUGAGGACUCGGAAUCCGCUCCGAUUUAAAACCUUUCAGCGACAGGAUCGUCGGGGAAGAAAGGAAUCUCCCUGUUCUUUCAUUUCUCUCUCUCUCUCUCGGUGCCAGCCGCUGGAGGAAAAAACGCCGUCGUUUCGCCCGAGGCAAACGGUAGCUGUGAAAAGAAGUCUAUAAUUAUUAUUACUUAUUUUGAAACAUAGUGACUAAUUUUUUUUUUUUAUGAAUAGAAAUGAAAAUAUUGAUCCGCGAAAUCAAUAAUCAAUGUCAUUUUUAAGCAAUAAAAUAACAAUUAAAAUAUGUCGGGUUUCAAAAAGGAUAGAUUUCUUGGAAUUAAAAAUCAACGGAACCACAAGAAAUUAAUUUUAACAAUAUAGUUAUAAAAAGUAAUUUCAUAAUAGGUUUUUUGGCGAAAUUAAGAUCAAAGUUGCAUGGACCGAUUCACGAGCAAGAGAGACGCCUCUUUCAUGUCUCCGUUUGCAUGUAAUAAGGUUUAUCGAUGACAAAAAAGAUGUGUAUUGUAAUCGUUAAUUUUUCUCAUUUUUGUGGAAGGUCACGUAAAAGGAAAAUGCAGAUUUGAUGCCUUUUAUAGAAUUAGAUUGAACCAGUGUCUAAUGCUGAUAUAAAACCUCUUAUAAAUAUUGAAAGGGCAUUCAAAUCCUAUUAUUCUGGCCAAAAAGGAAAAUGCAAAUAAUGCAUUUUUCAAUUUUCGUCUACAAUAGUUUUUUUCUCUCUCUCGCUCUCCACCUUUUACUUUUCUUCUUUUUCUUAUUUAUUUUAUUCCACCAUUUUCCUGUCCCCCUUCCUCUCCGCUUCUUCCUUCUUCCCCGUCGAACUCGAUUCGCUCGACGGAUCUCCUCCCGACCCGUUCAACCCGAAGCGAGCGAAGAUCUCCUCGCCGCGCCUCCGAUUGCCGCCGCAGCCGCCGCCGGAAUGUCGAGCGACAGCGACGACCUCGACGAGGACGAGCUCCUCCAGAUCGCCCUCAAGGAGCAGGCGGAGCGCGAUCUCAGCUACAAGAAGCCCGGCCCCACCCCCCGCCGGCCGGUCGCGAAUUACGUCCAGCCGCCCCCCGCGCCCCACCAGCAGAGGAGCCACGCCCCUGCCGCCGCCGCCGCGCCGCCGCCGCCCGCGAGGGCGAGCUACAACGGCGGCGCGCAGCGGCAGGUCGGGGUCGGCGGCGGCGGCAAGGGCAAGGGCGGCAGCAGUGGGAAUAGGAGGGUGGUCGACGACGACGACGAUUCGGAGGUUGAGAUGCUGAGUAUAUCGAGCGGGGACGAGGAUUCUGCUAAGGAUCGCGCGGGGUCGAGGCCCAGAGGUGGCGCGAGUGGUGGUUCUAGGACCGGUAGGGACGAUGACAGAGCGUGGGAUGGCGAAGAACCUGAUUGCUGGAAGCGCGUGGACGAAGACGAGGUGAGUUCGAGAUGGUAAACCUUAAUUAUCCGGCCUUGCAGCGAUUCUGAAUGAUAGCAGAAGCUAUUAAACUGAAUGUUAUGUCGAUGUCUUGUUAUCUUCUGUUUCUUGUUCUGUAAAGAGAACGAAGUCACGUGUGAUUUUUUGCUACAAAAUGAUUGUUUUGGGUUAAAUUCUUGUCCCUAACUGCCAAGGUUCUCAGAAUUAUAGAAAUGGUGAUUCGGUCUUCAGUUGAAAGUUGCUCUUUUCCGACAGCUUGCUCGAAGGGUUCGUGAUAUGCGGGAAACAAGGGCAGCACCUGUAGCACAAAAACUGGAAAAGAAAGCAUCGGUAGUGGGUAUUAAGGGGCUGAACACUUUGCAGUCUUUCCCUCGUGGCAUGGAAUGUGUUGACCCCCUUGGUUUGGGGUAAUUUUCUGCUCUCUCUCUCUGCGUGCAAUUGUUCUAGGGCCCUGAGGUGAGCGGCAUUGUGCUCGCUUUAUUCUGGCCUUUUUCCCUGCUGCUUAGUUUUCAUUGUUUUCUCAUGUUAAGCGAGUUGUUGUUUGUAAGACACCAUCAGAGCUCUGCUUCUGUUUUGGAGCGAGCAAAUUCUGUUUGGAUCGCAUUUAAAGGCGAUUCGAACCUGUGUGUUCCUAUUUUUACCUGUACUUAUUUACAGUUUCAUUAAGAAUGAUGAAGCUAUGUAGAUAUUGACUAUCCCAUAGUAUAGAGUUUUGUGAUCUAGUCCUUUGAUUGCUUUUGCCUUUUGCACAUUUUUCCUGACAGGAUAAUAGACAACAAAUCGUUACGGUUAAUUACAGAAUCAUCAGAAAGUUCUCCGUCAAAGAUUGGCAAAGAUAAUGUGGAUAACAUCCUUCGUGGUACUUUUUUAUCUUCAAUCACAUUUUAGUAUGACUAUCUGCUAGUGGAUGCCCUCUUUGGAUGUUGUCCCCUUCCUACAUUCAUAUACAUUGUCCUGCAAACAGCUGACGAUUGACCCAAUAGUGUUCCUUAUUGUAUGCAAGCGCUAGCUUACUCUCUGCAGAACUACUUUACUAAGAAGUCUUUCAUUGACAGUUUUUCUUCAUUAAUGCUCUAGCACAUUUUUUCCUAGAUUUCUCAACCUGACGUCCCUCGUUUUGGGUGUAAAAUGCAUGUUGCAUAACAGAUCUCAGAAAAUUGUGAAAAAAGUAUAGAAAUCUCUAAAACUUCUGUUAAACUAAAAUAUUAGCAAAGUUGUGGACCUUAUGGUUGCAUUUUCAUCGUUGUUAAAUGAUCCUGUCAUAUGAAGUGACUGGAUUCAAGCACAUUUACUCAGCAUAAGGUAACAAAUGACAUUAUGCUUUCAUGUGGAGCUUUCCUUAGGAUGGAUGGUUUUGAAUUUUGAACAUUGGACACUCGAAUGAACUCUUCUCUCCAAUCUAUUUGCUGAAAAUAUUCUCUACUGGUCUAAUAUUUCACUCUACCAACUGUUAAAUAAGGUGAUAUUUUACUUCUAAAUCUCUGAAACCGUUCUACUAAUGUUGCACUAACUAGAAGAGAUCUGUGGAGCGAAGGGGAUGGUUCUUUGACCCUGGUAAAAACUUAAUGGUUUCUUUUUGCUGUUGUCCAUGUAUUUCCAAUCGCUCAGGACAGCUAUAUCCCAGAACUAUUCAUUCACUGGCAUCUUAGCCGAAGAAUGACUAACAGCCUAGCUUCUUCUGGAAAGAAAAACAUAAUUAGACAAAAUGUGCUUCUUUUGUCAGUUUAUAAAUGUAUAGCCAGGUGUUAUGCAUAGAACUCUGCAUAUGAAACUGUUAUUUGCUGUGAAUUCUUUCAGGUGUAGAUUUUCUCUUAUCUAAUUCCAAAUGGGCAUAUCUCCUGUUAUUACUUCUCUUUUGCCAAAUUGAGAUGAACUGAGAGACGUUAAGUAAGAGCUUGGAUAAGUAAACCUAUUAUUAAUUUAUUUGAGAAAAGAAAUGGCCAGUUGGGGUAGUUUGAACAUGUGCGAUUGCUACUUUUAAAUGAUCCAUUGGGAGCAUGUGGUUCUACGAUGGAGAUGCAUGUUAUAAAGGGAUCGGGAAAACCUAAAACGACUUGAAAGGCGAGUACAACAAAAGAUUCCAAGAUGUUGGAUUCACUGCUAAUUUGAUACAUUAACAAGUGGAAUGACGGAAGAGGAUCCCCAUAGUUAACCUUGUUUAGCUUCUGGCCAGAAGAAAAAGGAAACAGUUAGCAGGGUAAACCAUGGUUCUAGGAAGACCUUAUUUCCAACAUUAUUAAUUCUUCAGUUUAUUUGAAAGUUGUUAUCAUAUGGCCUCAACAGAACAACAGCAAUUUGAGCAAUAAUUUGAGCGUGCUUUGAGCUUCUUUCGUAGGCCUUGUCCAAUACUUCCAUCAUGUCGUCUGCGUUUGUCUCCCGCUGGGCAUUUCGCAUAGAUGUCCAGCAGAAUUAGAAGUCUUAUAAAAGUCAGAAGUGGCUUGGUGAAGCAUGCUUUUGUCCAUGUUAUGUAAAAGUAUCUCUUGAAGCAUGAAUAUGAGCUUGCAUGGAUACUACUCAACGAGCCUCGUUGCAAGACUCGUGCUCAUAUUCUUGAGCCCCUCAACAUAUAUUAUAUUUUUCAUGAUUUGCUCCCAGUAGAAGCAAAAAGGCCAUUGCUAAAAAGGAAAAGUCACAUCAUUAGGAUCCUAGUUUAGUAGAGAGUUUGGUGUUUAUGGUAAAUCCGCUUGUCAAGCUUACAAUGCUUUAUUGCUUUACCUGAUCGACUAGUCAUUGCACAGGUGAGACUGCAUGUGUAAAUAUUUUGUGGAUUCAGUAAUCUAUUUCUUGCAUCUUAUUUUUGUUUUGGAAUCUUCAUCGAUUGCUUCUUUUAAGUGUGAGCAAUACUGGUUCUUUGGAGCUGUUUUUUGGAUCUUAAUUUAGUUGCCAUAAUUGACACCAACCCCUUGCAGAGAAGCUGAUGUACUUCUCGGAAAAUUUUGAUGCUAAGAUUUUCUUAUCCCGGAUACACCAAGAUACAAGUGCAGCAGACUUAGAGGGUGGUGCUCUUGCUCUGAAAACUGAUCUUAGAGGAAGGACUCAACAGAGAAAGCAAUUGGUUAAAGAAAACUUUGAUUGCUUUGUCUCAUGCAAAACCACAAUUGAUGGUAUGCGGUGAUCCUGCCCAAUCUGAGGGCCUAUCUCUGAUUCUUUCAAGCUACUAUUUUUGCUGCAGUGGGGAUUAUAUUACUUGUUUAAGUAAUUAUGCCUGCCAAUUUCGUCAGUUUAUUUGAUUUGAUGAGUUAAAUGUUAAUUUUGUUAGACAUUGAGUCGAAACUAAAACGGAUUGAAGAAGACCCUGAAGGCACAGGGACUGCUCACCUAUUUAAUACUAUUCAAGAUGUAAGCUCAUUGGCUAGUCGUGCUUUCGAGCCUCUCUUUGAGAGACAGGUCAGUAGCAACAAUUGCUGCUCAUGCUUUCUGCAUACAUACCCUUCAUUGCGAGAGGUACUAUAAGUGAUCAAUGACUUGUUGAAUUUAAAUAUAGGCUCAAGCUGAGAAAAUUCGUUCUGUCCAAGGAAUGCUUCAAAGAUUUCGAACUCUGUUCAACUUGCCUAGUACAAUUCGUGGAAGCAUCAGUAAGGGAGAGUACGACUUGGCAGUUAGGGAAUACAAGAAGGCGAAGUCAAUUGCUCUACCAUCUCAUGUAAGAUUUUUAUGGAGCCUUGUUAUAUUGCCGGGACUGAUCCACUCUCUAGUUGGGUGGUCUUUUAGUAAAAUGCAAGUUCUGCAACUAGGAUGAAAUGUGUGUGGAUCUCUUCUUUAUCAUUUAGCUGCACCAGUGUUGUGACAUUCUUUGGAGAAUGGUUCUCAUGAAAGAUUAAGGAAGCAAUGGAACAUUAUUACCAUAGCCUCAGCUCUGCUGACUGAGAAGUUUUGCACUUUAGAAUUGUUGUAGCAGAUGGACAACAUCUCCCCUAUGCAUAAGUUUUUCUCCCUGUAGGGUGGCCUCCUAGGUGGAUAUAAAAUCAAUCUGGAGUAUCGGCAUUUUUCGGGGCAUCAAACUGGGUGUCUAAAGAAAAGAGGGUACGCCAGGCAGUCAUCAUGAGAAAAUCUAAAAGAACAAAAGUACGAGUUUGCUGUAUCUGAAAAUGAGAGAGACAACUUUAUUUUUGUAAUGGUUGAGUGAGGAACUCUUGAGAACGAUUUUAGUUUCUCCCUUAUAAAAAUGUCCUUGUUCCUUUAAUAAGGAGAAAAUGGUAGUUGGGAUAAAUAAUAAAGUACUUUGUGGUAUACUUAACAAAAGUUUGAAGUGCAUAAAUAUCUUGUUUGUUUACUUGUGGUGCAACUUUUGACCAAGAUCUCCACCCCCCCCCCAAAAAAAAAUCCUCCUUCUGCCCUCACAAUAUAAUUAAACUUGGAAGUGCUCUUGCAAGCUGCUUUUUCAUUAAAAAGUGACUUCUGUGGGUUGUCUUUUUCCCCCUUAAGGGAAAUGAAAAGAGUCCCCUGCAUCAAAGUCUUGGUAGAGCCCGAUUUAGUGACAAGAUGUUGUCUCCAUCCAUUUUGGCUGCGUCUUGUUACCAGUCCAUUUAAGGUCAUAUAAUGUAUAAACGGGACAAUAUCAUAAUGUGGUUCUAUAACAAAUAAAUUGGCUACAAACCAAAGAUAUGCAGCUUUAGCCUAUUUGACUUGUUCUUUUGUGGUCUUGAAUGACUUCCUUUCUUUAAUAAAACCAUAUCUCAUCUUCAAUGCCUACAGGUGGGAAUACUAAAACGUGUACUUGAAGAGGUUGAAAAAGUGAUGCAGGAGUUCAAAGGUACACUGUACAAAUCUAUGGAAGACCCUCACAUUGAUUUAGCAAAUGUAAGUUCCUCUUCUGUCGUUUUAUCUUUAAUUCUAUUUUUCCCAAGUAAGAAGCUGUAAACUCAAGUGAGGAUGGUAAAUAACAUGCAUACUUGGCUUCUGCAUUUCCUUGCAACUGAUAUGUACUGGAAAGUAAAAAAAGGUUGUUUCUUUGUAGUCAUAGUUAGAAAAUAGAGAAAUGCAGCUCUUCUCAGAUUAGUGUGAUUGGUAGAAAAAAAUGUUGGUCGGUAUAAAGGACUUCCUCUGAAACAAGGCUGUCUUAUUUUGGUAUCAACAUAGUCAAAUGACAUACCAAUCAGAAAAAAAAAACAUAGUCAAAAGACAUGCUCAAUGAUGCCUCUAUACGUUCGUCAGGUACCAUGAUCAUUUAACCGCUGCCUGAAAAGAAAAAAAUCCUUCAUAGUGUCAUUCACCUUGCUAGGGAAUGACAAUUUUGGCUUAAAUAUGGCAGAAUAGCCAAAAAUAUGACGUGUAGUCUAGCCAGCUCGUCUGGUAGUGAGCUUAGUUCAGUUGGCUUAUCAUUGUAAUUUCUACUAUGUAGAGAUCAUGGGAGUGAAGUGAUUAUGGAUCUGGGAACAUACAGUCGCAAGGCCAAGUUUGGCUGAUGGUUCUCUCAGCUGUGGGAAUAUUUAAGCUAUUUCAAUUGCUCCUUGUUUAAGCUCAGAUGGGAUUUUCCCAGAGGUCAUAGAGGGUUGUGUCCUCCCAUCCCUUGUGUCAUAUGAACAUGUGCCUUCGUUAGGGAAACUACUAUAAGACUAGUGUGAUGAACAGGUUGAAAUUAUUGUUUUCAAAUUUUCAGCUUGAAGUUAUCUACAUAAAUGAACGUUGUUCUAAGUUUUUCAUUAAUUAAAUGAUCCACUUCAUAUAAAUAAUAUCAAUAUGAAGGCCGCGUUAAUUGUUGGGGCAUAAUUUUGGAAUCACUAUGUUUGUUUCAGUCAUAGAAACAAUUAAUCAAUUUCAUUUGUUUUUUGUUCACAGCCUGAUUUUUUUUGUUUUUUUGUCAUGGAGGAUGACAUGCUUGUUUACUCAGUUUUCAAAUAAUAUGUAUUACUGAAUAAACCAAAAAUAACUCAGAUAUUAUUUUGUUUUAUUGUAUUUAUUUAAUUUUAAAUGCAUGUCAUUUUUCUAUCCCAAACACAGUGAAUUCGAAGAUUUAAAGUUACACAACAAGAAUAAUUGAGUAGUAUCUAUAUGAGCAUUGAAUAAUUUAUGUGUAAGAAAGAGUACUGAUUCUGGAGAAGUUAAUCGGUAAUGUGCUCUUGUGGUCACUCCAUGUGGUGUGGUCACGUGAAUACAUCACCUACUUAUACAGAUUAUCGAUUUUCAUUUUGUUACUAAAUUAAAUUAAAUAAGAAAUCACAUAUUGCUGUUUUAAAGUACUUGCUGUGGCUUUUAUCCACAUGUUUUGAUUGGACAAGAAAAAGGCAAUUAAAUUUUUCCUACCAUGUCUUUUGCCUUUAGGAAUAGAAAAGACUUUGAUAGUAGCAAUCAUCAGCUGAUACUUUUGGAACUUUUUAAGCUUGUCUUUUGCUGCGUUAUGCAAAUCACUUUGUUCUUUAAGGUGUUGGUCUUUUGAUUGGUUUGCUCUUGGCUGAUGGCUUGUAAUGUUUUUUGUAGCUUGAAAACACAGUAAGGUUGUUGCUAGAGCUGGAACCGGAAUCUGACCCUGUAUGGCAUCAUUUGAAUAUCCAGGUUUGUAGAUUUAUGUCCUUGUCAGAAUGUGAUUUUCCUUUUAUGGAAAUUGUAAGCAUUAUCUAUUAAUGAUUUUCUUGUGAACUCAAAGACGAUAAUUCAGCUUGACUUGCCGAGGUUAUGAACUCUGGAGAUUCUUUUUCUGCCCAUCCUUAAGGGUCUCUGCUAGCCAUUUAUCAACAGGGCUGAUGAAACUUUCCAAUCCCCUUAUGUAGCCAAAACAAAACAAUAAAUAAAGAGCAUGAAUAAGAGGGAAUCAACAAUUGGGCACUUUCUGAUUAGAUUUAUCCUUCCAUAUCUCUAGAAAAGUGAACUCUUCCCCCUCAACAGCACUAUUUCUGACUUUUCCAGAAUCAAAGAAUUCGGGGUUUGCUAGAGAAGUGCUCCUUAGACCAUGAAGCAAGGAGGGAGAAUUUGCAAAACGAGCUGCAUGAAAGGGCUGUUUCUGAUGCAAGAUGGAGGCACAUUCAGCAAAAUCCAAAUGAGCCCGUAAGCUCACAAUCUGAAGUACUAGACUAAUCAUCAUGUUGAAGUGGCAGAGGGAGAUCAUUUAUGUUGCUAAUGAGGAUUUCUUCUUACAGUCAGAUGACAAUAGUCCCAAUCCUGGCAAUAUCAACAUGUUGGUAGAUGCAGAGUCACUAGACAUGGCAGGCGAAGAAGUUGAUGCUCUCAGAGGAAAAUAUAUCCAUAGGUUGACUUCUGUUAUUGUCUAUCAUGUACCAGCAUUCUGGAAAGUAGCUCUUUCUGUUUUCAGCGGGAAAUUUGCAAAGGUAUUCCUUUCUAAUCUUCAGUUGAGAUUCUAUACUUGAUACGGGUCAAUACUUUGCGACAUUCUCAAUUUAGCAGUUUGGCGCUCAAUUUCAGCAUUAUGUCCUCUACGUAUUCUCUGAUAAGAGGAAUCAUACCAGUAUAGAGCUGUCGCAUUAAGUGGGAUGACAGUGUGUAGCUAGUGAGUUUCAGGAUUUAUUUAUAUUUGUAUAUGUCAAGAUUUAAGGAUUGCAAGAGAGAAGGUCACAGAAAGACGACUAAAGUGAUUAUCAAAUAUAAGAGUACAUAAGAUGCUCUAUGUAGAGAGAGUGAAACAUAAAACUGACUACCUUGCUUAAUAACUUUUUUACUAGCUGAUGACUAACACUAUUAAAUAUACUUCAACAGUGUAACAUUUAUCUGAUAGAACUACUUCAGAAUUUGUAAAAUCUGGCAAGUAUAUUGCUAGUUGCGGAUAGCAGUGUGCUUAGGUGAAGGGAAUCCACUCCUGAGUAAGAAAGAAGAGCCCCUUUAGCGAGCUACUUCAAAUUAUUUAAAGUUUUAUCAGAUUGGGUCAUUUUCAGGUUGAAUGUCUCCCACUUGCUUGGGUCAACCACAGGUUGAUCUUCCCCUUUGCUGUUUAUGAUUAUUUACGGUUUCAUGGCAAAGCACAAUUAGAUUAUUUAAUGAGAUAAGGAUACUAUCGCUAUGGCAAUUUCUGGCCAUAAUUACAUUGUUUCCUGGUUUGCUCAUUGCUGAUGUUUGCAUUGGAUGGGCUGUUGGAUUGAAAGCUUGUUUGUGUCGAGUGUCAUUUUGAACAUUCUUGCAUCAGCUUCAGAGUUAGUUUAGAACUCUCAGUUCCUUGUUACGUAACCCUUAUUUUAGGGAGUCCACAACCAGCUGAUUCCUCUAAGACCUUAUUGUGAUUAUUUCUCAGUAGUUGUGCUUUGCCACCAAAAGAGGAAGUGAAUUUUGCUUAGGAGUUAUUAUAUGUUCCCCUUAUGCUCUAUCCCUCUGUUUGUGUCUGUGGGUGGGUGGUGGUUUGGUGGGGGUGGAAUUGACUCUGCAGGUGUAAAAGUAGGCAUGGGUCAUGGUGCAUCCAUGCACACGUCAGUGCAUGUGCUCAUCCAUGUGACAUGGGCAUGUGCGUCAGCAUCCUUGUGUACUUGUUGGCAAUUUAGAAAAGACACUUUGUAAUUUCUCUGUUUGAAUGGACUUGAGAACUGACUUUAUUAUGGUCUUAAUGUCCCAGUCUUCCCAAGUUUCCGCUGAUUCAAACAUAAACAGCACUGGAAAUAAACCCGAGGAAAAGUACUCAAGCCAUUCUCUUGAGGAAGUUGCUGGCAUGAUACGGCAGACCUUAUCAGCCUAUGAAGCAAAGGUAUUUCUUUUGCAUUUUGAUAGUGAAUUUUUGGCAAGUUCCUGGACAUUUUGGACAGACAUCAGCAUUCUAUCCCCUGUUCCGAGAAUGUUAUGUAUUGCAAUGAAUAUUACGUUUUGGAUGAGGCUGAUCUUUAGCUGACAUUUUGAACUCAAUAUUUGAUUAAAUAAAAUAUUCCACACAACUUUCUAAAUUAGAGGAAUGGUUCAGCGAAUUUUUGGCUGCUUUAGGUCCUAUAUUGCUUUACGUAUAUUGGAGGUUGUGAUCUCGUUCUUAUAAUUGUUUGAAGUUGAUUACUUCAUGUAAGUUGAUGUGCAGCUAAACACAUAGAUGUACAUACUCUAUAAAGUUCUUAUGAACAAUCAAUUCUGGUACAAACUUUCUUGUUCAUCAGAAUCUACGUAUUUUAUGUUUAGUUAAAAGUUAUUUUCUUUCUCAGGGUUGUAUUGAUAUUUGAGUCUACUAAAAAAAAUGAUUACUUACGUCGUGCUUACUGUUUACCUAGUGGCAGCUUAUUAAGCAUGAAAUGUUAUCUUGCAUGUGAUAAAAUAUUAUUGAGCAAGGAUUGUUCCCUCCAUAUUGACUUGCAUUGGUGAUAAUGAACUUACAGCUAAAAAAGAAGAAAAUUAUUUAGAACACCGUGAUUCUAUUCUAGUCUUUUAGGCUUGUGCGGCUUAAUGUUAAGAGCUGGUCUGAUAUUGGUGGUGAGCCUAUGUGGCAUCUUUACUUUCAUUGUGGAUUCCCAUUAAUGCAAGACUUGAGAUAUAUAACUUUCUAUUGAGGAAUUAUAUACUUUUGAUUGGGAAUACAAGCUUCUGCUUGAAUGAAAUCUUGACGGGAAUUUUUGCUAUGAAAGCAUCAUUUUGUAAACUCUCUGAUAUUGGCAUUGCUGGCCAUCUUUGGAUUAAAGAAUCAUAUCACCAAAAAGAUGUGACAAGUUAGUUCAGUCGACAAUAAUUCCGAUGAUAACAUAAGAUCCUAAAGGAGUCCUUUGGGAUGAGGCUGGUAGAUUAGAUCAGGUUCAUUUCAAUUUAUGGCUUGAAUGAUCUGUGACUUCCAACGAUGACAGCAUCACCGGUUUGUGGGGAGGAAGGCAUAAGAGCAAGUCCACUUCUAUACUGGAUAGCAUUUAAUUUAACAAUCUAAUUGAUAUAUGAAGAUGCAUGUGGACAUUCGGUCAUGCUGAGAGUACCAGUGGGAGGAAGUUGAAGCCUUAAGGCCCUGGUUGAUUACAUAGACUGGACUUGAGGGAAUGGGAUCUUUCUCCUAAAUUGUUUGGUCACCUGUAAUUAAAGGGAAUGGCAGGUGAAAUUUGGGAAUAAAAAGGGCUCUGUUACCAUAUUUUCAAUCACAUGGAGGAACGUGGGUUAGGGUUGGGAAUAAUUGAGUUGUGAACUCAUAAAAAGGAAAGUUUGCAGAAAGACUAGUAAUAUGAUUUGGAUUUGACAACUUUAUCAGAAGCAUAUUUUGAUUUGGUAAGUAUAUUAAUCUACAUAAACUGUAUGGCAAGUGACAAACAGAAUAUCAUACCAUUUAUAGUUUGCUAUCUGAUUCUGACUUUAUGUCAAACAUGGUGAUUCAGACAUUACUUACCAUUUCAAUUACUCAAUUUCAUUCCUAUUUCUUUCAAUCUAUUCUGCUCAUCUCAUUGUUGCUAACCAAAUGGGGCCUCAAUGGUUUAUGACUAUAGUAAAAAAGUGUACGAAUCCCUUUAUUAAAAAAAAAAAUGUUUUUAUUUAUUUAUUUUAGUGGUGGGACCCGUCAGGGAAAAAAAUUGUUCUGUUGCCUGAUCAUGUUCCUUAUGUCAAUCUUCUAAUGGUACCGACUCUCAGAUUUUACGAAAGGAAUAGCGAGAUCUGCUUCUAGGCUUCUGCUCUUUUUGCUUUGUAAUAUACUUACCAGAACUUUAAUGUACAUUUAGGUUGAACUGCUAUCUCAUUGUGCGCUUUUCAAUGGAAUUGAGCAUUCAUUGUCUGUCCAGGUACAUAACACCUUCCGGGAGCUUGGAGAGUCGAACAUUCUCCGGCCGUACAUGAGUGAUGCUAUAAAUGAAAUAUCUAAAGCAUGCCGAAGUUUUGAAGUUAAAGAAUCAGCUCCUCCUAGUGCUGGUAUUUACCUCCUGAAGCUUCAUUCUGUUGACGUCUCCAAUUACUUGAUAAUCUUUGCUUCUUUGCAGUUUCAGCUCUUCGUGCAUUGCAUUCUGAGAUCACGAAGAUUUACAUAAUAAGGCUAUGCUCAUGGAUGCGGUCAAUGACAGAAGAGGCAUCUAAGGAAGAAACUUGGGUUCCGGUGUCUAUACUUGAAAGAAACAAAUCUCCAUACACGAUCUCCUUCUUGCCUUUGGCAUUCCGUGCCAUUGUGAGUUCAGCAAUGGAUCAGAUAAACAUGUAAGUAAUCUAUUGCACUUCAUGUCAAUGCUUUGGCUUAUACAUAAGCAGCUCAGUACUGUCCUACUCCGAUUAGCCCUUGGUUUGUGGGACUCUUGAUUGCCUUCCUUUGAUUUUGAUGGAAGUUUAUGUGUGUCUGUUUGAGGUGUCAUUUUUCAUUUUCAUUUGAUGAAAGGAAAAGAAUUCUCUCGAGGGGAGAACUUUAUUAUGCUCUAUCCAGAACGUGCUAAAGAGAGAAGUUUAUUGGCCGAACUGGGAACAUCAGUUAUGAGGAAAGAGAAGUUUAUUGGCAGAACUAGGAACAUCAGUUGGGAGGAAUAACAUGACUUGGAUGGAAACAUAGACAAACUGACGGAAUAGUAGCUUUUUUAGAUUGAUAAUGACAGAGAUUCUGUUCAUCUCCAUUUAUAUCUUCCACACGAUACAUUGUAGGUUUGUUCUUUCCAAAUCUUUACUGUUGAAGUGUUUUAAUCAGCACCUGGCUUUGCAGUGUCUUUUAGCUAUGUUGGGCAUAAUGAGACCAUUAUUUUUUUGGCCAUGCUGAUUGAUGUAGUUGGUUACAAGGUCACGCUGGAGGAGAUGAAUUUAUUCACCAUCUUGCUUAGACAUGCGUUAACAAUAGGAUUGUAAUAUUUUUUCCUUCCUAACAUUUUAUUGAUGAGAAUCUGGUUUCUCGCAGCUGUCCCCAGAAUAUAAAAGGGGAACUGGCCUCCAAAUCUGCUUUUGGACUAGUUGAAUAGGUCUAGAAUGAGCCUCAAUUCCUUUAAGUUUCAUUUAGAAGCUACUCUCGGUGUUUUUAUCCAAACUCAAACUUUACUGACAUUUCUACCUUUAAUGCGAACAAAGUAUUGAUAGAAACUUUAAGCUUUCCUUUUACCAGUCUUUAGUGAUUUAAAAUAUUGAGUCCACAUCAUGUUCCAUUUUGAAACAUCAGCUACCAUUUCUUGCUUUCGACAGCAAUAGGAAACAAAUCCUAGAGAGAGAAAUUAACAUCUUCAGCCUGCACGUCUUUACUUUUCUAUUAUUUUUCUAGAGGCUCGACCAAACUUUCCCAUCCACCCUUCUUAAUGCCAUAUGUGAAAUUUUCAUUUCAUAUGCUUUGCUUUUCGUCAACUGACCUCCAAAGUCAUUUUUGCAAGUGAGUCUAAGGGGGAGCAUACGAAAUCCCCGUUGUGAUCCAGAAUAUCCAUCUGCACAACUUCUCCAGAGGAAAUUCCUUGCAAAUUACGUAAUCUGGUGGAGAAGGAUGGGGGAAAUAGGACAAUUUUGGGAAGACUAUACAGUUUUUUGUUCUUUUUUUUUUUUUCCAAUGUAGAAGCAUCCCCUUUUGAUAAAAGAACUUCCAAAUGGUCAUUUUCUGUCCAUCCUCUCAAUUAUGUGUUCUAGUUAAACUGAAAUUACGACAUUUGUUCUUUACCAAAAAAAAGAAAAAAUUAAGACAUUUGAGGUUGGGGUGCUUUUUUUUUUUUGGGGGGGGGGGGGUAAUUCUACUCCAUGUCAAGCAAGCAAUCAAGGGCAGUGAAGGAUCCAUCUUUUUCUCUUUUCCUUUUUAUUGGCAUUCAUGACUUUUUUGUUCCCUCUCAUCCGAGUACCUGAUUUCAAAAGUUCGGUGAAUUAUGUUGGCAUUUCUGCCUUUUAAAAAAAAAGAAAAGGAAAUCUCUACAUUCAUAGUGCAGGCCACCCGCAGUAAUUGUUGUCAUGCCGUUUAGUCCCCUUCUUCUGUCCCAAAGAAGAAGGAUUACAAAUGUGGUAUCAUCUGAGAUGCUGUCUUGACUAAAUGGGUCUUCCCAUUUGACUCCCUCCUAUAGUAGGGAUGAAAUAAGAUGAAACUGCCAAUACACCCUUAGAAUGCGUUUCCGGAAACUGUCAUACAGGAAAAGUACACAUUCACAUUCACCUGUUUCGCUGAGGAUCGCUUGAAAAGUAGUUUAAAUAAAGUAUUAUGUCUGUAUGUGGGGCAAAUCUUUUGCUUUCAUGCACCCAUGAUAAACUGAUCGGUAACAAGCAGACAAAAGCAUGUGUCAUUUUCUUGCAAUUAUUUAAAUGAUUCCACAUGUGCUCUAAAAUAUGCUUUAAAUUGUGUUUAUGGCUUUCCUUUUCAGGAUGAUUCAGUCUGUGAAGAGUGAGGCAGCAAAGUCAGAAGAUAUGCUUGUACAGCUCCAAGAAAUUCUAGAAUCUGUUAGACUUGCAUUUCUGAACUGUUUUCUUGAUUUUGCUGGUAUGGUGAAGGUCAUUGCUCACUUUUCAUACUUCAAAAAUUUACAAGCAUCCUUGUUGGUAAUUGUGAUUUAUUUGCAUGCAUCAACCAGGUCAUCUAGAGCGCAUUGGUGUUGAGCUAGCACAGAACAAAUUAGGCAAAGAGAGUCCCUACUUGCAAAAUGGCUACUCAAAUGAACUGGAAGAAAAUAGCUCGACUGAUCUCCCUGGAAGUGCACAUCAGCGGUUAUUAAUUGUCCUCAGUAAUAUUGGAUAUUGCAAGGAUGAGCUUUCUUACGAGUUGAACAACAAAUACAGACAAAUCUGGCUUCAAUCUACGUAUGUCUUUUGCAUAUUGAAAUAUAAAACAUUAUUGAUAGGUUAUCCUAAAUUGCCUAUGGCAGUAAGUUCAGUGUAAAACCGGAAACAAUUUUAUAUAUGUGCUUAAUCACCCAGAUCAGCUCACAUCUUAAGUGCUAUUAUGUUUGAAAUCAGCCUAUUGAUUAAUUGCAAAAGGUACACAUCAAUAAUCUGGCACAUUGGAUUAUAUUUUACUUGUGAGAAAAGAUGGUUUAUGGGGUAAGUUUUUCAUUGGCACUUCAUAUCCUUCUACUUUUUGAGUGAGGCUUCUCUGCAUUUCCUUAGAUGGAGAAUAAUAUCCUGGUAAUAAAUUAGUCAAUGCACAAAGCAAUGUUCUUUUCUUGCUUUUCUUGGUUUUUAAUAGAACUUCUCUUGCCUUUUUAUAUAUUUUGAAUUAUUUAUGCUAUGGAAAAUACUUAUCUAGUCUUCAUUCAGCGUAAAGGACGAAGGGGACAGUGAUAUACAAGAUUUGGUAAUUUCUUUCUCUGGGCUUGAAGAGAAAAUUCUUGAGCAGUAUACAUUUGCGAAGGUAUUGCUUCACAUUCAUCCAUGGUGAAUCUUUGGAUCCAUUCUUGCGAAUGGGUUUCAUGUGCGUAUUUCUUCGUCUUACUUGGUCGUAGGAACUUUUUUUAAUGUCAAUGUUCAUCCCCAAUGGGACUUUGUAAAUGUGAUAUUGUGACUUAAUGGAAGUGAGGCGAUGUGCAAAUCAAACAUAACAUCAUGAAUCAUGUAAUACUUUUUUCUUGGCAUGUCACCUACCAUAGAAGUGUUUAUUGAUCAGUUACUGAGAAUUUUGGUGUCUCUGCAGGCAAAUUUAAUUAGAGAAGCUGCUGUGAGCUAUUUGUUGGAUUCUGGUGUUCACUGGGGAUCAGCACCUGCAGUCAAAGUGAGGUUUUGAACUAAUAUAGGACAGCCAUUUUCUUAACAUUUUUAUAUGCUAAACUUCUUGUCAAGAUCCAUCUUAAAAUUGGUUGUUACUUUGUAGGGUGUGCGGGAUGCAGCUGUGGAGUUAAUGCACACUCUUGUAGCUGUUCAUGCUGAGGUAUGUUCUGCCUCUCUUAUUAUUGUAUAAUUUUACCCCUCCUUGUUCCCACCUACUCCUUUUCAUGGCUAGUGUUACACUCUCUGAUCUCUUCUACUUUUGUGGUUCAUAAGAUGUGAUCUCUAUGGCCUAGGAAGUCAUAUGGAGUGGCAAUCUCAUCUUGUCGUAUCUGGUACUUGGUUAUCUAUAGUUGCUUCAGUAAAGCUUUUCUUAUUGUAUUUGUUACAACAGGUUUAUGCAGGGGCUAAGCCUCUGUUGGAAAAGAUCCUAGGUGUUCUUGUGGAAGGUUUGGUCGAUACUUUUCUUAGUCUCUUUAGUGAGAACAAAGGCAAAGAACUCAGAUCACUUGAUGCAAAUGGUUUUUGUCAGCUCAUGCUUGAGGUAUGAUUUAUUUUGGAACUGACUGAUGCAAUUUUUGCACUUUAGGCUUGCUGGCUGUUUCUUCGAAUUGUAUUGGGAAAGUCAAGACAUGAAGUUUUGUGACGAUGCAUCAGUUUUUGUUGUUUGUUUCAUUGAAAAUAGUUCUAAGGCAGAUGAAACACUGCUCUCUGUAACAGAUUGUUGCUAACAGUCACCCCAUGGAUGUGCUAAUGCGGUUGCAUCCAAAUAGUUAGGCCGGAGGAGAAUUGGAGUAAAAGGAUAACAAAAUAUGGAGCUUAUGUUCCAAAGCUUGUAUGUUUUCCUAGUACUUGCUUUUGCGUGUGGCCCUUAUACCUAACAUAUCCGCUUUUGCUACCACUUGUUUAGUCCUGGUGGAUUAUGUUACGCUGCAAACCAGUUUGCAGUAUAUUUGUGCAGCAACCUACAACAAUAGUGAUCCAUUACCAAUAUGUAAAUUUGUUUCAUGAUUUUUAACUCUUCUUACAUUUGUUUGUCGUUCUCUCUCUGGUUUGCUCUCUCAUUGUCCAGUAUCUUACAUUUCGUAUACAUCCGCCCUACCACUUACUUCAUGCCACGGCCUGCCACCAUCACUGUUGCUGCUGCCAUCAUCAUCAUCUCUCUCUCUCUCUCUCUCUCUCUCUCUCUCUCUCUCUCUCUUUGGGGUUUCCAUCUCAUUAUUUCUUUGUCUCUUCAUUUUUCUGCAUGGUGUGGCAUUUUUUGUCAUAUACUUCUUAUACAUCGUCAGUUUUAGGGAUGAUGGGGAAAUCACUCAAUUUGCUGAACCAACCUAUCUUACAUGUCUACUGCAGCUUGAAUAUUUUGAGUUCGUGUUGAAUCCAUAUUUUACGGCUGAUGCAAGGGAGUCCCUCAAAUCUUUACAAGGCGUACUGUUGGAGAAAGCCACUGAGAGCGUGUCGGAGGCUGCUGAGAAUCCAGGCCACCACCGGCGCCCAACUCGUGGAAGUGAAGAUGCGCUUGCAGACGAAAGGCAGCAGGGGAUGGGUGUAUCGCCAGAUGAUUUAAUCGUAAGGGAUAAUCUUGGUCUUUUUAUGUUUAUCCCCUCGGAGGACGAGGUUGCAAAUUUUAUUUUAUUUAUUUAUUUAUUUAUUUAUUUUUGGGGUACUAUCAUGUUUGAUGCAGCUAAUCUCUACUUUUUUGGCCAAAGUUCCAUGGAGCUAUUUAUGUGAGCCUUUUUCUCAUGGGGAAAUUUGAUAAUCCAUCGGAAAGUGAAUUUUUGGGUUUACCCUAGAAGAUCACAUUAAGCUCUGAUUAACAUCUGAUAUUUGUCACUUUACCUUUAAAGCCUGUCUAUGCAUGAAGGUCAUGUGAAGUGGAUGUUAAACAAAAUUAGUGGGCUGAAAAUUUGUUAUAGAGGUAGAGAGUCAUCAUCUGUCUUAAUAUUUCAUGGUUUGGUUUACAGAAUCAAUGAUAGGUGGUGCAAUUCUGCUUCUGUUUCACUUUCCUUCUCGGUCUCUUCAUCUUCUGAUUUUCUGGGUUUUGAAAAAAGUUUGGUGCAUAAAAGCUUCCUCUCCGUGCUUUUUUAAUUCUACAGGCCCUUGCACAGCAAUAUAGUUCUGAGUUUCUACAAGCAGAGCUAGAGAGGACUCGGAUUAACACGGCAUGCUUUCUUGAGUCAACUGCAUUGGAUUCGGUGCCAGAACCAGCCAGAGCUGCAUACACUCCCUUCAGGGGGUCAGUGAAUUCUCCCAGCAGAAACUACCGAGGCGCAGCUGUGGUUGGAUCGCCAAGUUACUCACGACAGAGGCGUAGAUAAGUUCAUGACAGCUACCCCAAUUUUUUUCUGGGGGGGCUGAGACUUCGUUGUAAUUUGUAUCUUUUUCCAUGUCUAUAUAUGGUUGGCAGAUACCUUAUUCUUUCAUAAGCAGCCUUUCCCCAUCACCAGAUGCCGACUCUGUUCUGAUCGAUUUGUUUUACUUGUUUCCUGCCAAGUUUCUGUUUUGCUGUUUAUAUCUAACUUGAACUCAUAGCUUGUACAUUUCCGGUUUCCUUUUCCCGGCUGGCCCGUCAUAGCUUGUAAAGAAGUUGAGAUGUUCUCAAUAGUCUUUGGAAUGGUUGUCCUCAUUGUUGGUUUUGUAAUGCGAUGUUGUGCUCGAUUCUCAACCUUAGGUUCCCUCUCAUCUGUAUGCCUUAGUUAGAAGCUCUCCGCUGAGAUGGCUCGUCAUCAAUUUCACUAAUCCUUGUCAGGUUGUGGAUGACGUAAUUUACUUACAGCUCCGCCUCCUUUCUCGAUGCUUGUUUAGACGUUUCUCCACUAAUUCUUUAGAAUAUUUUCCGAUUGGCACUUCCAAUUGACAGCGCCCUCAAAGUCGGCUCAAAGGGAAAGCUUCGGCUCGUUCCAUGAUUUUGUAACCCCAGGCGCUGCAAUGGCAAGUUUGGCCCGUGAGCAAUUUGCAUAGGCUGCGUUAUGCAAUCCCAAGUGAUGAACCCACCCAAGGGAAAGGUCAUAUCGACAAGUUCAACUACCCAGGCUCUUCAUACUUGGACAUCUAUAGCCCCUCCAAGCUGAAAAGCAAUCUCACGAAAGGAAAAAUCCCAACCUUUUCAUUAUUCAAAAGACUAAUUGAUAAUUUUGCAAGAAAAAUAAUCUGAUCAUUCACCUUCCAACGGGUGCCUAUAUUCUUUCCCCACAAAGACAAAUUUGUAAGACUAGCUUCGGAGUUUAUUAAUCUAUGCUAAAGUAGAAAGCUGACAUCACAUGAUUUCCUAUCCAUAUGAAUAUCAUGCGAGUCUCUAUUCAUAGAAUCAUCAAUUUGCAUAUGUAUUCACUGAUGUCAUGCACACUUUCGCCAUGGAACGAGUUAGAUAACCGCACUCAAUAAUGUGUGCAAUAUGGAAAUUGACUUUCUCUGCCUGCGCACCAUUCGCAAAGGAUUCAGUUCUUCCUUGCCGCCUUUUCCUUAUUUUCCUCACAAGUUAGGAGACACAAAUAACAGCGAGGGAACCAUAGGGCUCUCGUGCGGAUUCCCGACGCCUGUUAGUAGGUCGUGUGCUAAAAAGAAUGAACCGUACAACUCUCCUGUGGAGGCUGCGCUAUAUAUCGACUCCACCGGUUUUAUGUGAGUGCCCAAUGGAGGAAGGGGAGUAGGUUUGGGCGUUGGAAGGGACUUUUCCAUCUGUUCUAUCAAAUUAAUAUUCUGCUGAGUCGAAGGACGGCGUACAAAUAACACGAUCCAACCAAUGACUAAAGGAUGAAGACGCCAUUGCGAGUCAAACGUUUGAAGCCAUUCUUUUAUUUGCCUUGUGCUUGCCUUAUGUAUGGUAGUAUAUUAUGAUAGCGAGAUCGGGCGCCUGAGAAAGAAAGGGACAAUGUUGUUUAUCGAUGUAAACACCGAGACGAGAAUGGAUAAUGACCCCAAGGAAACGAAUAGGACAACACCGGGCAUUGUAGACCUUGAUGAUUUUGCUUGGGGCGACCGUCCGCGAAUCACUCCACGUCCUCGUUCAUCACUAGGCGGGAAAUUCGUCCUAUGGUGGGGCGUUAACCUUGUUCCCAGAAUGUACCCAAUUGUCUCUCGCAAAGAGAUGCUGCCGAAAAUCUCUAUAGCAACAAAGGACAAGGGAGAAUAUACCAAAGCAAGCACUUAUCUUGAUCAUUAUAAAGCCUCCUGUUGCUCCUCUCUGGCAUUUGCAGGUGCCUUUUGUGUUUUAGAAGCUCACAGAAUAUUUAGCUAUGGAGUUCAGCGUCCUGGCAAUGUUGGUGCUUCUGGUCGUGUUUGUAGUCUCGGCAGUUUUUCUUCAUUUAUGGAGAUCGCCAAAAGCAAUGGAGGACAUCCCGGGAACCUUGGGUUGGCCGAUCAUUGGUGAAAGCUUCUCCUUCAUAUCCGACUUUUCGAGUCCAUCUGGUAUCUACAGUUUCAUGAAGAAGAGACAAGAAAGGUAAUCAAUCAAGGACCGAGAGUGAGACAGCUUAUCAGAACUUCAAAAUCAGAAUACAUUACCUACAUGAUAUGUGCAUCUGUCAACAGGUAUGGGAAGGUGUUCAAGUCCUUUGUCUUGGGAAGGUUCACUGUCUUCAUGACCGGGCGAGAAGCGAGCAAGAUUCUAUUGACGGGAAAAGAUGGGAUGGUGAGUUUGAACCUCUUCUACACCGGGCAGCAGGUUCUUGGCCCCACAAGUCUUCUCCAGACAACAGGGGAAGAACACAAGCGGCUUCGACGGCUUAUUGCAGAACCACUAUCCAUUGAUGGCCUGAAGAAGUACUUCCAGUUCAUCAACGCCCUCGCCAUAGAAACAUUAGAUCAAUGGGAGGGACGAAAAGUUUUAGUUCUUGAGGAGGCUUCUACAGUUAAGUGUCCACAAAAAAGAUCUCAAGAAAUUCUGCUUUGAUCGCUCUGCACUUAGACAUAAUAGUAAGAUAUAUCCUUUGUGCAGUUCACUCUCAAGGUAAUUGGCCACAUGAUCAUGAGCUUAGAACCAAAAGGCGAAGAGCAGGAGAAAUUCCGAUCCAAUUUCAAAAUAAUUUCCUCUUCAUUCGCAUCCUUGCCAUUCAAAGUACCAGGAACUGCAUUUCAUCGUGGAAUUCAGGUAAUUUUUUUCCCAUGUACACGGACUAUACUCACGAUAGAACGAAAGACUUUGUCUAGUUACUUUCCGAAUAUAACGAUUCAAAAAAAUCAGGCUCGAGAUAGGAUGUAUAGCAUGUUGGACAACGUUAUUUCUAAAAGGAGAGAAGGACAAGGCUUCCAAAAUGAUUUCCUGGAGUCCCUGAUAAUCAAGCACGGCAAAGCAGCAGACAGAGAAGCCGACAAAGACAAGCUAACUGACAAGCAAAUGAAGGACAAUGUACUAACUCUUCUAGUUGCUGGUCAUGACACGACCACCGCUGCUCUGACUUGGCUCAUGAAAUUUCUCGGAGAAAACCCUCAAGUUCUGCAACGGCUCAGGGUACUCCCAUUUUGCGAUGAACUCUGUUAAAUUGAAAUCGUGACCUAUGAAUACUGAAGAACUGGGCUGUAUGCUUCGUAUACAGGAAGAACACAUGGAAAUUCAAGCGAAGGGCAAGGGUGGAGCGAAUCUAUCUUGGAGUGAAGUUAAUAACAUGCCUUACACCGCUAAAGUAAGCAAGACAUUAGCUUUAUCACGUUAACUAUCCUACUGAAAACUGGAAGAUGUAGAAAUUUCUUUUAACUUGGUAUUUCAGGUAAUAAGUGAAACUCUAAGGAGAGCCACGAUAUUACCUUGGUUCUCAAGGAAAGCUGCUCAGGAUUUUGAGAUUGAUGGUAUGCAUCCCAAUGAAAAGACAAAACACGCUGAUCAGAAAAAUGCAAUUUCAAGAUGCUUACUAUUGCUAGCUCUUGGUCUUUUACAGGAUAUAAGAUCGAGAAAGGUUGGUCGGUGAACCUGGAUGUUGUUUCUAUUCACCAUGACCCGGAAAUUUUCCCUCAACCAGAAGUUUUUUACCCUUCCAGAUUUGAUGUAAGCAUUUUUCUGUCGCUACAUCGUGUAGCUCACUUUUUAUUUCUUACUUCCAGCUGAUUUUUUUUUUUUUUUUUCUUUUUGAUUGANNNNNNNNNNNNNNNNNNNNNNNNNNNNNNNNNNNNNNNNNNNNNNNNNNNNNNNNNNNNNNNNNNNNNNNNNNNNNNNNNNNNNNNNNNNNNNNNNNNNNNNNNNNNNNNNNNNNNNNNNNNNNNNNNNNNNNNNNNNNNNNNNNNNNNNNNNNNNNNNNNNNNNNNNNNNNNNNNNNNNNNNNNNNNNNNNNNNNNNNNNNNNNNNNNNNNNNNNNNNNNNNNNNNNNNNNNNNNNNNNNNNNNNNNNNNNNNNNNNNNNNNNGAAAAAAGGAAAAAAAAAAAUUGAUACGGUUGAUGUGUUUGUGUCUGAGACUAUGCUUGAUGAAUUUCUCAAGCGUUAUGCGAGUGUAGAACUUGUUCCGACAAUCUCGAUCUUCUUGACAGGUGGACUCCUCUGGAGAGAGAUGACUCAGUCCAGCCUACUCUAGUAAGGAUGCCCAAGAACAAGUAUCCAGUUCUUGUCGAGCCACUGUAGAUGUAUUUGUUGCUUCACUUGGCAAUUUGGCACAGAGCCAUAUAGCCAAGGAAAGAAGCGACAUGGGGAAUUCGAACUUCAUUGUUAUGACCUGAUCGUCAAUGCAAUACCAAUAUGCUAAGAAUGACAAACUCACUGGGUAAAGGUAGCUAUAAGCGAACGCUUGCCCAGGAGCACAUUGUAUGACAGAAAAUGAGAAUAAGAAUGUCUGAAGCAGUUUAUUUUUCUUUAGACUAUAUCUUGCUGAACAACUAUCUUUCGCUACGAUCCUAUUACUCUAGCCUGUUAAUCAAACGAACAAAUGCAACUCCAACAAGCUUAAUCGCUGAGGGUGGACAAAUGAGUAAAGAUUGGAGAUAUGUCUCUAGUGAAUGAAAUUUUAUCCAUUGAUGCCCGCACAUAAGCAAAUAGGAGAGCCCGGCCGGUUCACCUCGGAGAAUAAAGGUGCUAGAGAUAUUCAAAAUCAGGAUACUGAAGUUUGAAUACCAUUUUUCCUUGAACAGACAAAAAUCUAGGCUACCAGAAAGAUAGUUCUGGACACCCAAUAGAGGUGUUGUGUCAGCUCCAGCUCGAGCUCCCAUUUAUCAGGAGGCAAGCAUUAAUGCAAAAAUCAGAGGCAUGGAAACCUGCUUCCAUUGUAUUUAUGGAUAGUUUAUUGCAGUAGGAAGGUUUUUUUGGUUGCAAAUUGAUAAAGGUAUGGUAACUUCAAAAGGCAGCAAUUUCAUCUAAAUGAUGCCAUAACUAAAUAGGUUUUAAAUUUCCUGUAAUUAGCAUCUUCUUCCCUUUUUGCUAACAGAAAUUAUGCAGUCUCGGAUAUAAGUCGAGGAAGGUCAACAUAACAACCCGUCAGAUUAAGUGGUUGGGUAACUGAUAAACAAGAAAGCAGAUGGCUCACCUCCACUUUCUCAAGUGCUUCUUUUAACGACAUAGCAAAAAGAGGCAAAUGAAUUUCAUUUUGUGCCUUCAUUGCAUGCAAUAAAUCUCACCCUCACAAAGAGAGGCAAACAUGACAUAGAGAAAACCCGUUUCCAAGCAAAGGGGUAACCAUGAAGCACUUAAAUAAAAGGGCCUUUGCUUUCACUUGUCUAGAAUCCCAGAUGGCAACAGCACGGAUGUAAAUUAUCGAUAAGUAAAACAAUGAAAAGCAGAAACAAAUGUCCCAAAACCAUACAAACCAAACAAGCUUAACCCAUUCAGGAGCCAAGCAACAACAAAAGACCUUCCUCCAUUCCAGACUAACUCAAUAGCUCACUAGCCAAAUCCUACAGAGAUUUUUCACAUCGUUGGAGAGAAGCUUUCAAUUAUCUUGGAACAGAAAAAGAAGCUCCAACAGCAAACUUAAUUUUGUAAAUCACCUUUCUAGCUUCGGACAAAACAUGCUAAUGUAGAACUACAUUUCUCUCUUGCUAAACUAAAUGGUUGCAUUCCCAUUCUAAUUUGAAGCUCUUAAGCUUUGCCCUUUAGCAGCCUGCAGAAUAAAAGGGAUCUCUACAAUUUAACUAUUUGCUGAUCUAGCAGAACUAUUCAAGUGUAAAAUGUGCUACCGAAUAGAUUUUGAGGAGGAGCAACAAAAGAACAGAUGCUCUGAGCAUUCGAUGCUUUCCAGCUGUGUCCAUUAUCAUUAGACCACCUGCAACAAUGUGAAUACUACAUGAUGAGACAUGGAAAUAUGCAUCAAGGAACAAACUUCAACUGCUGCAGGUCUGAUGUUUUCUUUAUUCAACAGAGUAUAAGGUGUCGUUCAUCAUAGAAUCCUCCAUAAGAUCACAGAAGUCAACAUCAGAGAUCUCAAAACUUACAUUCAAGAAGAUUACUUUUCUCUGUCAAAGAGAGACUUUCUUCUACGAGUAUGUGUGUAUGCAUGCUCUCUUGCUAAUGUUUUCAAACGGAAGAAAAGGGUGCUGGCAAAACCAAACGAAAUCAGUGUCUAGUGAAGCAACAGAGCAAGUGUGGAAGAAAAUAGGAAUCUUCAUAACAUUAUGAUGUUAGAAAGUUAUCGUCACUUCCCUCAAUAAAAAUUUGUGCCUGACCAUGAUUAUAAAUAGGAAUCUUCAUACCAUUAUGAUGUUAGAAAGUUAUCGUCACUUCCCUCAAUCGUAGUGCCUGACCAUGUUUAUAAAAGCAUAGACCUGAGCCUUCAUGAUCUUAAUCUAAGUUAUCAAAAGCAACUCAAACAAAAUGGCAUACCGUUCCGUAGACCCAGUCAUAUCAGAUGAAACUGUCACAUGAUGGAAGCUCAAAAGCUACCAAGUGAAAAGAAAAUUUUACCCAAACACGAUAUCCAAAAAAGAAUGUGUAAAACAUUCGCCUGGGAGCGAGCUGGGCAAAAUCAUCUUCAGAUUCAUCAUCCUCGUGAUUCACAUCCACUGGUGCCUAAGCUGGGGGUUUCUGCCACUUCUGCUUUGGUCAGUGGAGUACCUUUGGCAAGGUUAUCAUGUUGACAAAGAGCACGCUGCAAACUAUCUUUAAAUGUCAAUAGGGGCACGGCAUCUAACCGCAGAAGCUCCAAUAAUUAUGUUGGAUUGAAGUUCUUGCGCUGUGAGAUUCACAAGAAGCAUGACACGCUCUUGACAAGAAGGACGCUGAUCGACAAGGUCAAUAAACACCUCCCUCCGAAUCGUCCUUGUGCUAAAAACAUGUAUAACUCAAUAAGAAGUUCUGUCCCUAGUCUUCCUGUCAUCCCUCCGAAUCAUAAUCCCAACAGAUGCAUAGCCCAAAAUUUAGCGAUGGGUUUCAUAUUUGGAUGUCUUCAAAAUGCAGUCCACCUAAUCGAUUUGACCGACAAUACUUCUGCAGGAUCAUCACUUAAAAUGUAAUGAUGGAACCUUCAGGACAAAACAAAAACGUUGAAAAGUACAUUCUGUCCCACCGAAGGGAGGCAAGCGGAGUGCGUCAGGAACAGCUGUUGAGAAAUGUACAAGCGUAUAUUAGUUAUACGCAUGAAAAAAAUAUAAGAUUGUUUACGCAAAUAAUUUGCAUAUCUAUGCCAACCCAUCUGGAUUUGAUGCGUAGUUUGAGCAACAACGAAGAUUAAUCUCUUAUAAAUAUCUUCUGAUCAGAUCGAAUCGUCGCCACUUUGUGAAAUUAAAUUGUUCGAAAUUUCAAUUUUAGGUCAAGCACUUGUCUGACUCACACAAUUAAUUAUAUCUUAACCUCUAACUCAAGUGGAGGGAGUUCUCCUAGCAUACAAUUUGUGACGACUCGACUAGGUCUCGAGAAAGGAUCGAUCACAUGGGUGCCCGUCCAAAUGCGCCCACUAAGUUCUUGUCCUGAGGUUCAAGAUAUUUACGAUUUUGCCCCCAACAAAUUAUUUUAGAGAAGUGCAAACAGAACUCAUCUUUCAUUUUACGCCUCCGCACGUAGGAGGGAUCCCAACAGAGAAGAGAAUACAUAAAAACCCUGCUCCCCAAACCCCAAACGGAACUCAACUCUGUUCUAACAAUAAUAAUAAUUAAUAGUAUUUUACACUCAUCAACCUCCCCUCUCUCCCUCUCUCCCUCUCUCCCUCUUCCCUCAAUAAAAUAAAAGAAAGACCCCACCUCGCUCACUCCUCUCCCGAGGCUAGGAAUUCCAGCCUGGCAAUCUUGAUGGACUCAUCUUUGAUUUUACGUGCUGCCUCUCCAUAUGUCAUUUCCUCUACGGGACCCUCGCCAUUCAGCUCCAAAGUGACCCGUGCGGCUGGGUCCCACUCGAACUCCGCCCACCAGCUUUUUUCCACUUUGAUCGAGAAGCUUCCCCUCAUUCCGUUCGAGUCCAACGGUAACUUUCUGAGACCAAGGCAGUCGAAUAUUUGGAAUUCCACCCCUUGAGAGAAAAGUAGAGCGUGGUCGCAAAUGCUCCUUAGUUUUGGAAGAGCGGAGACGCAUAGGACUUGAGACGUGAGAAUAGUCCUGAAGCAGCUAAUUCCUCUCUUGCAAUUCUAUUCCCGAUUAUUUUCUUCAUCGAAUCGCACCACACAACUGUCAAACUUUGGAGUUUCGGAGCGUGCACAAGCCAGGACAAAUCAAAAAAUCCACAAUUUAUAAUCAAAACUUUAACGAGGCUGGGGAAGCAAUAGCAGUUGGGCGCUUGUCCUAUCCCUUGAUUAAUCUCCAUCUUCACAAGCAUACGGCAAUCGACAAAAUUAAGCACCUCUAAAUGCGAGAAAUUGCCGCUCCCUUUUAAUGAGUGACUUAUCGGGAUGUGGGUCAAGCCCUCACAAUUCUCGAUACCUACUCUCCUUAUGCAUCUCUGAAAGGAUUGGAAUAUUUUU
Molecule: long non-coding RNA, 175842 nt
Filed under: Eucalyptus grandis
Lineage: Eukaryota; Viridiplantae; Streptophyta; Magnoliopsida; Myrtales; Myrtaceae
Description: long non-coding RNA (EGRA_LNC003907)
Source: RNAcentral